This 106205-nucleotide long non-coding RNA is filed under the name Triticum aestivum (bread wheat). RNAcentral describes it as "long non-coding RNA (TAES_LNC023100)". Lineage: Eukaryota; Viridiplantae; Streptophyta; Magnoliopsida; Poales; Poaceae. The record is from RNAcentral.
UUCAAGACCAAGUCCUAGAUGAUCCGUUAGCCUAGCAAGCAAGAUGACUCUGCUUAGGUCGGCUGUUGGUUUGCCCUAGCGUCCACGUACCGAAUAAUGUAGUUCAGGCGCACGUAGGCGAUCGUACGUAGUAUCAUCAUGUGUGCUUCGUAACCGGUAGUCCGUAGCUACUCUACGGUGAGUAGCGUCAGGUCAAGUCGGAAGCUGUGGCUUGGUCAGGUGGCUGGUCUGCCUCUGGGCCCAGGAGUGUCUGCAGUGUCCACUGUAUCCUUGCUUCUUCAGUAAUGUAUGUCGUCUUGCUCAAAUAUGUCUUGUCUCGUUUGAUCUGUGUUGAUUCCUGGUGCUACUGGGUGUAGACCUUGUUGCUCGUAGAGCUAUCACCGGCUCAUAGAACACCAUGAGCAGUCGCUGACUGCCAAACCAUGCAUGAACGUGUACCUUCAUGGCUUUGCUCCGCACCUGCGUCUAUACAUUUGACACGAAAGAUGAAAUACCAGAGCAGAACGAUCGAUCUCUCAGACAUGACCCAGAUGCGGGGAGCACUUGAUCAAGUCCGAGCGUUUCCGAUCCCUGCCUGUCAUGUCGCGGUUAUCGCUUGCUGUUGGUAGUGGGGGUGAUCAAGGGGGAGCCGUUGAGGAUCCUGCCCACCCGAAGCUUUCCAACGGCGGCGCGAUCGUGGACUUCAAGCCAUCUGGGAAUUUUGCAGGUUUUCAGAGGGCGGUUCCAAGCAAUGGCAAUGGACUGUCGGAGGAAGAUGGUCUACCAGUUGGAGAGGAUGCGCACAUCGGGGAUGAAGCGGACAUGGACGACGUUGCGUUUGUUGCAGUGGACUUUGAGGAGGAGGAUGAAAACAUCGAGCCGGGUUGGAAGCUGAUGAGCCUAUACAGAUCACAAAAACGGCCAAGCGCGAAGACGCUGUCGGAUCACUUUGAGAAAAUUUGGCAGCUACGUACAGGAGUUGAGUUUAAGCCCGUACAGAAAAAUUACUUUGUGAUCUUUUUUCUCUGAAGGGGACUACAGAUUCGUUGCUAGGGGAGGGCCAUGGAUAUACGAUGGAGAUGCUUUGUUGUCAGGAUGUAAAUGGUCAGCCUGAUGUUGUGGGACUGCCCGCACUGGCCACAACAACUUUUUAUGUGGGAUUACGCGGGAGCCCAGUUAAUUUUCAUGCGGGACAUGUGGCGUCCACAUACUGCCCCAUAUAUUUACAAAGCUUAGACUGGAUAAGCUGACAUACAAAAGAUCACUAGAACUUCCACACUGACAUACAAAGCAUGUGGUGUCUGGAAGUAUAUACAUACGUACAGAAAGUGUGACAAAAACAAAUGGCAGUAGAUACAAAGUGAAAAUGGCAAACAGUGGAUAAUAUUAGCCCACAUUGACAUAACCAUCGCUACUAAUUAUCACUAGUGAGUUCGAGCUUCAUUCAGUAGUCGCCUCUAGAAUAACAAAAUCCACAAAACAUCGGCAACUUAACUAAAAACGUCUAUCAAAGCAGCAGAAAUAUCUUCUGUAUGUGAAAAAAAGGAAUAUGCAACACACUCCCCAUCCUUCAUAUCCCAAAAUUAACAAAAAGCACCUGGAGUUCUAGACUCAAAACGGUACCAAAUGAUAAAACUAUCAGCUAAGAGCAUCUUCCAUUCUUCUGUUAGCUUUGUGUCGGGCGACCUUUGUACAUCAAGCUAUGCUCACUGGUAUAUAUAGGUUUCAAUAAUUUUUUUUGUUUUUGAUAUAUUAAACAUUUGUUUCGCGACGCACUCUAUAACUCCCGUGCGUUAACGUCAAUUAUAAUAGUAAAGUCAUAAACUACAUAAUUGGCAAUACAAACUAUAUAUAACUAACCCGUCAAUGCCUACUUAUCUACAUCAGCGCUAAUACGGAUUCAUCUGAAGCCCUAACUCCAUUAAUGAUGAGGCUAUCUAAAACAUCUUCUUCUACCAUUGGCAAUGGCAAAGAAGUAGGUCAUUGGGGAGUCCCCUUUAAGAGUCCAAUUGAGGGUACCAUGCUGACGCCAAUAUAUAUCUGCCUGCUGAUGCAGCUGCACCAGAGCGGAUUCAAGGUUGUAUUGGACUGACCAAUCAUGCUUCGAGAGGCCUAUCACAUCUGCUAAAAGUUCCACGCCCGCGAUCUGGGCCUCUAAAGAUUUUUUUCUCCCUGCGGGUCUCCGCUGCUCUGUUAAGAGACCAACCCCUAAGAAACUUACGAAGCUCAUAUCAGCAUUUGUGCCAGUCGUCCAUGGGCCCAAAGGAUCGAUGUGAAGGGUUAAGAAGGCUAGAAAUCUAGGUGGCAAGAUUAUUGAUGAAUCCCUCCACUAGAAGCCAGGAAGCAUCGAAUUGGAAGGGCGAAGAGGUCAUAUGUUGGUUUAAGCCAGCGUCCAAAAUGGAGGGGAGCAUGAACUAUAUAUAUUUAAAUACUUUUUUUUGUUUUGGAUAUAUUAAACAUAUGUUUUGCGACGCACCCUUGAUCUCGAAAUAUCACGUCAAUUAUAACUGUAAAGUCAUGAACUACAUAAUUGGCAAUACGAACUAUAUAUAACUAUCAUACGUCAAUGCUGCAGUUGUAGCCAAGAAAAAUGGACAAUAGAUGAUUUUGUUUUUCAACACGGCUCAAUAAAAAGCUCGUUUCCCUCGGUCCUUUUAUCUACAUUUGGAAUAAUAAUGUAUUCACACAGAACAAUCAUUUCUGUUAAAGUGUGUUUUCUUUUUGCUUGUCAACUCUAAGUGUAGCCAUUAUGGCAGUAUGUGUUUUUUGUACGCUUACUUAAUUCGGGAUAUCUGGUUUUAUACAAAGGUUGAUUUUUUUCGAUUCUUUGAGAUUGAACUGUAAAUAUGGCAUGCCUUAGUAACAAUAUAUUCAACUAUAAAAAAGGAGAAAGAUCUGAUACGCCCCCGUCACGUUUUUUUAUAAUUAGAAAGAAUCAUCUACGUCUUAAAAAUGACUUGAUAUAUUUGGCAGGCAAUAAAAAGCAUUAAAAAUAUAUCCGUUUAUAUAUAUGCUGCAUAGACAUCCUAAUUGCCAAGACACCUCAUAGAACGAUCACUCACGCGUAUCGAUCAGCGAUGGAGCCCAUCAUUGGAAACAAUGCGCCGGCGGUCCAGGUUGUGGCAGCGCGCACUUACGAGGAGGUUUCUGUGCCCAGGCCCCUGGAUGCCGCUGCCCCCGACCCCAAUGAGGCUGCCCUCCAGAUACACGAUGCUGUGGCCGACCCCCAGGAGGAUUUGCCCGUACCCCUGCAUCUUCUUUCCCCACCAAGGCAUUUCGUGGAAGAUGCACUCGAAUAUAUAUUCGGCUUCAUGAACGGAAUUCAUGAUGAGCAGACACUAGAGUAAGUUAUGGUAUUGUAUGUUUAUUUUCUCUAAAGAAAUCUUAUUAGAACUAGGUCGUACACAGCAGACUCUGUUUGAUAUAGGAGUAUGAUAUUGCUUGAUUUGUUUUUCUUUAGAUUAAAUCUUACUUUUUGCGGCCAGCAGUACAAAAUUAUUUUUUGUUAAAUGUUUUGGCAGUAUUUCCGUUGCACAUCUACAGUAUGUAAUGAAUAACAAAAUUCUAAUAUUAUUUGCAGUACAAAUGUUGAACAACUUAAUGUCCUUACUAUAUUGUAAAACAAUUUAAUAUUGUUUUUGAACAACCAGCAAACUUGGUAUAAUGGGUGCUACCUAAAUUUUCCUGCUCUUAAUUUCUAACAAAUUAAUAUUGUUCUUACAGAUAAGUUAUUAUUUAAUUUUAGCUUUUGCUAGAAGGUGCUGAAACAAUUUUCAUGCUCUAUAGUUUAUCAAAAUAUUACGUUCUGCUCAUAGCUAUUAGAAUAUCUAGAAAAUGUUACCAUAUGAACAAUUUUAUGUUUUAAAGUACCACUCAUAUUGCUAACCAUUUUUAUGUAUUUUUACGUGCAGCUCAAUCUGGAUAAGAAGCGAUACACCGUACUGGGUCGAAAUCAGCCUCAGAAUGCUGAAGGACACACUAUUUGUAACGUCCGCAAGUCUACAUCCCGAUUGCUUCAAUCUCGCUGUUCGUAAGCUUGCUAGCGCUGAAGUAGAGAGGCAUGCAGGCACCAACAUGGUUGGAGGAAAACAUUAUUUUGACUUGCAGUUCCAUGCUCAAUCACGAGCUCUAAGGUAUUCAUGGAUGCCGCAAGGGCAGCGCACCUCGAUGCUGAUCAACAAUGCUGUUCUACAGCCCUUUCCUCGAUAUGAUGUGUUCAACCCCACAAUUGUAAGAGUUUUUAAUUCCUAAAUUAUUUUUUCUUUCCUGAUAGCAAGGAACGUGUGUUGACCUUAUGUAGUAUCUACUUCCGUUGUCUAUCCCGGAUUCCUCGUAUGGUCUACUUGUGGUAAAUCGGAUGAGGAGAAGGGUUAUCGUAUUUAAUCCAUCACUAGACGUACGACAAGUGGGAAAUAGCUCUCACAACAAAGAGAUGAUGAAGGAAAUCACUAUUUUGAAGCAAGAACUCAAUGAAGUGUUGCAGGCUAGGGUCCUUGAAUGGAACACCGAACUCAUGGAUUGGCAACAAGACAACAUGUCAUUCAAUUUUCGGCGGUAAUUUAAUAAUUUUUUCAGAUGAAUAAGAUGCAGUAUGUAGAAAUCUCAAGUUUUUAUUCUGUUUGUCACAGCAAAGACUCGGGUUUCUUAGUUCUACAAGAGAUGGCCCACCAGCUAGGUUCUUUGCGUAGCAUGACCUGGAUGAACACUACAGUAAUUAUCUUUAUGACGAGUUUUAAUGUGCCAUUUAUAAUCCAACCACUUCGGCGUUUCAUGGUGAAUUUGUUUCAUUGUUUCUAGGAUCCAAUUAUGCUCAGGAGCCAAGUGGUAGUCCAGAUGCUCAUGGUCAAAGACAAUCUAGCUGCUGGAAACAUCCCUCAGGAGAUUACGGCGGCCUUGAGGGUUUUGAACAACUAAAUAUGCUUCUAUGCAUGCAGAACCAUCAGGAAUACUUCAAUCAUCUUGUCAUGUUUGGUUAUGGAUUGAAACUAUAAUUUUUGUUUUUGGGUUUACAAUAUUUAAGAACUAAUUGAAGUUUUGGUACUACUACAAGUUGGUUUUGCUGUUAUGUUUGUUGUUUUGGUAAUUUCUGUUUGUCUCACGUCAAUGAUCAUUGAGCCACAUUUGAUAGCUAAAAAACAAUCUCACCCACAAUCAUUUCUCCUACCCUAUGAGGAUUCAACCGCUCCGACAACAAAGCAACUUAUUCCGGCGAGGGAUCUAGCUUCUCAAGCUAGAAAUCGAGCUUCACAUUCCGGUUCCCGAUCAGUGUUGCAAUCGAUAGAGGAUGAGGGAGAGAGGCGCCAUGACGCAUCAAGGAUAGAGGACGAGGGGGAGAGGUGGCAUCAGUAGACUAUGCACAUACCGAUCUUUAGUAGGGGAACCACAAUAUGUCCCUGUGUUUAAGUGGGCCAGGGCAGAGCAUCUGGGCUAUUUCCUCACACUAAAGAAUUAAAGCCUAACGCUUGUGACGUAGAUAUCUAAAUAAUUGUUGGCCAAAUGCAUGAUUAGCGCGUAGCGCUUUCCUGAUAAUUUUUCCCGAGGCAGCUGGGUUAUGACGGGAGUGCAAGCUCAGACAGAUUCACUCAACUAGGUCCAGGCUGUUAACACCAGCGACCUUGACCUCGCUGCCAAUGGAGUGUUGUUCAAAGAAAUAAUAUUCUUUGCUAGAUUAAAUUUUAACCAAGUGGUAUUUUCGUUUUUCCCCAGGAUGUGUAAUAAAGUAAUGUAUGCGUUAGCCCCAGUCACGUGGCAGGAUCAAGCACCUGAGUUUGUGGACGCCCUUGUAGCUAGCGACUCUGCUGAGCUGUCUGGUUAAUGGUAAGCUUGAUUCCCACCACAAAAGAAAUGUGGAGAAAAUAUUUAUUAGAGGAAAGGCACCGGCCCCCACAGUUGAAAUCAGGGGGGGGGGGCAAAUUUGAUAGGGAAAUAAAUCAGGGCCCCACCAUUCAAAUCAGGGGUCGGAGAUUUAUUUAGAGGGGGACAAACACUGGGCCCCACAAAACACGCAGCCAACAACGCUUUCUGGGUGGGCAUCGAGUGUUGCACUUCCUCACGACAGAGUAAGUCCGGUUUCUUUGAUUUUUUCGUUUGGGAAAGUUAUGGGGUAAGGGAGACAUAAUUUAGGCAACUUUUAUUCUGUUACUAGUUUUUUGCAUAGUCUAAUCAAAACAAAUAUCUUGCUGAUUUUGUUGAUAGUACUUUUUUAUGGAAACAUGCAAAUAAGAAAGGACAGGGUGCACCUUCCUAACUGUUGUCGCACAAUUCCCCACGGCCUCAUAUAUACUCAAUAAAAUCCUACGGGCUCCUUCCUCUCUCGCUUUACCAGUUGUACGGCCGACUUUUUGCCCCGUCAAUGGAAGCAAUGGCAAAUUUUGGGGGAGUGCGACACGCCGUCAACUACAUUGUCGGGUGGUAGGUGCGACAUAUGCCAAUGGGUGGCUUAUCAUUGUGGGAGCCAGUAAAACAUCGCCGGUGCCUGGAAACGGGAUGAGGCGAAGACAUGCACGCCGGUGCCUGGACCGGCUGGGCUCGGCCUUCUUCUGGGCGUUGGACUACGAUGACGGUGCUGACCACCCGGCUAGUUGCGGCAAUGUAAAGGAGCAUGGGCUCUUUCUCAGUCGGCGCCGCUAGGAUGGGCGGCGUGGCCAGCAUCUUCUUCGGCUCAUGAAAAGCUUGGUCGGCCUGGUCGUUCCACUCGAAGUGAGUGCUCUUCUUCAUGAGGCGGUAGAGGGGAAGAGCUUUCUCUCUGAGCCGGCUGAUGAAGCGGUUCAAGGAGGCCAAGCAUCUGGUGAACUUUUGGAUGUCUCGAAGCUUGGUGGGGAUCGCCAUUCUCUCGAUGGCCUUGAUCUUCACCGGGUUGCAUUCGAUGCCGCGUUCGGAGACCAGGAAGCCUAGGAGCUGGCCGGCUGGCACUCCGAACACGCAUUUCUCGGGGUUGAGCUUGAUUUGGAACCGGCGUAGGUUCUCAAACGUUUCUUUGAGGUCUUCCAGCAAGGUGCCGCGCUUCUCCGUCUUCACCACAAUGUCGUCCACGUAGACAUGAGCGUUUCUGCCGAGUUGCUUGAGGAGGCACGUCUGCAUGCAACGCUGAAAAGUGGCACCGGCAUUUCUCAAGCCGAAUGUCAUAGUCAGGUAGCAGAAGGCUCCAAAUGGCGUGAUGAAGGCGGUCUUCAGGCGGUCGUCCGGAUCUAGCUUUAUCUGGUGAUAUCCUGAGUAAGCAUCCAAGAAACUCAACAGCUCGCAUCCGGCCAUGGAGUCUAUCACUUGGUCAAUCCUCGGCAGGGCAAAGAGAUCUUUAGGACAGGCCUUGUUGAGGCUUGUGUAGUCUAUACACAUGCGCCACUUGUUGUUCUUCUUUAACACGAGGACCGGGUUGGCAAGCCACUCUAGAAAGAAGACUUCCAUAAUGAAGCCGGCUGCCAGAAGCCAGGCUAUCUCCUCCCCUACAAUCCUUCUCUUUUCCUCUGAUAGUCGGCGGAGGGGCUGCUUGACUGGUUUCGCGUCUUUUUGGACGUGUAGUUUGUGCUCGGCGAAUUCCUUCGGAACACCUGGCAUGUCCUUGGGGGACCAUGCAUAGAUGUCCCGAUUCUCACGGAGGAAAUCGGCAAGCUCGCCUUCCUAUUUGCUGUUCAGGCUUGCCCCGAUGACGGCUAACCUCUCGGGGUGCUCGGGGUCAAGGGGUAUCUUCUUGGUUUCUUUGGCCGGCUGGAAAGAUCCUUGGGCAUCAUACUCCUUGGGGUCGGGGGACAGGUUCGGCUGCUCGCUGGCCAUGGCCACGACCCGGUCCAACAUCUUCUUCUCUUCGGCAAUCACAAGGGACUCGGCCAGCCGGCUGCUGGCGGCAGCGCACUCGGAAGACUUCUUCUAAUUGCCGGCUACGGUGAUGACGCCCUUGGAACUUGGUAUCUUUAUCUUGAGGUAUGCAUAGUGGGGAACUGCCAUGAACCUGGCCAAGGCGGGUCGGCCAAGCAACGCGUGGUAGGGGCUCUCCAGGUCCACCACUUCAAACCAGAUUGCUUCCCGGCAGAAAUGCUCCUUGUCCCCAAAGAGUACAUCAAUCUUGAUCUUGCCAAUGGGGGCGCAGGACAAGCCGGGUAUGAUGCCAUGAAACACUGUCCGAGUAGGCAUGAGCUGCUUCAUCUUGACAUUUAUCUUCUCCAGGGUGUCACGGUACAGGAUGUUGAUGCUGCUCCCGCCGUCUAUCAGCACGCGGGAGAAGCGGGCAGCGCGUCUGUCCGUCGCGAGGGUGGCUUCUAGGACCAACGCAUAAGAGCCGGGAGACGGCAUCACCUCUGGAUGGUCGACCUGGCUCCAGCUGAUGGGUUUUUCUGACCAAUGCAUGUGUCCGGCGGGGUUGGCAGCGACCACGCUGACUUCCUGGUGCUCUCGGCGUUUGCCGCGCCGGUCUUCGAGCUGGCUUGUAAAGACGAUGUAGGUCGCUUGCUCCUCGGGGAAUUCGUCGUGCACGGCUCCGACUGCGGGCCGAGCGGCCGGAGGCGGCGGAGCCGGAGGCGGCGGGCCGGCAGGCGGAGGCGGCGCGAGCCCCUCGCCUUUAGAGAUUCGGGUGAGCCAAUGGCACUUCCGGGUUGUGUGGUUGGACGGCUUCGCGCCGCUAUGGAAUUUGCACGGGGCGUCGAGAGUUUGCUCGUAGGAGAAAGCCGGUUGCCAAGCCGGCCGGCCGCCCUUGGGCUUCUUGGGCGCGGGUCGCCCUUCAGGCAGCGCGUCUUCGACUGUGGCCACCUGCCGACUGGCGGGAGGCGGCGCAGGGCCCUUGCGCUUGUGGUCGUUCGGGUGUGUGCGUCGGCUGGAAUCCCCUGCCGGCGUCUUGGGCGCCGGGUUGAGUACUUUCUCGGACGCGUCUACCCGGAGCUCGGUCUUCAUCGAAGAGUCGGCGGUGGCGUAUUUGUCUGCUAUGUCCAGAAGCUCGUCGACGUUGUCGGCUCAUCGUAGAGGAGCUUGUGCUUGAGGAGGGUACCUUCUCGGCACCCGGCAGUGAAGUAUUCGAUGGCUUGCACCUCGUGCACCCCCUCGCAAGAAUUGUGAAGCUCGGACCAACGCGUGAGGUAGCCGCGAGUGGACUCGGCUGGGCCUUGUACGCACAGGGAGAGCUGCCUGGGCUUGGGGGCCCGCUUGUAGGUGCUGGUGAAGUUGCGGGUGAAAGCUUCGGUGAAAUCUAGCCAGCUGUUGAUGCUGAGAGGCUUGAGGCUGUUGAGCCAGGUCCGCGUCGUGCCUUGCAGCAUGAGGGGCACGUACUUCACGGCAAUGCGCCAGUUGCCGUUGGCUAUGCUAACCGCCGUGGAGUAGUCGAUCAACCAAUCUUCCGGCUUCACGAAGCCGUUGUACUUGGGCGUGUCUCUUGGGAGCGAGAACCCUUUGGGGAAAGGCUCGUCGCGGAUGCGGGGCCCGAAACAAGGCGGGCCGACAUCGUCUUCUUCUUCCAGCGCCAGGGAUCGUGCCAGGCGGUCGAUCCGAUGGCGGGCGUCGUUCUCGCCGACUCCUUCGCGGCGACCUAGUCGGCCACUGAGAGUCGGGUGCGCCACUGGCGGCGGGGUGGGAUAUCUCUCUCCACAGGGUGGAGGCGGAGGCGGGUUGCCCCGCCAUUCCAUGGCUCGGGGAUGGCCGUCCGUGUCUCGCUCGAUGGAGAUUCAGGUCCGGCUUCGGCUGGCCGCCGGCUCUUUCUCGCGCCGCGCGCGGGCGUUGCUCGUAGUCGGUGUCCGGGACGUCGCGCCGUGAUCUCGGCGCGGGGGAGGGCUUCCCGCGCGGGCAUCGGCUUCGUGCCGCCGUGCGGCCGCGUCAAUCAGUUUCUGGAUGCGCCGGGUCAUGUGGGGGAGUUCUUCGGCCUCCAAGCCGUCCAACUCGUCCACGGCCGCCUGGGCGGCACGCAAGUUCUCGAGCGGAGUGGCAUAGACCGGGCGGUCGACUCCCAGCAUGUCGGCGAUGACGGCGCCGCGUUGCUUGACAAUGCCGACCCGGCUUGGCCCGCCCGGGGCCGGCAUGCCGAAGGCGGCGCGGUCAGCUUCGCACUGGUAGGCCUCAGUGAGGCGUCUCACGGAAGCCAGCCUCCGGCCCUCUGCGAGGAGGGUGAGGCGGCGCGCCUCCAGUGCUUCGUCAUCGGCAUCAGCCGGGAGGGGGGUGGACAAGUCGUGGGCAGCCGCGUGCGGGGCGUCGUGGGCGCUCUCGUCGGCCGGGCCGCCGUGGCCGACGACCAUCACUUCGGUGGUGACAGUAUCGCGGCCGUCGGUCCGAAGAAGCGGGUCGUUGUAGAUCGCGAUGUUGGUGGGGAAGGUGUCGAAGGAGGCCGUGUCAAAGUCGACAGGCAUCGGGUCGGUGGAGCCAACCGACUCCAGAUCCACAGUGGGCUCGCUGGAGACAUGGAGCUGGCCGAGGAGGUUGGCGAGGCUGCUCGCCGCGCAGAUGCUGGUGACGCCUUGCAGCGCGUCGUGGAAAGCGCCAUCAGGCGUGUCGGGCUGGCUAUGCUCGCUGGGGAGGAAGAGGGUUCCCGUCCAGAACAGGUCUCCGGACGAUGGUGCACCUCGCCCCACGAUGGGCGCCAAAUGUCGGGUGGUAGGUGCGACAUAUGCCAACGGGUGGCUUAUCAUUGUGGGAGCCAGUAAAACGUCGCCGGUGCCUGGAAACGGGAUGUGGCAAAGACAUGCACGCCGGCGAAUCUUACUGCUCUCCGUGGAGAUAACACUCCUACUGCUGCUCUGCGGGGUCUCCGCAUGAUCACUAGCUGGACAAGUAGCUACACAAUGCUCCUUGAGCUGUUCGGUGGGAGGAGGAAGAAGGGCACGGCUAGCUUGCUUCUUCUCCUUGUGUGGUGUCUAAAACUAGCUGGGGGUUCCAACCCUUUGCAUGGGUGCUCCGGGGGGUUUAUAUAGGCCUACCCCCUGGGGGUACAAUGGUAAUCCGUCUGGGCGCGGGGCCCAGCCGUCUAUGACUGCGCUCGCCGGCUUCUGCCCCGACCGCUGGGGCCCGCCGACUGGUGGGUCCUGCCGUCUGCCAACUCCUUGGCAACAGGCAGGCCCCACUGCCAAGGGUCUUGUCGGUGGCUGGUUAAUGUUGCUUCAACCUGAUGACGAGGGCUUCGUCGAGGUAAGCGUGGCUACAGUGCCGCCGUCCGGCGGGCGAUCGCUGUAGCCUCACCGCGUCUUGUCUCCUUAAUGGGGCGUCUCCUUUGAGGGGGGAAGCGAGCCGGCUGCGGGGAGCCAGCCCCGUCUCGGGCCGACUGGGGGAGGCCUGGCCGCCUUCGGGCGUCUCUCUGCCCGAAGGGGCCCACCGCCCGUGGGCCGCGCUGGCGGCCCGUCGUGGGUGACAUCAGGGUCAACAUGGCAAUAGUGUCGCGCCGGACGGGUCAUGGCCACUCCGUACGGCGCACUGUGCCAGGCGUGCUCCGGGAUUCGGGGGUGGCAGGCUUUACUAUAGCCACGCCCCGUCUCAUCGCCGCUAGGUGGAUGCAAACUUUGAGAGUACGGUCUCGACCGCUUUAUGGGAGCCGGCUUCUUGGAGUCGGCCUCCUCGCGGCCGGCUUCUCUAAGUCGGCCCUCCCGUGGCUUUCUUCAUGAGGGCUAAAGUCGGGCCGCCUUCCGAAAGCCGGCCUGGGUGACAGCCAGCAAGGGGAUGGCGGCCCCACGUCUUGGAUUCUUGAGAGCCGGACGGGCUCGUAAUUUUUUCAGAAGGGCCAGGGGAAGCCGGCUAGGCUACCCAUGGCUAUUUACUCCGACAGUAGUCCCCGAAGCUGAUCGAGCUUCGAGGCGGACAAAGGGACGAGAAGCUUGGUCAGGUUCCUACCCUGAAGAGCCGGCUUUGCUGAUGUAUGCCGAUUUCGGGGAGCCCUGAGUCUUGCAGGCAGGCCACGUGGCAGCGAGACCCUGCCAGCGCAUGCGCGCGACGGGACGCCGCCGCAGGCCCGGGCCCGCCACUCCUAGGCCUCGGCCCGAACGCUGAUCUUCCGCGGCCCAGGUGGACCGCUCGCCUUCCCGUGGCGAUUUUAUUUCGCCAUUAGGGCGCAAUAAACGCGGGACGUGGGGGAGUGGGCACGAUCGAUCCCCACGUUUCCCCACGCCGCGCCUCCUCGGCUCCGCCACGCGAGCCUAUAAGUAGGGGGAGGAGGGGGAGAGACAGAGGUUCGCAUGCUCUCUCUCGCUCUGCCCCUUCUCGCCUUCCUUUCUUCCUCUCGUUGCCGCCGCAGCCUCCCGUCUCAGCGCCGCCGCGCCGCCACAUCGUCUUGCUCCCAUGACGCUGUCGAGCUCGUGGGAUGGCUCCAACGUCCAUGAGGACCAUGUUGAGUUCCUCCGCCAGACUCGGCGCCUGCCCGACGCCAACCUCGUGCGGGUCCGCCUGGCGCCAGAGAAGGAGAUCUCGCCGGCACCGGAGGAGGGCGAGCGGGUCGUCUUCCUCUCGCACUUCCUGCGCGGCUUCGGCCUUCCGGCGAGCGGAUUCCUGCGCUCCUUCCUCGAGUUCUACAAUCUUCAGCUGCAUCCCCUCACGCCCAACGCGGUGAUGCUGCUGUCGGCCUUCGUCUCUCUCUGCGAAGGUUUCUUGGGGCUGCUCCCCACGCUGGAGCUCUGGGGGGAAUUCUUCCAGAGCAAACUCGGCACUAUCGUCGCAGGCGUGCCCGUCCCCUUCGGGGCCUUCAUCGCCAUGAGGAGGUCGGGCGAGAACAACCCGUUCCCGUCCAUCCCCCUGAUCUAGUCGGUGAAGAUCUGGCAAAAGUCAUAUUUCUAUGUGAAGAACGUCGCCCAGCAAGCAGACCAUGUCAACUUGCCGGCUUACGUAGCCGGCCCGCCGGCUGGGAGGCAGCCCUCAUGGAGUUUCCGGUCCAGGUCACUGUCUUAGGCCGGGAACACUGCCGUCUCCCGGCUUCGGGUGAUGAUCCAGUCGGAAGGCCUGAGCCGGGCCGACUUGGUGGCCGCCUUCAUGGAGCGCCGGAUACUUCCUCUCUAAAGCCGGCCCCACAUGAUGUGUCAGAUGAGCGGUCGCUUCGACCCAAGCCAGCUGAGCACCAGGGAGAUGCCUCACGCGGAGGUGUCGUACAUGGUAAAUCAUAUCUCCAAUUGCAAGCUCGCCGAGGACUGGCGAUACGGCAAGGUGCCGUAUUCUCGCGCCAGCCCUCCGCCCGUGGUAAGCUUUCCUCUCUUUCGUCUUUUUGUUGGUAGCCGGCUUUAUGAUGGCCGGCUUCUGAUCGGUCGGUUCUUCUUAGCAGAACCCCCUUCUUCCGCCGACGACCGGGGCAGCAGGGAUAGAACGCCAGUACGUCCCCGACCGCACGGUGGACGAUGUCGACGACCCAGAUUUGGGGGCGGCCGCCAUGGAAGACACCGUCGUGGGGGACGACGCCGAGCCCGGAGGCACAGGGCUUACCGCCAGCUUCGAGGACUGGUCGGAUGAUGCCGAAGCCGAAGUCGCCCCGCGUCGCUAGCCGGCGGCCGACCAUCAGGGCGCGGGCUUGUCCACCGCGCCGGCUGCCAGCGGCAUCGUACAGAAGCGCCGGGCCGCGUCAACCCUCUUCGACAGUCGGCCGAAGAAGUCCAAAGCCUCCACCGCGGCGACCAAACGAGAUGAGGCGGCCGCGAAAGUGGCCCGCUUCCGCAAGGUGGUGAAGCAGCCUCAGGCGGUCUCAGCGUAAGUCGUUGAUUGCCUGGUCGCAUGCUUUUCAUCGUUCUCUCAUGUUCGAACAUUCUUCCUAACCUUUUCUCGCUCGCUGAACAGGGCGCCGCUUUCCCUUGAGCGGGGUCCGGGCGGCUCCGUAGUUGGGCCGACUGGAGGGUCUUCGGUCUCCCGCCGCGUGGACCCCCGCGCCGACCUCAGGGAGGCCAUGGAGCGGAACGCCCGUGAGGCGCGGGAGGAGCGUGAGGCGGCGGAAAAAGCGGCCGCCCAGGCGGUGAGGGAGCAGGCCGACGCGGCAGCCAAGGCCCAGGCGGAGGCGGCGACCGCGGAAACGGAGGCAGAGGGUUCGCGUAACCAGCCUCCGCUGCUCGCCAUUCCCCUCCGAGCCGUGGCCCCCGACACCCCAUUGCCCGUGGCGGAGGAAAUCGUCCAAGACCCGCCGCUGAUGGAGAGGAGGGAGGACCUCGUGGUCUUCGCGGGGAGAGCGCCGCUGGCAGCGCCAACCGGAGCGGGCCAAGGCGGCCAAUCGUCAGCGGCGCCAGAGGAGCCGGCCGGGGGUGAGCCGGAGGACGGAGCCGGCUUCGAGGUGCAUCCGGUGACGCGUCGGCGCGCAGGGGGAGGCGCCGCUCCGCCGGAGUCACGUCGAGUUGCGGGCGCCGGCCAGUCGGCGGAGGCUCUGGAGGCGGCCAACACCGCCACGUCCGACUGGACUCCCAGCGGGGGGGACUGGCGAGCUGAAUGUGCCGGCUCAAGAGGUCCGGAGCCGGCUUCAAGCUCAGGCCGCCCUACUGCAGCAGUACACCCAGGAGUUCCUGUCGACGCGGGCCGCCAUCCGGGUGAGUCUUUCAUUCUUGGCCGCUUUGGUCUCUUGAUUUCUUCCGUGGGGGCGCGUCAGCGCACCCACUGGGUGUAGUCCCCGAGUUUCGGGCCGACUGCUGAGCAGUCGGGUCGGAUCUUUCUUGACGACUACCUUAUUUUUGCUUCCUGUCUGAACUUCCAGGAAUAUCAUAACUCCCGUGCUGCCGCCUUCAACUCCCAGUCUCAGGAGUUGGGUCGGAAGACCAACGACCUGGUCAACAGCCGAAGUAAGUGCUUGAUCUUGUCUGUCUCCUGUGGGGGCGCGUCAGCGCACCCACUGGGUGUAGUCCCCGAGAUUCAGGCCGACUGCUGAGCAGUCAGGUCGGAUCUUCCUUGACGACUUUUUCCUUAUUGGUUUUUUCUUUCGUGCUUUCAGGGGCCAACGCCGACUUGAGGAGGGAGCUCAGCGAAGCGCAGGCCGCCCUUCGUACCAAGGAUGCUGAGUACGCUGCCUUGGUCCAGGAGCAUGACCGCCUGGCCAAGAAGCUGGCUGACCAAGAGGAGAGCCACAAGGCGGCCCUGCAGAAAGCGCGGGAUAGUGAGGUCGCCCUGAAGGCAGAGUUUGAGACCGAGGCGGCGAGCUGGGCUGAGACCCGGCGAGCGCUGGAUGAAGGCUUCGGCCGCAUCGAGGACUUGAUCGACGGUAAGCCGCCUUCCUCGCUCCUCUCCUGCCCCUUGCCGCCUGGUUUUGGCCUGACUUGUGCUGCUGCCUAUUUUCUUGUGCAGACUACUUUCCCGGCUACUCCGCCUUCGCCUCCCAAACCAUCGAGGCCCAUCGCAAGGCGUGCCGUCAGGCGGGGGUCAACAUUGCGCCGGACACGAAUCGGACGCUUGAGGAGCAGCUCUUGGCUGUCCAAGCGCGGCUGCAGCUGGCUCACCGGAUGCUUCGCCGGCUCGAACGUGCCGGGGCGCAGGUGUUGGCCGCCCUCUGGCCCGGCAAGAUGAUCCCCCGCACCCCAAGCCGGACUGCCUACUGGCUGGAGGUUGCAGUCGGUCGCUUUGAAGCUUGGAAGGCGUCGGCGGCCCGUCUUGGAGCUGGGCGGGCAUUGGAGUUCGUUUGAGCUUGGUACCCAGGGCUGAACCUGGACCAGCUGCGCACUUAGCGGCUGGAGGCCGACGUGGAGCUGGAGGAGGUGCGGCCGGCUAUCGCCCAGCGUGCUUCGAUGAUCGCCGAGUGCACCGACAUUAGUGUUUUUGCACCUGAAAUCAAUGAUGACGGCGUUGCCCAGCCGGAGGAGUGGUUUGGGAUGAACCCGGCGGUGGGCAAGGACUCGGAAGAGGAGAUCGCCUCCAGCGAUGAGGGCGAGGAUGACGGAGAAGAGGACGGUGAAGACGUCGAGCCGGCUAGUGGAACAACCGGCCGGCCUCAGGCUGACCGUGCCUCCAGCAACGAGGCGCGUGGAAGCGCGCCCUCUGCGGGAGGCGUUGAUCAAGCCGAGGUUCGGCAGCCGGCCACUCCUUUAGCCGGCACAACCAUCUCCGCCGACCAGCCCGGCUCGUCGGUCGCUCCGCCGGCUUGACCUGCCGUCCUUAUUUUUCCUGCUUGUUGCCUUUUGAACAAUCUUUAUUAAGCUUUCGCAGUUCCACCCAUUGGGGGUGUAUCCAAACUAUGUUGAAUGCUGGCCUCUUGGAGGUCUUUUAUGUAAAUAUUAUUAUGUGCAUGUUUGGUUUCCAUUCGCGUAUGCUUUUUAUCCUUAGGCUUUUUCCUUUGCCGCCUUCCCUCUUUGGGGGAGGCAAGUACUCGAGCUUUCUUGGAUUGAAGUGAAGUGAAUGGAAACCGGCCGGCUGGCUACUCUGGUAGUCGGUCGGUGGUAGGCGGCAAACCGGCUUUCGUUAUAUUAGUCCGUUGGUCCCUGGCCAUUUUUCGUGUGGGCAUCAUUUCCUGCUUUUGACUCUUGCCAGCCGGACAGCCGGUUCUUCGAACUGCGACUUUGGCAAGAGCUAAGCCUGGGUGUCGGCACACUACUUGUCUGACCGCGGGUAGGACUUCUAAUAUAACUCCAGCCGGCCAGUUCCUGGGCCGACUAGUCGAACCCGGUGCCGGACGGAACAAGUAAAUGAAAUGACAAGGUCAUAAGCAUGAUACUCUUCAUUCAUAGAUAAAAGAUGGCAGUCCCCGAGCUCUCCUCGGGGGGCCUAUUAUCUCAUACUUAGUAAAAAAGUUAGCGUGAUACAUACUGCAUUUCAACUGUAAAAUCUUCGAAGGAGGUUGGCGUUCCAUGGUCGUUCCGACUCCUUGCCGGAGUCGUCUCUCUUUCAUGCCUUUGGCUUCUGUGCGUCGAUCAGGUAGUAGGAGUCGUUGCCUAAGGCUCUGCUGAUGACGAAGGGGCCCUCCCAAGGGGCCGAGCGCUUGUGCUGGCCGGCUGUUCGCUUGAUCAGUCGGAGCACAAGAUCGCCCACUUGGAAGGAUCUUGGCUUGACCUUCCGACUGUGGUAGCGGCGCAAACCCUGCUGGUAGAUGGCAGACCGGCUGAGGGCUAACAGCCGACCUUCUUCCAGCAGGUCGACGCCGUCUUCUCGUGCUUCCUUGGCCUCCGCCUCCAUGUACAUGGUUACCCGGGGCGAGUCGAACUCGAUGUCGGUUGGGAUGAUCGCCUCGGCACCGUACACGAGGAAGAAAGGAGUGAAGCCGGUUGACUUGUUUGGGGUAGUGCGCAGACUCCAGAGGACAGCCGGCAGCUCAUCGAGCCAACAGCCGACUGAACGCUCCAGUGGUACGACCAGUCAGGGCUUGAUACCGGAGAGGAUGAGGCCGUUGGCUCGCUCGACCUGGCCGUUUGACUGCGGGUGGGCGACGAACGCUAAGUCCAGCCGGAUACCUUGGGCUGCGCAGAAACGUGCCAAGGCUCCUUUGGCAAAAUUCGUGCCAUUGUCGGUGAUGAUGCUGUGUGGCACGCCGUACCGAGUUGUUAUGUCUACGAUGAAUGUCACAGCAGUCGGCCCAUUCAGCUUCUUGAUCGGCUUUGCCUCAAUCCACUUGGUGAAUUUGUCCAUGACGACGAGCAAAUGCGUUAUGCCGCCGCGCGCCAUCUUGAAUGGGCCCACCAUGUCCAGUCCCCAAACGGCGAAGGGCCAGGUGAGGGGAAUGGUCUUGAGUGCCGAAGCCGGCAUGUGUUGCUUGGAGCUGAAGAGUUGGCACCCUUUGCAAUAUUUAACUAAUUCUUUGGCGUCAUCCAAAGCAGUCGGCCAGAAGAAACCAUGGCGGAAAGCUUUGGCGACGAGUGAUCUUGAAGCCGCAUGGUGGCCGCAUUCUCCUUGGUGAAUGUCUCUGAGGAUUGCAAUGCCCUUCUCUUGCUCGACGCACCAUAGGAAGACUCCAGUGACACUACGCUUGCCGAGUUCUCUGUUGACGAUUGUGUAUGCUCCGACUCGACGUUGGACUUGUCUUGCCUCUGUUUCGUCAACCGGCAGAUCUUGGUUUACUAGGAAGUUGAGGAUGGACUGAGCCCAUGAAGGAGCCGCGACUUCUCCUACUGCCAAUGUGGCUACUGCCACCAGGGUGGGCGGGCUGGGUGGUGAAAUGCUGGAGUCGGCCGCCGGCUGUUGUGUUGGUGCAGUCCCCGGGCCGGCUACUACAGUCCCCGAGCCGGGUGUGGCAGUCCCCGAGCCGGUUGCCGAAGUUCCCGGGCCGACUACUGAAGUCCCGGGGUCGCCUGCUUGGUUCUUCGAGCCGGACCCGGCCGCGUCGGGGUCAGGCGGUACGAAGAUGGAAUCGGACUCUGGAGACGGCUUGAUGGACGGCUUGAGGAGGUGUUGUAGAGCGACGCCGGUUGGUAUUGCUUGCCGAGUGGAGCCUAUUCGAGCCAGGGCAUCGGCUGGCUCGUUGUCGGCUCGCGGUACGUGGAGGAACUCGCAUCCUUCAAAGUAUCCGCUGAGUUGUUGAACCAGGAAGCGGUAGCUUGCCAUAUUUGCGUCCUUGGCAUCCCAGUCGCCGGAUGAUUGCUGAACCACCAAGUCUGAGUCGCCAUAACAUAGGAUCCGGCGGAUGCCGAGUUCCUUGGCAAGCCGGAGCCCGUGUAUGAGUGCCUCGUACUUGGCUACAUUGUUCGAGGCGGCAAAGUAAAUCUGCAGCGUGUAUCUGAGCUUGUCGCCUUUGGGAGAGGUAAGGACGAUGCCGGCUCCCAAGCCGGUGCGCAUCUUGGACCCGUCAAAGUGCAUGCGCCAAUGGGUUGAGUCGGGAGCCGGCGACAGGUACUGGGUCUCGGCCCAGUCGACGAGGAAGUCGGCCAGUGCUUGGGACUUGAUGGCGGUGCGGGGCUGGUAGAAGAUUGUGUAGGGGGCCAGCUCGAUGGCCCAUUUCGCCACCCGGUCGGAUGCGUCCCGGCUGCCUAUGAUCUCGGCCAACGGGGCGGUGCAUACGAUCGUGACGGGAUGCUCCUGAAAGUAGGGCUUCAGCUUCUUGGCGGCGAAGUACACGCCGUAACACAUCUUCUGGUAGUGCGGGUAGUUCUGCUUUGAAGCGGACAUCACCUCGCUCAAAUAAUACACCGGCCUCUGGACCGGCUGGGCUCGGCCUUCUUCUGGGUGUUGGACUACGAUGACGGUGCUGACCACCCGGCUGGUUGCGGCAAUGUAAAGGAGCAUGGGCUCUUUCUCAGUCGGCGCCGCUAGGACGGGCGGCGUGGCCAGCAUCUUCUUCAGCUCGUGAAAAGCUUGGUCGGCCUGGUCGUUCCACUCGAAGUGAGUGCUCUUCUUCAUGAGGCGGUAGAGGGGGAGAGCUUUCUCUCCGAGCCGGCUGAUGAAGCGGUUCAAGGAGCCCAAGCAUCCGGUGAACUUUUGGAUGUCUCGAAGCUUGGUGGGGAUCGCCAUUCUCUCGAUGGCCUUGAUCUUCACCGGGUUGCAUUCGAUGCCGCGUUCGGAGACCAGGAAGCCUAGGAGCUGGCCGCUGGCACUCCGAACACGCAUUUCUCGGGGUUGAGCUUGAUUUGGAACCGACGUAGGUUCUCAAACGUUUCUUUGAGGUCUUCCAGCAAGGUGCCGCGCUUCUCCGUCUUCACCACAAUGUCGUCCACGUAGACGUGAUCGUUUCUGCCGAGUUGCUUGAGGAGGCACUUCUGUAUGCAACGCUGAAAAGUGGCACCGGCAUUUCUCAAGCCGAAUGUCAUAGUCAGGUAGCAGAAGGCUCCAAAUGGCGUGAUGAAGGCGGUCUUCAGGCAGUCGUCCGGAUCUAGCUUUAUCUGGUGAUAUCCUGAGUAAGCAUCCAAGAAACUCAACAGCUCGCAUCCGGCCAUGGAGUCUAUCACUUGGUCAAUCCUCGGCAGGGCAAAGGGAUCUUUAGGGCAGGCCUUGUUGAGGCUUGUGUAGUCUAUACACAUGCGCCACUUGUUGUUCUUCUUUAACACGAGGACCGGGUUGGCAAGCCACUCUGGAAAGAAGACUUCCAUAAUGAAGCCAGCUGCCAGAAGCCGGGCUAUCUCCUCCCCUACAAUCGUUCUCUUUUCCUCUGAUAGUCGGCGGAGGGGCUGCUUGACUGGUUUCGCGUCUUUUCGAACGUGUAGUUUGUGCUCGGCGAAUUCCUUCGGAACACCCAGCAUGUCCUUGGGGGACCAUGCAAAGAUGUCCCGAUUCUCACGGAGGAAAUUGGCGAGCUCGCCUUCCUAUUUGCUGUUCAGGCUUGCCUCGAUGACGGCAAACCUCUCGGGGUGCUCGGGGUCAAGAGGUAUCUUCUUGGUUUCUUUGGCCGGCUGGAAAGAUCCUUGGGCAUCAUAGUCCUUGGGGUCGGGGGACGGGUUCGGCUGCUCGCUGGCCAUGGCCACGACCCAGUCCAACAUCUUCUUCUCUUCGGCAAUCACAAGGGACUCGGCCAGCCGGCUGCUGGCGGCAGCGCACUCGGAAGACUUCUUGUAAUCGCCGUCUACGGUGAUGACGCCCUUGGAACUUGGUAUCUUUAUCUUGAGGUAUGCAUAGUGGGGAACUGCCAUGAACCUGGUCAAGGCGGGUCGGCCAAGCAACGCGUGGUAGGGGCUCUCCAGGUCCACCACUUCAAACCAGAUUGCUUCCCGGCAGAAAUGCUCCUUGUCCCCAAAGAGUACAUCAAUCUUGAUCUUGCCAAUGGGGGCGCAGGACAAGCCGGGUACGAUGCCAUGAAACACUAUCCGAGUAGGCAUGAGCUGCUUCGUCUUGACAUUUAGCUACUCCAGGGUGUCACGGUACAGGAUGUUGAUGCUGCUCUCGCCGUCUAUCAGCACGUGGGAGAAGCGGGCAGCGCGUCUGUCCGUCGCGAGGGUGGCUUCUAGGACCAACGCAUAAGAGCCGGGAGACGGCAUCACCUCUGGAUGGUCGGCCCGGCUCCAGCUAAUGGGUUUUUCUGACCAAUGCAUGUGUCCGGCGGGGUUGGCAGCGACCACACUGACUUCCUGGUGCUCUCGGCAUUUGCCGCGCCGGUCUUCGAGCUGGCUUGUAAAGACGAUGUAGGCCGCUUGCUCGUCGGGGAAUUCGUCGUACACGGCUCCGACUGGGGGUCGAGCGGCCGGAGGCGGCGGGCCGGCAGGCGGAGGCGGCGCGAGCCCCUCGCCUUUAGAGAUUCAGGUGAGCCAAUGGCACUUCCGGAUUGUGUGGUUGGACGGGUUCGCGCCGCUAUGGAAUUUGCACGGGGCGUCGAGAGUUUGCUCGUAGGAGAAAGCCGGCUGCCAAGCCGGCCGCCCGCCCUUGGGCUUCUUGGGCGCGGGUCGCCCUUCAGGCAGCGCGUCUUCGACCGUGGCCACCUGCCGACUGGCGGGAGGCGGCGCAGGGCCCUUGCGCUUGUGGUCAUUCGGGUGUCGGCGUCGGCCGGAAUCCCCUGCCGACGUCUUGGGCGCCGGGUUGAGUACUUUCCCGGACGCGUCUACCCGGAGCUCGGUCUUCAUCAAAGAGUCGGCGGUGGCGUAUUUGUCUGCUAUGUCCAGAAGCUCGUCGAGGGUAGUCGGCUCGUCGCAGAGGAGCUUGUGCUUGAGGAGGGUACCUUCUCGGCACCCGGCAGUGAAGUAUUCAAUGGCUUGCACCUCGUGCACCCCCUCGCGAGAAUUGCGGAGCUCGGCCCAACGCGUGAGGUAGCCACGAGUGGACUCGGCUGGGCCCUGUACGCACAGGGAGAGCUGCCUGGGCUUAGGGGCCCGCUUGUAGGUGCUAGUGAACUUGCGGAUGAAAGCUUCGGUGAAAUCUAGCCAGCUGUUGAUGCUAAGAGGCUUGAGGCUGUUGAGCCAGGUCCGCGCCGUGCCUUGCAGCAUGAGGGGCACGUACUUCACGGCAACGCGCAAGUUGCCGUUGGCUAUGCUGACCGCCGUGGAGUAGUCGAUCAACCAAUCUUCCGGCUUCACGAAGCCGUUGUACUUGGGCGUGUCUCUUGGGAGCGAGAACCCUUUGGGGAAAGGCUCGUCGCGGAUGCGGGGGCCGAAACAAGGCGGGCCGACAUCGUCUUCUUCUUCCAGCACCAGGGAUCGCGCCAGGCGGUCGAUCCGAUGGCGGGCGUCGUUCUCGCCGACUCCUUCGCGGCGACCUAGUCGGCCGCUGAGAGUCGGGUGCGCCAUUGGCGGCGGGGUGGGAUAUCUCUCUCCACGGGGUGGAGGCGGAGGUGGGUUGCCCCGCCAUUCCAUGGCUCGGGGAUGGCCGUCCGCAUCUUGCUCGAUGGAGAUUCGGGUCCGGCUCCGGCUGGCCGCCGGCUCUUUCUCACGCCGCGCGCGGGCGUUGCUCGUAGUCGGUGUCCGGGACGUCGCGCCGUGAUCUCGGUUCGGGGGAGGGCUUCCCGCGCGGGCGUCGGCUUCGUGCCGCCGUGCGGCCGCGUCAAUCAGUUGCUGGAUGCGCCGGGUCAUGUGGGGGGGUUCUUCGGCCUCCAAGUCGUCCAACUCGUCCACGGCCGCCUGGGCGGCACGCAAGUUCUCGAGCGGAGUGGCAUAGACCGGGCGGUCGACUCCCAGCAUGUCGGCGAUGACGGCGCCGCGUUGCUUGACAGUGCCGGCCCGGCUUGGCCCGCCCGGGGCCGGCAUGCCAAAGGCGGCGCGGUCAGCUUCGCGCUGGUAGGCCUCAGUGAGGCGUCUCACGGAAGCCAGCCUCCGGCCCUCAACGAGGAGGGCGAGGCGGCGCGCCUCCAGUGCUUCGUCGUCGGCAUCAGCCGGGAGGGGGGUGGACAAGUAAUGGGCCGCCGCAUGCGGGGCGUCGUGGGCGCUCUCGUCGGCCGGGCCGCCUUGGCCGACGACCAUCACUUCGGUGGUGACAGUAUCGCGGCCGUCGGUCCGAGGAAGCGGGUCGUUGUAGAUCGCGACGUUGGUGGGGAAGGUGUCGAAGGAGGCCGUGUCGAAGUCGACAGGCAUCGAGUCGGUGGAGCCAACCGACUCCAGAUCCACAGCAGGCUCGCUGGAGACAUGGAGCUGGCCGAGGAGGUUGGCGAGGCUGCUCGCCGCGCAGAUGUUGGUGACGCCUUGCAGCGCGUCGUGGCAAGCGCCAUCGGGCAUGCCGGGCUGGCUACGCUCGCUGUGGAGGAAGAGGGUUCCCGUCCAGAAUAGUUCUCCGGACGACGGUGCACCUCGCCCCACGGUGGGCGCCAAAUGUCGGGUGGUAGGUGCGACAUAUGCCAACGGGUGGCUUAUCAUUGUGGGAGCCAGUAAAACGUCGCCGGUGCCUGGAAACGGGAUGAGGCGAAGACAUGCACGCCGACGAAUCUUACCCAGCUUCGGGGCUCUCCGUAGAGAUAACACCCCUACUGCUGCUCUGCGGUGUCUCCGCAUGAUCACUAGAUGGACAAGUAGCUACACAAUGCUCCUUGUGCUGUUCGGUGGGAGGAGGAAGAAGGGCACGGCUAGUUUGCUUCUUCUCCUUGUGUGGUGUCUAAAACUAGCCGGGGGUUCCAACCCUUUGCAUGGGUGCCCCGGGGGGUUUAUAUAGGCCUACCCCCCGGGGGUACAAUGGUAAUCCGACUGGGCGCGGGGCCCAACCGUCUGUGACUGCGCUCGCCGGCUUCUGCGCCGGCCGCUGGGGCCCGCCGACUGGUGGGUCCCGCCGGCUGGCAACUCCUUGGCAACAGGCAGGCCCCACUGCCAAGGGUCUUGUCAGUGGCUGGUUACUGUUGCUUCAACCUGAUGACGAGGGCUUCGUCGAGGUAAGCGUGGCUACAGUGCCGCCGUCCGGCGGGCGAUCGCUGUAGCCUCACCGCGUCUUGUCUCCUUAAUGGGGCGUCUCCUUCGAGGGGGGAAGCGAGCCGGCUGCGGGGAGCCGGCCCCGUCUUGGGCCGACUGGGGAGGCCUGGCCGCCUUCGGGUGUCUCUCUGCCCGAAGGGGCCCACCGCCCGUGGGCCGCGCUGGCGGCCCGUCGUGGGUGACAUCAGGGUCAACAUGGCAACAGUGCCGCGCCGGACGGGUCAUGGCCAUUCCGUACGGCGCACUAUGUCAGGCGUGCUCCGGGAUUCGGGGGUGGCAGGCUUUACUGUAGCCACGCCCCGUCUCAUCGCCGCUAGGUGGAUGCAAACUUUGAGGGUACGGUCUCGACCGCUUUAUGGGAGCCGGCUUCUUGGAGUCGGCCUCCUCGCAGCCGGCUUCUCGAAGUCUGCCCUCCCGUGGCUUUCUUCAUGAGGGCUAAAGUCGGGCCGCCUUCCGAAAGCCGGCCUGGGUGACAGCCAGCAAGGGGAAGGCGGUCCCACGUCUUGGAUUCUUGAGAGUCGGACGGGCUCGUAAUUUUUUUAGAAGGGCCAGGGGAAGCCGGCUAGGCUACCCAUGGCUAUUUACUCCGACAUACGUGUACGAUUUCAUAGCACUUUCCUCAGACGAAGAACUACUAGAGUAAGUUCUCACAGCCCGAUAGAUCUAAUAUUUUUUGCUCUUCAUCGUCUAAGUCCACUGCCAUGUCCAUGUAUACUUUGCAUUUAGAAGAUAUACCCCCAUAAAAAAUCUUCCUGCCCUGUACAUAUAUACUUUACGUUUAGAUUAGAAGAUAUACCCUGGUUAGGAUCACGUGGUCUUUGUCUAAGUUCAGACGUCUGUUACAAAGGCUGAAUGUGUAGUUAUUUUUCUUAUACAAGUAUAUAAAUACAUAUUAAUGGUUGUUACAAGAUAUUAUAUUUGUACUGGUAAAUUGUGUCUAAAACCAGUGUUUUGCGGCGUCUAACAUAAAUAGCUGAUAAGUAUGAAACGAAAUACGUAUGAAACUGUGGUCCAAAACUAUGGGGUCUAACACCUUUUACAACAAUGUUGAACAAGCUAUAAACUACAUGUUGAAUUUUUUUCAUCCAAAAUCUACAACAAUUUUUAUGCAGGUCCAUGUACUACUACGAAAACACUUCAAUCUGUUAGUUUAUUGCCCGUACAUAAUAUUAAAAUACUUAACUUGGUAGAGAUUACAAUAUCUUUUAGGUCAUUUAAUGUGAUAUAUACUAUUGUUUAAUUAUUCAUAUCUUAUAGACAGCAACACAGUUUUAUCGUUUGAGUUUAGGAUUACUUGAAGUCAUAUCAUUGAUAUGAACCUUGAUCUUCAUUUUUUAUAGCACAAUCUCGAUUAGGAGCCCGCGCCCAUUCCCUAUCGAAUUAGCCUACGGAUUAUCCGAGACACCAUCCUAGGAGAUGGACUUGUCCAUCCGUUAUGCUUCAAUCUAGCUGUGCGUAAGAUUACUACCGACGCAGCAGAGAGGAGCGCAGGCACCAGCUCUGUUGGAAAGACACAUUUUCUCAAUUUGGGAUUCCAUGUGCAAGCACGGGCGCUAAGGCAGACUUGGUUAAGCCAAGAACAGCGCACCAAUGCACUGAUUAACAAUGUUGUGCUUGAGCCUUUUCCAAGAUACGACGUGUUUCACACCCCUACAAUUGUAAGUGUUCUCAUUCUUACAAAUUAGUUGGUUACUUUGUUUGACAUUUACCUUUGUCUACCAAAUGCAGUAUCUUCUACCACUGUCACUCGUGGAUUCGUCCUACGGUCUUUUAGCAGUGAACAUGGAAAUGGAGAGGACUAUCGUUAUUGAUUAUUCGAACCAGGAUGUGUUUCAUUUUGAGGAGGACCCCCAUGGCACUGAACUUCAGAGGGAAGCCCUUUUAGUGAAGCAAGAAUUCAGCUCUGUAUUGCAACAGGAGGCCCCUGAUAGGAACAGCCAACUUGUGGAAUGGCCCGAACAAGAUAACAUUCAUGUUUCACCUCGGCGGUACUAUUCUAAAUUUGGCUUGCAUAUUAGUGCGUGCUCUAAUAUAGCUAAUACAAUAUGUUUUUUUGGUGACAGUAUGGACUCCGGAUUCAAAGUUCUACAGGAGAUGGCCCAUCUAUAUGAAACCAUCGGUAAUGACAUGGUUCAUAACAUGCCUAGGACUGACGUAAGUGAUUUUGUAAUGAGGUUACAGAUUGCAUAUAUUUGCUAAAUAUACCUUCUGACUUUGUUUAUGCACAAUUUGUAGGAUCCACAAAGUCUCAGGAAGCGACUAAUGGUUCAGCUGUUGAUGGUGAGGGAUAACGAAGCAAAGGAUAACAUUUCAAAGCAAGUUAGAGCAGCGUUGAGAUUUAUUGGUGGCUAAGGAGGACUUCUGCAUCGAUAAAUACCUUAUAAUAAAAUGAUGUUUAGUUGCUUUCUAGGAAAUAUCUGUUUCAAUGCCCGUGCUGAUCAGAUGAUCAGUUGACAUUUUCUCUUAUAUUUAUGUUGGUUGGUAUCCACUAGCUAUAGAUUGAUGUUGGCAUCCCCUAGCUUUGUUGGUUAUAUAUCUAUCCUUCCGUCCAUCUAAAUUUUACGGGAAGAAGGCCAUAUUAGUUUGGACCAGGUUUGGUGCUCCAGAUACACCGGAAUACUUUUGUGUUAGACCAUGAUAGGUUCACAACGUACUCAUAGACCAGCAGGUGAUGUUUUCAGAUAUUCAGUGCCUCGCAACAUAUACUACCUCGUAUAGUAUAACUCCAUCCAUACACGCACUGCUAUACUAUACGAGGUUUUCUUUGUAGUAAAAACACAUUCCAGCUAGCGAGUAGUCAAUAAAAAAUAUGAUUGUCAUACGGCACGUACCUUGCAUAUAUUAUAUAAGUUCCAAGUUCUCCUUUAUCUGCCUCUCUCGCCGAUUCCUUCAAUUCCAUCCUUGCAAAUAAACGCUGAUUAUCUUUUAUGUGUUCCUGAAUAGAAAACAAAAAUUAGAGAGAGCAAUGGGUUUUCUUAUUGAUCAGUACAUAUAGAUAAAACCUAAAACUAAAAUAGUAGGUAUGUUAGNNNNNNNNNNNNNNNNNNNNNNNNNNNNNNNNNNNNNNNNNNNNNNNNNNNNNNNNNNNNNNNNNNNNNNNNNNNNNNNNNNNNNNNNNNNNNNNNNNNNNNNNNNNNNNNNNNNNNNNNNNNNNNNNNNNNNNNNNNNNNNNNNNNNNNNNNNNNNNNNNNNNNNNNNNNNNNNNNNNNNNNNNNNNNNNNNNNNNNNNNNNNNNNNNNNNNNNNNNNNNNNNNNNNNNNNNNNNNNNNNNNNNNNNNNNNNNNNNNNNNNNNNNNNNNNNNNNNNNNNNNNNNNNNNNNNNNNNNNNNNNNNNNNNNNNNNNNNNNNNNNNNNNNNNNNNNNNNNNNNNNNNNNNNNNNNNNNNNNNNNNNNNNNNNNNNNNNNNNNNNNNNNNNNNNNNNNNNNNNNNNNNNNUAUUGGACGAAAACGAAUCCUAUUUGUGAGCUAGAUGUCUAUUUAUCAUGUUGCUAUUUACCUCUUCAAGUGUUUGCCUUAUUUUUUAUUCUAAUGUAUGGCACUCUUAUGGGCCUGCAGAAGGUUUCUUUUUAUGCUUUUCCCAAAUUCAUGUUUUUUCCCGCCGAAGAAAAAACUACUCAACUUAUUUUUAAAAUUUUGUCAUGCCUAUUAAAAAAUUGUAUAUGUGUUUUGAAAUAUGUUCAUCAUGCAUUCAAGAAAAAUUCAACAUGUAUUAAACAAAAUAAUGUUCAAAAUUACUCUUACAUUUAUACAAACAUGUUCUUUAUAAAUUUUACAUAUUUAUAGAGUGAUGGAACCUAUGUACCUCAUGUUCAAGUAUUACUGAAAUCCAACGAUCAUUUCCAGCAUUAUUUGCCUGCAGAUUAAAGUGUAACUUGACCCUAUUAGAAUGAUGUAAUGGACUCACUUAUCAAAAUUGAGUUGAGCAUACUCUUACAUUAGAAGGCUUCAAGGCUCCCCAUGAUUUUACAUUCACCCAGUUUAGUUGAUCAAGGGACACAUUUGCACUGAAAACAGACAUUUGUACAGGGAAAUCAAAUAGCCACCACGCCACCAAAGUAUAAGAAUUUUGAUUAAAAAAAGAGACCGAUAUUCAACAGCCAGAUACAUUUGACAUUAUAAAUUUGAUUGACGUCAUUGUUAUUUUUAAAAAAUGCGAUUAUGCCAUAAUUGAGCUUAGCAAUUUUAAUAUUUCAAAUGAGGAAAUCAUCAAGCAAUUUCGGUUUUAGUUCUCAUUUAAUUAAAUUCAUAGUGUUUGUUAUAAAUUAUUUGGAAAACAAUUAACUCUAUGGCUCUUAUUACUAAACAGACUAUCCUGCUAAUGUUUUAUAUAUGGAAUUUGGGUUGGCUAAUUGGAUCCUAGCAAACCAAGACAACGAUGCAUCUUGCUUUACACGUCAAUGAGACUUUAACAAAGCAAACAAUCUGUUUGUCUUACACAAUUUGUGCAUUUAUCAUCAAGCUUAACAUAUACAAGUCCACUAACAAUAUCGAGACCCCCACAUAUAUUAUCCCAGGCCUGCAUAUCCGGUUCAGUGAUUGUUCGACAUAAACAAGACCACUCACAGUACUACUACUAAGCUACUAUACUAAACAAGUCAAUUUUUGUUCAAGUUGAUACCGUUUAGUCGUGUAGAGGAUGUACCUGGCUGGUCAAAUUCGCUGGAGUCAGCUCUGUCUCACCACAGUCUUCACCACCGUGGCCUUGUCUUGUCCGUCGGGGAUACCUCUUCGCCCAGGCCCUGCCUUUGAGGCCGGGUCACGGCACCUCGAUACAUCAUCCUGGAGAUUAUCAGGUCUUGGAAGCAAAAAAAGGAAUAAUUUUCUUCAAGUUGCUACGAUGUAGUCGUGUAGAGGAUGUACCGAGCUGGGCAAAGUCGCUGGAUUAUGCUCUGUCACAAAUGGUCUGCAACAGUUCCACGCCCCCUUGUGACCUACGGCCGCUCGUACCCAGUCGAUGUUGACAUUGUAACAGGUCGAUGAUGCAUUAGGUGCAUCUGUGUUUUGAUUGUGCAUACAACAAAAACAGAAGGUUGUUAAUUGCCAUCUUUCAGAAACAAAACAUUUUAGAUUAUUUGAAUGUUUAUUUAACUUGAUUUAACCGUAUGAAAAUUCAUGUUUACCUAUUCAAACUGAACAAUAAUAAAAAUAGAAUCAAUAUUUAAAUAGACAAAUAAGAUAUUUUGUUUUUAUAUGGCAUGCAAACAGUAAAUUAUCUGCCAUGAUAAGUUGUUUAUUUAAUUAAUACAACAAUUUAUUUUUUAGUAAGUUCUGAUUUCUGACAUCUUUUCUAAUUUAUUAUGAGGUGUGUUUGAUGAAAAAAAGGAAAGAUAUCUACAACAUACGUAAGUAUAUAUGGUAAAACUGGAAAUAUAUCUGCUACUCAGCCUUCCCCUGCAUGGCCUACCUAUAUAUGUUAACCUCCUCUGUCAUCCCUCACCCCCCCUCCUUACUCUCCCUUUUCCCAUCACAGAUAGCAAAGGAUCAUAAUACCCAUACUUGGAGCACCAAUUCCCUAGGAGUACCUUAUGUAAGCAAGGAGCACCAAGAAGGCGAGGUCCUCUAGGUAUGUGAAAAUUUCUGGAUCUUUGUAUUCUGUAAAAGGGCAACAGCUACUAGAUUAGGAUCAUGCUUUGGUCAGGCAUACCAUCAAAAUCCAAAAAAAGAACACCAUUGGAGAUAGUGCCAGGUUAGAAAACUAUCAUAGCCAAUACAAUUGAUUUUAGAUCUAAUCAAGCAGUCCUAUUAGAUGGGCUGCAAUUGAAUACAAACGGUUAUUUCAGAUAUUAUAGGCUAACAGUCUAUUCUGGACAUCGCAAGUGUGGCAUACACCUAACUGUUUAAGUUAUGACCAUAGUUGAUUGCCUAACUUUUAAUGAAAUCUAAUAAAUAUAUUUGAGCCAGAAAAACAAACAAUUAACUUCUUAAGUGUUUCAACAUGCCAGAAAACAAACAAAUUUAAUCAUCUUCUGAUGAUAGAUAUCAUCAGAGUCAUAAUAUUAAAUCAUUACGUGUAAUAGAAAUUGCAUGAGACAUAAUGCUUCGAUGGAAUAGUCUAAAAGUAUUCAUAAAGCCAAAUUUAUUAAUGGCAGUGCUUCCUAAUUUUACCCUCACAAAACAUAAUAUGACAGAAUAUAUACAGAAAUAUGUAGUGCUGCAAACAUUGCAUUUUUCUAUUUCUGAUAGGACCACAUUUUUUUGGAUGAACAAAUACAAUCAUUGGAGUUAACCAAUCAGCAAAAACAUUGUAUUGAUUAAAUAUGAUUGCAUACUCUACAAAAAAUCCAGAUAGUAUUGUGUCUAUCUGGUUUCUAAAUAAGAACUAUUGCAUGGAGAAUACAAGAGAAAAAUAAUCAAACAUGUCCUCAUUUACUGUAUUAGCGAGAUAUUUGAUAAUAUCAAGUUUACAAUAAUAUGUAAAUUAGCACUCUUGCAAUUUAUAUCAGUCACAGAAAAUCACACAGACCUUGCUUAUCCUUGUUCUCCUAUACGUAGCUCAUACCUGUGGACGGCGACUUGCCAUUUUUAACCAUCGUGUGUGUAUCGUCCAAAGUUUGUCGCCGUCCACAGCACUUAUCCUAAAGCUAAUAGUAGCAGUACACGCUCACAUUAGCUAGCACAUACAUUUGUCUAUCUCCCUCUACCUCUCCCUCUCUCUUCUCCUAAAGCUAAUAGUAGCAGUACACGCUCACAAUAGCUAGCACAUACAUUUGUAUAUCUCCCUCUACCUCUCCCUCUCUCUUCUCCUAAAGCUAAUAGUAGCAGUACACGCUCACAAUAGCUAGCACAUACAUUUGUAUAUCUCCCUCUACCUCUCCCUCUCUCUUCUCCUAAUACUAAUAGUAGCAGUACACGCUCACAUAGCUAGCCACAAAUUACAGCAAAACACGGACCGUAGUCCAUUCGCGGGUACUGGGCAGGGGGGAGGGGCCGUUUGUCUCACCUUGACGCGGAAGUGGUGGGGGUUGCCGAAGACGGCGGAGUGGUAGACGAUGAAGACCAAAGGCUGCACCACCGUGACCCGACCUCGUGGUGGUUCUUCUUGCCGGCGAUGUGGACCACAGGCUGCACCACCGUGGUCGUGUCUUUGCCCUGGCCCUCCAUGUGCGGCCGUGCCACGGCGCCUCGAUAGAACAGCGAGGAUGAGAUCAGGUUAGGGAAGCAACAAAUGGAAGAAGUAGAGGAGGAAAUGGUUCGGAUCAGCGUACCGGGGCUUCUGGCGUUGCAGAUCGGCGUACCUUUUCUAAUAUGGAAUCUUAUGGAGCUCUGGGUAGUUAGACCAAUACUCAUCCAGGAUAAGCAACAGUUCCUGUGCUCUACCAAGAGCAUAUGCCGGGAUAAGAACACGCCCCCCUUGAGAAACAGUGUUGUGGAUGGCAUCAGUGAAGCGCUUUUCUCUGACAUGGCGGGGUUGGUGUUGCUGCACGCCAUAAGUUGACUCAAUAAUGCAAAUAUCAGGGGAGAACUGGGGGAUCUCAGCAGCUUUCAGGUGCCGGUCUUCUUCACGGGAGUAGUCACCGGUGUAAAGAAUGCGAACACCGGCAAUAUCCACCAUGAACAUGGCAGCACCAAGUACAUGGCCAGUAGUAUAGCACCAGAAGCGUAUGCCAUUAACUUCAAGUGUCUGGUGGAAGUCUAUGACCUGCAUCACAAUUAUAUAUUAAUACAAUGUCCAUUGUCCCUGUGGACUUUCAAUCCUCACAAGCAGAAUCAGGCCUCAGCUGUAAAGGUAAAAAAUCCUGCUAUUUGGAAGCAAUGCCCAGAUAAUACAGGGUUCUUAAAUCUUAAUUUUACCAACAGCACAGCGACUUUUAAAUGUUUUGACAAUUUAGAAUUAACACUGACACAUAAGUGCUCCAAAGGCAGGAAGCAGGAGCUAGCUAGAUGGGGGGACUGAAUCUAAGUUCACUUUAAAAUAUUACCCAAGCAUGUAAUAUAUAUGUAGGCAACAACUCCAUCUACCUAAAGAACAGAGUUUGACUGAAUUUGUAGGAAAAACUAUCAAGAACUACGAUACCAAAUUAAUAUAAUUGGAUACGCAACAAAAAUAUAUUUUCUUAUUAUAUCUAUUUAGUAUUGUAGUUGUUGAUGAAUUUUCCUACAAACAUGAUCAAACUAUGCACCAUUUGACUUUGGACAACAUUUAUAUGCCUUCUUUUCAGAGACAGGGGGAGUAGUAUCUUUAUUUGUUCUUCUUUUUCUCCUCUAAAUAUAGUGUUUCCAGUUUUCUACCGACCAGGCUUUAUCAAUCAUCAUCGUAUUGGCUACAGGCAAUUCAUACCAAACCAAAUGGAUCAAGUCGUUCACAUUUACACAUGCCGGAAACAACAAGAUAAGCGAAAAUAAGGUACUGUACCUCGAUCUUGUCCAUGGAACGGAUGAUGUCCUGCUCGUCAAACAGCAUGUCCUCUAUCGACACCUUGCUGACCUUGACGUAAUCCGAGAGCAGCAGCCUGUAGAUGGCCUUGGUGGCGUGGGUCAUGAACACGCGGCCCUUGAACGUCGUCUGCAAACAAAAACAAAGCAAAUUCAGGUACCAAACAGCAUAACAACAUCGACCUCCGACGCGUAUUACCUACCUACCUUCUCGAGGAAGUAGGGCAGCGAGGCGGCGUGGUCCAAGUGGAAGCUGCAAUUCCAAUCCAAGGCCGGAAAUUAGGCGUUAGGAACGCAGAUAUGCGCAGGUGGGGAUGGAGGCGCGGUUGCUUACUGGGUGACGAGGAGGACGUCGAUGGCGGAGGGGUCGAUCUCGUCGAAGUAGGGCAGCGCCGCCAUGCCGGAGUAGGCCGUGUGGAUGCCGCAGUCGAACUGGGCACCAGCGAAGAGCCAGUCAGUCGGAUUCCCCCAACAAGAACAAGGCGAGCUAAGCGGGGAGAGGGAGGAGGGGUUUGGAUGCGAACCAGGACGGUGCGGCCCUUGAAGGACAUGUGGACGCAGAAGUGGUGGGGGUUGCCGAAGACGGCGGAGUGGUAGACGAUGAAGACCACAGGAUGCACCACCAUGACCCCGACCUUGUGGUGGUUCUUCUUGCCGGCGAUGUGGACCACAGGCUGCACCAACGUGGCCGUGUCUUCGCCCUGGCCCUCCAUGUGCGGCCGUGCCACAGUGCCUCGAUAGAACAGCGAGGAUGAGAUCAGGUUAGGGAAGCAACAAAUGGAAGAAGUAGAGGAGGAAAUGAUUCGGAUCGGCGUACCGGGGCUUCUGGCGUUGCAGAUCGAGGCACCCCGCUUCGGAUCUGAGCAAGGAACUCGCCGGAGACCAGCACCGCCGCGGAUCCAAACGGCGACCAGAUCCAACACCCGCGCCUGGUCGAUGUGCCCGUGGUCGUCAACAUCUGUCACACACGGGUCGCCGGAGAGUGGUGCGGUGGUCGGCUGGCGGAGUCGUGGUGGUUGCGAGCUCCGCGACGUUCGUGACGAUGCGGCUGGAGUAGGUGAGCGGGUUAGAUGUGCGACUGGCGAGUGAGUUGAGAGGAGAGGGAAGGGACUGAUGCGACAUGAGUGGGCGGAGGAGCGCGGCCGGCAGCUCGUCGACGCGCGCGGCGAUGCGGUGGCGGAGGGGAAAGGGGCAGUUGAAGUGAGUGGAGUGAGGAGUGAAUGGUAUAAGGUGAAUGGGGCGGGGUAGGUGGCCACGAGUUAUGCGGGAGGUGGGGGAGGUGUGCCGUCGUGCUGGGGAGGUGGGCCGUCGCGCGGGGGAGGUGUACCAUCGGGUGGGGAGGUGGGCCGUCGCCUGUGAUGCACUUGUGCUGGGCCUGGCCCAGCUUGUUCCGGCCCUGUGUAAUACUGUGGAUAAAAAUCAACUGUGCAUAUAUAUAUAUAUAUAGAUAAACUAUACAUACCUCACAAAAUCAAUAAAUGUGUAUAAUAAUAUACAUGGUUCAUACUAAUAUACAUUUUUUAUACUUAUUAAAUAAACCAAGGCCAUCACAAAAAAAAUAAGAGGGGGUAAAUAAUAGAAAACACAAAUAUACUUUGUUAAAGAAGGUUUGUUUGCAUGUUUUACUUUCUUUUGUUGGACAGAUUUCCACAGCCUACAUAAAUAAUUUAAAUAAUUUUCAAAUGAUUACUUACUUAUAUAAGAACAUUAUAUUUAGUUGUUUUUCUCGAAUAUACUUUGUUAAUGUUGGUUUGUUUGUUUUAGUUUUUGUUUGACAAUUUUCGCUAUGCUAUACAAUUAAUUAAAAAUAAUUUAAGCAAUUUCAGACCCCUACUUAUAUAUAAACAUUAUAGUUUGUUGUUUUCCCCAAAAUGUUGUGUUAGUAAAAUGAUUUUUAAUAUUUAUUUUUCUAAUAAAAUCAAAUGCCUUUUUUUAGCAGAUAAAACAUUUGUGUUGGUUUCACAUUCAGUUUUAUUAUAUAUUUUAAAUAAUAUUAUGAUGCAGUAAAAAUUAUUAAUUAUAUUUUAGCAUAGAUAUAAAUUGAUGGGUUCCGACAUACGCAUUGAUGCAACAAUGACAGACCACGCUGAAACACCACGAGAAGAGGUGCGUAUAGCUAAACUUCCUUUGUACGUAUCUUAUAGAUGAUAAUACAGAAGGUCUAAUUUUAUAUUUUUGUUAUUUCAGAAUACAGAAGUCAUGGAUAUGGACUUUGGAGAUGCACGGAAAGAAUACAUUGAUGGUUCGGAUGCGAUGUCGCUGAAAGGGGAAAAUUCACAACAUAAAAAUGUCGAAGAGGUUAUAUGUCAUAACAAACCAAAAAAGAUGCCAAUUUACAUGUUCUCCCACAAGGUUUUUUUAUAUCAUUAUCAAAUUUUUUUGUGAUAUUUCCUUUUGUAUUCAACUAAUUUUGCUCAUUUUGAUUGCUAAGUUGGCUCACUUUUUUUAUGAAUUCGACUGACUGUGUUUGUACCCUUAGAGAUAUUACAGUCAUCGAAUCAAUCAAGUCUGCCCCCAAGAAUACCCAGUUUGUGGACAUUGGAGAUGCCUUGUUAUCAACCGACGAUUUGGAAUGCCUUAUAAAAGAUGAUAUAUUCUUACAUGACGGUGUAAGGCCAAAUGCACAAACUUUGUAAUUAAUAAUUUGAACAAAAUAUAAUAUCAUAAAUUGUAAAUAUAAUGUAAAUAUUGAUUACAGGUGAUAAAUGCUUACAUAUAUUGCAUGCUUGCUCACGACCAUCUAAAAGUUAGGGCGGGCGAAAAGGAAGAAAUUGUUAGCACGUUUGUAUCUGGCCAGUUAAAAGAAGACGGGGAAAGAGACAUAGACCCAUCAAAAUAUCACCGCAUCAUGCAUCAUGUCAAUACUUACCUAUGGUUAGUUUUUGUCUCGUUAUCCAUGCAUAUAAUUCUGGAUUGUUUUUAUUUAAUUCAUAGUUAUAAUGAAUUAUUAAUAUUUAUAUCUAAUUGCGAUCGUGACUUGUAUGAUAUUUACACCAGUUAUUCAUUCCGAUUAACAUGUCGGGCUACAAUUGGUAUCUAGCAGUCGCCAAUGCCAAAAAACGUGAGAUUCAAGUAUUGGACUCACUUGGUUCUCGGGUCAAACGCAAUGACCUUGCUACUACGGUAAGUAUAUAUUUUUUUACUCAUCUUAACAUAUGUUUUGUUUGCCUUGUUCCCUAAUAUUUCUCAUAUAUAAAAUAGUUACUAGGACUUGAGAAGUGUCUAAAACUUGUAGAGCAUAGUUUAUCAAAGGUCAUAAGUGGCCCGAUCUUAAUGUUACAAAAUGGACGGUUGUAGAGCAGUUUCAUGAGGCAAUACAAACCGAUGGGUAAGCACAUGUUACAAUGGUUUGUUUAUUUGAUUUAUCUGUGUGGUAUUGUAAAGGAUUGUUUUAUAAUAUUAUAGCGUAUCAUGUGGACUGUUCAUGUUAAAUUAUAUGGAAUACUGGACAUCACAUGGACUGUCAGACACGUUCACCCAGGUAUUCCAUUUUUAUACAUUAUCUCGUUAUUUUAUCUCAAAAUAUUAUAUAAAUUUAUUUUAUAUAUAUUUUGUAGGAGGAUAUGAAACAUUUUAGGAAAAAAAUGGCUAUCAUUUUGCUCGAUUCAGAGCUGAAUAAGCUAAAAGGAGAUCCCAUAUACCAUCAACCUGACGAUGAAGAAACUUUAGCUAACUCUAAUAUCGAGAUCCUGGAGAAUCCAUCUGACGUAGUCAAAGACAAACGUCAUGCCCCAAUCACUAUCAUACCCACGGACCAACGUGAAUUACUUGCCGGCCUCUGCAACUACAUCAUGUCUAUCGAUGAUGUUGGGUGUUUGGAGUAAGUAUCAUGCAUCAAUAUUUAAUGUGCGGAUUUAUAAUAUUAUUCUUCCUAUCAUCCAAUUUAUAGUUAGGUAUGGGUCCGGAGCUCGACACCCGAUCCAAUGGGCUUAAGUCUUAAGAAACUUCAGUGCAUACUUAACAUGGAGCAGACCAUGGACAAUGACUGCUUCAACACAGCCGUGCGCAUGCUGGCAUGUGACGAGGGAGUAUUGUUCACAUACCCUCCUGUGCAUUACAUGGAUCUAUGAUUUUGUGUAAAUUAUCUUAACUCUUCAUUCUAUGUGUCAUUAUUAUCAACAUGUUGAAACAAUAUUUCUUUUUUUACUUAGUCCAUGAUGUUAGAGUCAACACGAGGUCAGAAGUUUUGCGAGAAGGAAACUAUUCAGAGUUUGGCAACAUUAUUUGAUAGCUGGCCUGAGAUGGACAACGACAUCUCAUCGUGCAACAAGGUAAGUAAAUUAUUUUGUCAAUUGUUAUCAUGGUUUAUUGUUGUUUCUAAUACCUGCACUUGUAGAUUUAUCUUCCCUAUGCAUCCAUCGGCCGAUACAUUUUGUACGUCGUUGACAAAGAGGCACGUCGUCUAUAUAUUAUGGAUCCUAUUCAAACAUCAUAAUCGUUAGAGGAGAAAAAUUUGAGGCAUGCACUGAAAUUAAAAAGUUUUGCAAGGGAUUUCAAAGAAGCACUCGAAAUUAAGCUGCCUGGUUGGAAUUAUGAUCUAUCUAAAUGGCAACGUUUAUUUCCGUCCUGUGUUCCAACGAGUAUAGAUGGGUAAUGAAUUCAUAACAAAAACAUUUACUUUUGUUAUUACUAUAUUCUUUACAUUGUUAAUUUAAUGUUUUACAGGAAUUUGUCUGGCUAUUUUGUUUUUCAUUUUAUGCUCUGGUGGAACGGUGAAGAUUUGGUCAAGCCGAUUUGCGCAGUGAGUAUUGUCCGUUACAUGUUUUAAGACCUUCGGCAUGAAAUUUUCAUACUAACUACAUGUAUGCGUUUGUGCAGGAUGGGUAUGAAUUGAGGAAGCAUUUUUUGUUAUACUUGCUAAAACAUCGUGGGAAUGAGGCUAAAGGAAACUUACCGGAUAUUGUGCAAGAAUUUCUUAAGCGCAUCAUCUAGAUAUUAAUAGCUUUGUAAUAGAUGUUUAGUUGGAACAUCGCUCAGUUUGUUACAUGGACAUGUCUUUAAUUUUUCUUAUGUUAUCAAUUUACAUUGCAAAAAUAAAGUUCAGUUAUUAAAUAAUUAUGUUUCUGUUAUAUUGUUUGUACGUGUUGAAUUUAACAUGUAACUCCUGCAAACUUUUUCAAGAGCCCGUGGCAACGCACGGGCACUCUACUAGUAGAUCUAGGUAUUGUCAUCUUUGGUAUGCAAUCCAUAUGUGGCUCUCAUAAUAGAUUCAUAAGGUAAUUUAAUUUUCUUUCUAGGAAAGUGUUCCAUGCCUUUCCUUAACGGAAAUUGGAAUCUAAUAUUUCCUUCUUUCAUGUCAAUAAUUGUACCAAUCGUUCUAAGGAAAGGUCUACCAAUAAUAAUAGAACAUGUAGGAUUGCAAUCUAUAUCAAGAACAAUGAAAUCUACGGGCACAUAAUUCCUAUUUGCAACAAUAAGAACAUCAUUAAUUCUUCCCAUAGGUUUCUUAAUGUUGGAAUCCGCAAGGUGCAAGUUUACAGAAAUUAUCAUAAUUAAAUUCCUUGAAAUCCAAAAUAGUGAGUUCAUUGCUAUGUAAAGUUUAACCUCCUCAAUCCCACUUUUACCAAUUUUUGCAUCAAGAUCUAAAAACUCCGAAUCAUUCGGACACCUUCUAACUAAAAUUGACUCAUCUCCAGUGCCAUCUUUAUCAAUAUUCAUAUUGGCAAACAAAGACUUAAUAGGAGACACACCAAUCACUUUUAGAUCUUCAUCAUUAUUAUCAUGAAAACUAGGAGAACACGCUUUCACAAAGCAAUCUUUUUUUAGCACGCAUCCUAGCGGUUCUUUCUUUGCACUCAUCAAUAGAUAUUUUCAUGGCUUUGAGAGACUCAUUGAUAUCAUGCUUAGGUGGAAUAGAUCUAAGUUUCAAAGAAUCAACAUCAAGAGAAAUUCUAUCCACGUUCCUAACAAACUCAUCAAUCUUAAGCAAUUUUUCUUCAAGCAAAGCAUUGAAAUUCUUUUUCGAAUUCAUAAAUUCUUUAACACUAGUCUCAAAAUCAGAGGGCAUCUUAUUAAAAUUUCCAUAAGAGUUGUUGUCAGAAUUACCAUAAUUAUUAGAGGAAUUACUAGGGAACGACCUAGAGUUAAAAUUUCCUCUAUACGCGUUGUUACCAAAAUUGUUCCUACCAACAAAAUUCACAUCCAUAGAUUCUUUAUUAUUCUCAAUCAAAGUGGACAAAGGCAUAUCAUUAGGAUCAAAAUAAGCACUCUUAUUAGCAAACAACUUCAUAAGCUCGUCCAUCUUUCCACUCAAAACAUUAAUCUCUUCAAUAACAUGAACUUUUUUACUAGUGGAUUUUUCGGUAUGCCAUUGAGAAUAAUUAACCAUAAUAUUAUCUAGAAGUUUAGUAGCUUCUCCUAAAGUGAUUUCCAUAAAAGUGCCUCCCGGGGCCGAAUCUAAAAGAUUUCUAGAAGCAAAAUUCAAUCCAGCAUAAUUUUUUUGUAUAAUCAUCCAUAAAUUCAAACCAUGUGUAGAGCAAUUAUGUAUCAUUAAUUUCAUUCUCUCUCAAGUUUGUGCAACAUGCUCAUGAUCAAGUUGCUUAAAAUUCAUAAUAUCGUUUCUAAGAGAGAUGAUCUUAGCGGGAGGAAAAAACUUAGAGAUAAAAGCAUCUUUGCACUUAUUCCAUGAAUCAAUACUAUUUUUAGGCAAAGAAGAGAACCAAGUUUUAGCACGAUCUCUAAGCGAAAACGGAAAUAGCUUCAAUUUAGCAUGAUCUCUAAGCAAAAACGGAAAUAGCUUCAAAUGGGUAGCGACAUCUUCACUAGGAAGGCCAGAAAAUUGAUCUUUCAUAAUAAGAUUCGACAAAUCGGUGUUGAUUUCACAAGAUUCAGCAUCGGUAGUAGGGAGCAAUCGGAGUGCUAAUAAAAUCAUUGUUGUUGGUAUUGGAAAAAUCACACAAUUUGGUAUUACCUUGAGCCAUCGUGACAAACAAUCAAUUCAACACACAAGCAAACAAGAGGCAAGCGAAAAGAAGCGAACGGAAAAAGGGCGAAUAAAACGGCAAAGGUGAAGUGGGGGAGAGGAAAACGAGAGGCAAAUGGCAAAUAAUGUAAUGCGAGGGAAAAGAGUUUGUGAUGGGUACUUGGUAUGUCUUGACUUGAGCGUAGAUCUCCCCGGCAACGGCGCCAGAAAUGGCUUGUUGACGGGAGAUCAAAUCUUGACUUGACUUGGUGCAACCUCCCCGGCAACGGCGCCAGAAAUCCUUCUUGCUACCUCUUGAGCAUGUUUUGAUUUUCCCUUGAAGAGGAAAGGGUGAUGCAGCAAAGUAGCAUAAGUAUUUCUCUCAUUUUUUGAGAACCAGGGUAUCAAUCCAGUAGGAGAUUGCACGCAAAUCGCCUAGUACCUGCACAAAUAAAUAAGAACCUUGCAACCAACGCGAUAAAGGGGUUGUCAAUCCAUUCACGACCACUUGCAAAAGUAAGAUCUGAUAAAGAUAAUAAGAUAAAUAUUUUUGGUAUUUUUAUUGUAUAGAUUGGAAAAUAAAGAUUGCAAAAUAAACGGCGACAGAAAUAGCUAGUUGACGGGAAAUUAAUAUGAUGGAAAGUAGACCCGAGGGCCAUAGGUUUCACUAGUGGCUUCUCUCAAGAUAGCAUAUCUUAUGGUGGGUGAACAAAUUACUGCCGAGCAAUUGAUAGAAAAGCGCAUAUUUAUGAGAAUAUCUAGGCAUGAUAAUAAACAUAGGCAUCGUGUCAAGUAGACUGAAACGAUUCUCCAUAUACUACUAUUACCCCACACAUCGACCACUAUCAGCAUGCAUCUAGAGUAUUAAGUUCAAGAGAACAGAGUAACGCUUUAAGCAAUAUGACAUGAUGUAGAGGGAUAAACUCAUGCAAUAUGAUAUAAACCCCAUCUUGUUAUCCUCGACGACAAAAUACAAUACGUGCCUUGCUGCCCCUGCUGUCACUAGGAAAGGACACCGUAAGAUUGAACCCAAAGCUAAGCUCUUCCCCCAUUGCAAGAAAGAUCAAUCUAGUAGGCCAAGCCAAACUGAUAAUUCGAAGAGACUCGCAAAGAUAUCAAAUCAUGCAUAUAAGAAUUCAGAGAGGAAUCAAAUAUUGUUCAUAGAUAAACUUGAUCAUAAACCCACAAUUCAUCGGAUCUCGGCAAACACACCACAAAAAGGAUUACAUCGAAUAGAUCUCCAAGCACAUCGAGGAGAACUUUGUAUUGAAGAUCAAAGAGAGAGAAGAAGUCAUCUAGCUAAUAACUAUGGACCCGAAGGUCUGUGGUAAACUACUCACACAUUACGGAGAGGCUAUGGUGUUGAUGUAGAAGCCCUCCAUGAUCGAAUCCCCCUCCGGCAGAUCGCCGGAAAAGGUCCCCAGAUGGGAUCUCACGGGUACAGAAGGUUGCGGCGGCGGAAAAGUCGUUUCGUGGCUCCCCUGGAUGUUUUCAGGGUAUAAGACUAUAUAUAGGCGAAAGAAGUAGAUCGGUGGAGCUAUGAGGGGCCCAUGAGGGUGGGGGGCGUGAUACGUUUCCGUCGUAUCUAUAAUUUUUGAUUGUUCCAUGCCAAUAUUCUACAACUUUCAUAUAUUUUGGCAACUUUUUAUUUAUUUUUUGGGACUAACAUAUUGAUCCAGUGCCCAGUGCCAGUUCCUGCCUGUUGCAUGUUUUAUGCUUCGUAGAAUAUCCAUAUCAAAUGGAAUCCAAACGGGAUAAAAACGAACGGAGAAUAUUUUUGGAAUAUUUGGAGAAUUCCGGAAAAAAAAUCCACGCGAGACGGUGCCCGAGGUGGCCACGAGGCAGGGGGGCGCCCCCCUGACCCUCAUGGUCCACCCAUAAGGCGGUUGAUGCCCUUCUCCGGCCACAAGAAAGCUAUUUUUUGGAAAAAAAUCGCAGCGAAGGUGUCGUUCCAAUUGGAGUUACGGAUCUCCAUAUAUAUACGAAACGGUGAAAGGGCAACAGAACAGAACGCAAAAACAGAGAGAGACAGAGAGACAGAUCCAAUCUCGAAGGGGCUCUCGCCCCUCCCAUGCCAUGGAGGCCAAGGACCAGAGGGGAAACCCUUCUCCCGUCUAGGGAGGAGGUCAAGGAAGAAGAAGACGAAGGGCCCCCCUCUCCCCUUCUCUUCCAGUGGCGCCGGAACGCUGCCGUGGCCAUCAUCAUCAUCACCGUGAUCUACACCAACACCUCUGCCAUCUUCACCAACAUCUCCGUCACCUUCCCCCCUCUAUCUACAGUGGUCCACUCUCCCGCAACCCGCUGUACCCUCUACUUGAACAUGGUGCUUUAUGCUUCAUAUUAUUAUCCAAUGAUGUGUUGCCAUCCUAUGAUGUCUGAGUAGAUUUUCGUUGUCCUAUCGGUGGUUGAUGAAUUGCUAUGAUUGAUUUAAUUUUCUUGUGGUUAUGUUGUUGUCCUUUGGUGCCCAUCGUAUGAGUGCACACGUGGAUCACACCCUAGGGUUAGUUGUAUGUUGAUAGGUCUAUGUAUUGGAGGGCAAGAGUGACAGAAGCUUCAACCUAGCGUAGAAAUUGAUGCAUACGGGGUUGAAGGGGGACCAAUAUAUCUUAAUGCUAUGGUUGGGUUUUACCUUAAUGAACAUUAGUAGUUGCGGAUGCUUGCUAAUAGUUCUAAUCAUAAGUGCAUAGAAUCCCAAGUCAGGGAUGACAUGCUAGGAGUGGCCUCUCCCACAUAAUACUUGCUAUCGGUCUAGUAAAGUGGUCAAUUGCUUAGGGGCAAUUUCGCAACUCCUACCACCACUUUUCCAUACUCGCUAUAUUUACUUUAUUGUGUCUUUACUUACAACAGCCCCUACUUUUUAUUUACGUAAUCUUUAUUAUCUUGCAAACCUAUCCAAAAACACCUUCAAAGUACUUCUAGUUUAAUACUUGUUCUAGGUAAAGCGAACGUCAAGCGUACGUAGAGUUGUAUCGGUGGUCGAUAGAACUUGAGGGAAUAUUUGUUCUGCCUUUAGCUCCUCGUUGGGUUCGACACUCUUACUUAUCGAAAACUGUUGCGAUCCCCUACACUUGUGGCUUAUUAAGAUCUUUUUCUAGCGCCGUUGCCGGGGAGCAAUAGCAUGGGGUGAAUAUUCUCGUGUGUGCUUGUUUGCUUUAUCACUAAGUAAUUUUUAUUUGUUGUUCUUAGUUGUUUUCUAUCUUUAGUUAUUGGUAGGAAACAAAAAAUACCAAAAAAAUUAGUUGUACCUACUAAACCAAUGGUUGAAGAACCACUCAAAAUCUAUCACACUGCAGAAGCUUAUUACUUGGAUCAUCUUCGAUCCCUAUGUGCUCGUGCUGAAACCCCAACUAGCUUAGUUGAGGGAAAAUCUUUAGAUGAGCAUGCUUGUUAUGUGCGACACCAAAUAUCUGAAAAAGGGAAAAUUUUGCUGGGUCAAAUUCAUCGUUUGCAAUGCUAUGCUUGGAAUUUAUGCGAAAUAUAUGAUAUUACUUGUUGUUCUGAAAACCCUAAGAAACACCUUCCCUAUCAAUGUGAGUUUAGUGAUAAUGGAAUUGUAUCUUCGUAUGCUAAGGGUGUUUAUAGUUACUAUGAUGUUCAACAAAUUGAAGAAUUUGUUGGUUUCAAGGGUGCUUAUGAAAUUACUUCUUUGAUCGAAACGUAUGAUGCUACUUUUUACAAAUCUGAAAAUAUUGCCAUACUUAAAUAUUGCUGUGAUAAUUAUGCUUCUAAUGCCUGUGUUGAACCAUAUAUUGAGGACUACCCCGCUGUCCAAGAAGAGACUAAUAUUUGCAGGAGUCUAUGGAAGAAGAAAUUGAUGAAACUGUGAGCUCAUUGGAUGAAAAAGAUGAGGAGGAGAGCGAAGAACAAAAGAAGGAAGAGCGGAUUAGCUACCCUUGCCGACCUUGUAAUGAGAGUAACUCUUCAACUCAUACAUUAUUUAAUUUCCCUUCGUGCUUACCGAAGGAUGAUUGUUAUGAUCCCUUUGAUUCUCUUGAAAUAUCCCUUUUUGAUGAUGCUUGCUAUGCUUGUGGCCAAGAUGCUAAUAUGAAUUAUGCUUAUGGAGAUGAACUUUCUAUAGUUCCUUAUGUUAAACAUGAAAUUGUUGCUAUUGCACCCACACAUGAUAGUCCUAUUAUCCUUUUGAAUUCUCCCGACUACACUAUAUCGAAGGUUGCCCUUAUUAAGGAUUAUAUUGAUGGGUUGUCUUUUACCGUUGCACAUAAUGAUUUUGAUGAAUAUAAUAUGCAUGUGCUUGCUGCCCCUACUUGCAAUUAUUAUGAGAGAGGAACUAUAUCUCCACCUCUCUAUAUUUCCAAUACAACAAAAUUGCAAGAAACUGUUUAUACUAUGCAUUGGCCUUUACCAUGUGUGUAUGAAUUGUUCUUUUAUGACAUGUCGAUGCAUAGGAAGAGAGUUAGACUUUGUUGUUACAUGAUAUAUGUUACUUUGUACUCACUACUAAAUUACAAAUCAUUGUUAAUUAAAAUUGGCUUUGAUAUACCUUGGGAUUCGGGUGGAUCAAUUACUUGAGCACUAUAUGCCUAGCUUAAUGGCUUUAAAGAAAGCGCUGCCAGGGAGACAACCUGGAAGUUUUAGAGAGUCAUUUAUUUCUGUUGAGUGCUUUCAUAUAGUUUAAAAAUAACAAAAAUAAAGAGGGGAACCCAAAACUUUUUCAAAAAGAAAGUGAAAGUGAGAAAGACAAGCAUUGUUGAAGUGGAAGAGCUCCUUGAACUUUGUUCAUGCUCACGGCAACUUUGUGAACCUUGAUUACAGAAACUUUUCAACAAAAAUAAUUAUCCCCUUGUACAAUUCCAUUGUAUUAUAAACAUAAUGUGCCAAGGUUUACCUUUAGGAUGUUUACAUUUGCUUGAUGGUUUGUAUGGUGCAGGACAGAAACUUUGGCUGUAGUGCGUGCUUUUACAUUUUUAACUCAAACGUCAAACGGUUCUGAUUCUUUUUGCACUGUCUUCCUAUACAAAUUGUUUAUGUUUCCUAAUUUUCGCAGAAUUUUUCAAGUAUCAUAAGUAUGGUGAAUGUUCAGAUUAUUACAGACUGUUCUGUUUUAGACAAAUUCUGUUUUUGAUGCAUAGUUUGCUUGUUUUGAUGAAACUAUCGAUUCAUAUCAGUGGAUUAAGCCAUGAAAAAAAGUUAUAUUACAGUAUACACAAUGCAAAAACAAAAUAUGAAUUGGUUUGCAAUAGUACUUAGAGUAGUGAUUUGCUUUAUUAUACUUACGGAUCUUACCGAGUUUUCUGUUGAAGUUUUGUGUGGAUGAAGUGUUCGAUGAUCGAGAAGGUCUCGGUGUUGGAAGAAGUAAGAGAGGCAAGAGCUCAAGCUUGAGGAUGCCCGAGGCACCCCAAGUAAAUAUUCAAAGAGACUCAAGCGUCUAAGCUUGGGGAUGCCCCGGAAGGCAUCCCCUUUUUCUUCAACAAAUAUCGGUAUGUUUUAGGAUUCGUUUCGUUCAUGCGAUAUGUGCAAUCUUGGAGCGUCUUUUGCAUUUAGUUUUCACUUUUCUUUUAUGCACCAUGCUGGUAUGACAUAGUCCUUGGUUGAUUUAUAGAAUACUCUAUGCACUUCACUUAUAUCUUUUGAGUAUGGCUUUAUAGAAUGCUUCAUGUGCUUCACUUAUAUCAUUUGAAGUUUGGAUUGCCUAUUUCUCUUCACUUAGACAACCACCAUUUGUAGAAGGCUCUUUUGCUUCACUUAUAUUUGUUAGAGCGCGGGCAUAUCUUUUGUAGAAAGAAUUAAACUCUAUUGCUUCACUUAUAUCUAUUUAGAGAGAUGACAUGAAUUGGUCAUUCACAUGGUUAGUCAUAAAAUCCUGCAUAAAACUUGUAGAUCACUGAAUAUGAUAUGUUUGAUUCCUUGCAAUAGUUUUGGGAUACAAAGAUGGUGAUAUUAGAGUCAUGCUAGUGGGUAGUUGUGGAUUAGUAGAAAUACUUGUGUUGAGGUUUGUGAUUCCCGUAGCAUGCACGUAUGGUGAACCGUUAUGUAACAAAGUCGGAGCAUGAGGUAUUUAUUGAUUGUCUUCCUUAUGAGUGGCGGUCGGGGACGAGCGAUGGUCUUUUCCUACCAAUCUAUCCUCCUAGGGGCAUGCAUAGUAGUACUUUGCUUCAAGGGCUAAUAAAAUUUUGCAAUAAGUAUGUGAGUUCUUUAUGACUAUUGUUGAGUCCAUAGAUUAUACGCACUCUCACCCUUCCAUCAUUGCUAGCCUCUCUAGUAUCGCGCAACUUUCGCCGGUACCAUAAACCCACCAUAUACCUUCCUCAAAACAGCCACCAUACCUACCUAUCAUGGAAUUUUCCAUGGCCAUUCCGAGAUAUAUUGCCAUGCAACUUCCAUCAUCAUCAUAUACAUGACUUGAGCAUUCAUUGUCAUAUUGCUUUGCAUGAUCGUAAGAUAGCUAGCAUGAUGUUUUCAUGGCUUGUCCGUUUUUUGAUGUCAUUGCUACGCUAGAUCAUUGCACAUCCCGAUACACUGCCGGAGGCAGUCAUAUAGAGUCAUAUUUUUGUUCUAGAUAUUGAGUUGUAAGUAAAUAAAAGUGUGAUGAUCAUCAUUAUUAGAGCAUCCCCCCCAAAGAGAGAGGCCAAAGAAGUCUAAAUAAAAAAGGGGGCCAAAGAAGCCCACACACACACAAAAGGGGGCAAUGUUACUAUCCUUUUACCACACUUGUGCUUCAAAGUAGCACCAUGUUCUUCAUAUAGAGAGUCUCUUGAGUUAUCACUUUCAUAUACUAGUGGGAAUUUCACUAUAGAACUUGGCUUGUAUAUUCCAACGAUGGGCUUCCUCAAAUGCCCUAGGUCUUCAUGAGCAAGCAAGUUGGAUGCACACCCACUUAGUUUCAGUUUGAGCUUUCAUAUACUUAUAGCUCUAGUGCAUUUGUUGGAUGGCAAUCCCUACUCACUCACAUUGAUAUCUAUUGAUGGGCAUCUCCAUAGCCCGUUGAUACGCCUAGUUGAUGUGAGACUAUCUUCUCAUUUUUGUCUUCUCCACAACCACCAUUCUAUUCCACCUAUAGUGCUAUAUCCAUGGCUCACGCUCAUGUAUUGCGUGAGGGAUGAAAAUGCUGAAGCGCGUUAAAGAGUAUGAACCAAUUGCUCGGCUUGUCAUCAGGGUUGUGCAUGAUGUGAAUAUUUUGUGUGGUGAAGAUGGAGCAUAGCCAGACUAUAUGAUUUUGUAGGGAUAGCUUUCUUUGGCCUUGUUAUUUCGAAAAGACAUGAUUGCUUUAUUAGUGGGCUUGAAGUAUUAUUGCUUUUAUGUCAAAUGAUAGACUAUUGCUUUGAAUCACUCGUGUCUUAAUAUUCAUGCCAUGAUUAGAUAUGUCAUGAAGAUUAUGCUAGGUAGCAUUCCACAUCAAUUUUUUUAUCAUUUACCUACUCGAGGACGAGCAGGAAUUAAGCUUGGGGAUGCUGAUACGUCUCCGUCGUAUCUAUAAUUUUUUAUUGUUCCAUGCCAAUAUUACUACCCUUCUCCCAUCUAGGGAGGAGGUCAAGGAAGAAGACGACGAAGGCCCCCCCUCUCCCCUUCUCUUCCGGUGGCGCCGGAACGCUGUCGUGGCCAUCAUCAUCAUCAUCGCGAUCUACACCAACACCUCCGCCAUCUUCACCAACAUCUCCAUCACCUUCCCCCCUAUCUACAGCGGUCCACUCUCCCGCAACCCGCUGUACCCUCUACUUGAACAUGGUGCUUUAUGCUUCAUAUUAUUAUCCAAUGAUGUGUUGCCAUCCUAUGAUGUCUAAGUAGAUUUUCGUUGUCCUAUCGAUGGUUGAUGAAUUGCUAUGAUUGAUUUAAUUUUCUUGUGGUUAUGUUGCUGUCCUUUGGUGCCUAUCGUAUAGUGAACACGUGGAUCAUACCCUAGGGUUAGUUGUAUGUUGAUAGGACUAUGUAUUGGAGGGCAAGAGUGACAGAAGCUUCAACCUAGCAUAGAAAUUGAUGCAUACGGGAUUGAAGGGGGACCAAUAUAUCUUAAUGCUAUGGUUGGGUUUUACCUUAAUGAACGUUAGUAGUUGCGGAUGCUUGCUAAUAGUUCCAAUCAUAAGUGCAUAGAAUUCCAAGUCAGGGAUGACAUGCUAGGAGUGGCCUCUCCCACAUAAUACUUGCUAUCGGUCUAGUAAAGUAGUCAAUUGCUUAGGGGCAAUUUCGCAACUCCUACCACCACUUUUCCACACUCGCUAUAUUUACUUUAUUGUGUCUUUACUUACAACAGCCCCUACUUUUUAUUUAUGUAAUCUUUAUUAUCUUGCAAACCUAUCCAAAAACACCUUCAAAGUACUUCUAGUUUCAUAGUUGUUCUAGGUAAAGCAAAUGUCAAGCGUACGUAGAGUUGUAUCGGUGGUCGAUAGAACUUGAGGGAAUAUUUGUUCUGCCUUUAGCUCCUCGUUGGGUUCGACACUCUUACUUAUCGAAAUCUGUUGCGAUCUCCUACACUUGUGGGUUAUCAGGGUGCGCCUACCCCGCUGGGCGCGCCCUCCUGCCUCAUGGCCGCCUCGUGGCUUCCUUGACCUCCACUCCAAGUCUUCUGGAUUGUGUUUGUUCCAAAAAAGAUCAUCACGAAGGUUUCAUUCCAUUUGGAUUACGUUUGAUAUUCCUUUUCUGCGAAACACUGAAAUAGACAAAAAACAACAAUUUGCGCUGGGCCUUCGGUUAAUAGGUUAGUCCAAAAAAAUACAAAAGUGCAUAUUAAAGCUCAUUAAACAUCCAAAACAGAUAAUAUAAUAGCAUGAAACAAUUAAAAAUUAUAGAUACAUUGAAGACGUAUCAGGCCACCUUCCCCAGUGGGCCAAGUGGGCUGAACAAGGGUGGGAACUAGCCCCUAGUGGGCCGGUGCGCCCCCAAGGGCCCAAGGCGCCUCCCACCAAACUUGGGGGCAAGUUCCCCCUUGGCCGCCCCCUCUAGAUGGGAUCUAAAGGGGCUGCCCCCUCUCCCUUCACCCUAUAAAUAGAGGGGGGUGGGAGGGCAGCCGCACCCUUUCCCCGGUGCAACCCUCCCCCUCUCCAACACCUCCUCCUCCUCCUCCAUAGUGCUUGGCGAAGCCCUGCCGGAGAACUGCAAGCUCCACCACCACGCAGUCGUGCUGCCGUAGCUCUCCCUCAACUUCUCCUCUCCCCUUACUGGAUCAAGAAGGAGGAGACGUCCCCAGGCUGUACGUGUGUUGAACGCGGAGGCGCCGUCCGUUCGGCGCUUGAUCGGAUCUUCCGCGACUUGAAUCGCCGCGAGUACGACUCCAUCAACCACGUUUUUGUAACACUUUCGCUUAGCGAUCUUCAAGGGUAUGAAGAUGCACCCCCUUUCUCUCUCUCUCUCUCUCUCUCUCUCUCUCUCUCUCUCUCUCUCUCUCUCUCUCUCUUUCGUUGCUAGCAUCUCCUAGAUUGAUGUUGGUGACAUGUAGGAAAAUUUUGAAUUAGUAUUACAUUCCCCAACAGUCGGAGCAACCAAAUCCUGAUGAAAAUUGCAUGCAAAUUUCUUUGCAAGCCAUUAGCACUACUAGAGUGAGCACUUUGUUUGUAUUAGUACAGGUUGGAGGCAAACAAGCUCUUGCUUUAGUGGAUUCCGGAACUAAUUCUACAUUUAAGUCUGAAAUUUGCUUUGACUACAAAUUGUCCUAUACUGAAAGAUUAGUCUAUAGUUGUGAUAGUGGAGGUAUUUUGUGGCGUGGCUAAUAUUUUCCUACUACUACAUUUCACAUGGGCAAAGAAGAGUUUGAACAUUCUUGUAGGAUUCUUAAUUUGUCAUAGUAUGACAUGGUAAUUGGGUGUGAUCUGCUAGCAAAGCACAACCCUAUGUCUUUUGAUUAUGAAAACAAUCAAAUACUGAUGAGGAAGAAUGGUACCCAUCAAACUACUAUCUCUGCUUGUAACUCAUUUUCUGCAGCCACAGAAAUUUACAGUUCAAAAUCAGCUUCUAUGCUAACAACUGGAGCUAUUGGAUAUGCUAUUUAUCCGAUCAGGGAUGUCACUGUUACCAAGGAGUAAACACAUGUAACCCCUCCCGCAAUAGAAUAACUACUACAACAAUAUCCUAAGGUGUUUGCAUAACCCGAGGGACUGUCUCCUAUAAGAAGUUGUGACCAUAAAAUUCCCCUACAACCCAAUGUUGUAGCUAUAGCUACAAUACAAUGUAAAGGAGAGGUUCCUCUUUAAUAGAGUGUUUCGAUUCCCAAUUUCCCUCGAAAUCCUAGCCUCUUUGCUUGAUUUUCUCCUCCAAUCCACCCCGGAGUGUGACAGGCAUCGAGGAGGGGUGAUGGCUGCCAGUGUCUCGGUCAUCAGGGUGUGUCGGCGGUGCUAUGUGAUCUACACAUCGCAUACUGGUUUGACAAGCACCUUCCAGGUGAACAACAACACAUCGGCUGUAGCGCUUCCUCGAAGGAUGAGCCCCAUCCGCAUGUGUGCGCGUGUGAACAGUGAUGAUCCGAUAGUGCAGCUUAGCCUUCUACAUAUGCGGCGGUUGGGCAAAGGGGAAGUGAUUUGGGGCUUGGGAGCUGGGAGUCGAGGAAGGUCAUGUUAAUGAAGCGGUUUGGGCUUUGAGGCAGCAGUUUGCAGGAUAGUUGUGUGAUUAGUUUAAGCGUUAGCAUGGGAGGGAUGAGCAAGAGGAGAGGGGCAGACAAAGGACAUGCGAAAUGGAAACAUUACGUAUUUUUUGAAAAUAGAAGAGAUAUCUUUGAAUCAAAUGUCUAAAUUAAAUCUCGUUUGCAUAUUCAUGUUCCUUGUGAUCAAGGCUUUGAAAUAAAAUAACUAUUGCAUACGUUUUGAUAAGUUUUAAAACUUCAUCAGGUUUCAUCUUCUGAAACUUGGUACCAAUAAAACUAGGUAUGGUCCCGUGUGGAAUCCAACGAUUUAGCGAAUCGUGAAACAAUCUACAACCGGACACAUGUGUCCUUACAAAAGAUUAAACGAAAUAGCAAACACGUAGAAUAGAAAUAUAAAUAUUAGAUAAAAAAGUUUCCCGCAAAAAAAUGUAGAUAGAAAGUACAAGCUCGACUACGUUGUGAGCAAACCAUACGAACAAAUGGCAUGACGGUCGUUUCACGGCCAGCUUCCGACCGAGCCCGGCCGCCAAAUGCUGGAUACAAACGCACACGCGUCGACAACGCAUGCAUGCCAGCAGAGUCUUGAGCUUCGAAAUUGCUUCAUGCACGAUUUUUCUGGCCGACGCAUGCACGACACAGAAAUUCAACGGCUGAUGCCUGAUGUAUGCACGCAUGUGUAACCGGAUUUUAAACAUCGUCUAUGAGUCGUCCAUUUUUGUCGUGUGUAUAGCAUAGCUCCUUGAGCUUCUCGGCACCUCCCCUUUCUCGGAUAACUCCAUGCCUGCGAGAGGGCACGCCCAUUACGUGCUGUCUUCCAGGCCCUUGCCGGACACGUGGCGCGACAGCAGGGACAACGAGCAGGCCGACGACCGUCCGCGUCGCCGCACACGUGCCGCCUCCGUGCUUCACGACGCACCGCGCCCCUCCAGCUAUAAAAACGCGGCGUAUGACUCGUCCUUGCCACCAUCAUUGGCUCGAGCAUCAGCAGUUGCAUACAUCACACGCACACGUCCGUUUCAGGAACCUUAGCGGUCGAGCACCUGUCAGCAAUGGCGUCCGGUCAGGAGAAGGGGAGGUCGGAGCUGGACAGCUUGGCCCGCGAGGGGCAGACCGUCGUCCCCGGAGGCACCGGCGGGAAGAGCUACGAGGCGCAGGAGAAACUCGCCGAAGGUACGUACUUAAGAUAUGCCAAUGCUACAUACAUACUGAACAUGCAUUGUUGUAACAAGCGCGCAUUGCUGCAGGGCGCAGCCGUGGUGGGCAGACUCGGAAGGAGCAGAUGGGGGAGGAGGGGUACAGUGAGAUGGGGCGCAAGGGCGGGCUGAGCACCAACGACGAGUCCGGCGGCGAGCGCGCCGCCAGGGAGGGCAUAGACAUCGACGAGUCCAAGUUCAAGACCAAGUCCUAGAUGUUCAGUUCAGUGCCUCCUAGCUUAGCAAAGCAACUGACUGCUCGCCCGUGUUUGGAUGUUGUCCGUUUAGCGUGUCCCAGGUACUGAAUAAUGUAGGUCGUCAGGUACUCGGAUCUUGACGUGAGAACGCAUGUAGUAGGUGAUCAUGUGUCCAGUGAUCGUGUGUGCUUUAGUGUCCCAGCUAGCUUCUACUAGCUGGUUGUCGUUGUAAGUUGUGGCCAAGCUAUGCUGCUCUCUGUAAUGUAGUGCGUCUGUUUGUUUGUUAUGAAUCUGAAACUCCGUCUGUGUGCAAUGUUCGCUCAGCAAUGUACCUGGUAUAUGGUAUAAAUAGUUCCCAUUCCCCAAGAAAUCCUAAACCUACGAACUCAGCGAGAUGGACGCCAAGUGAAUCCCGUUCGGGAUCUAACCCUCGAGCAUCAAGAUAACCGGUGGUACUACAAUUUCUGACGCUUUUUUUUUGAGAAGUACUAUAUUUAUAUCAAUAUAAUAUCAACAUAUUACAACAUACAUUCUCUCGAAAUAGGCUUUCGCUCCGCUUUAUAAAUAAAACAACGAUCCACACGAUCCAAGUUUGAACAAUAUCCAACAGAAAACGGCUGGGCCACAACAUAAAUAAGCCCAAGAAAGCAUAAAAAAAAUAUAAAAAAAACCACCUAAUGGCUACCACUAAGCGGCCCUACAAGGACGCCAGCUGACGCGCCGAGGCCAAAAGCGCAUCCAUUAUCAAGCCGAGGCGAUCACGAUCACGCUGCCUCGAGAGCGGGUGCCGAGGCCAAAAGCGCAUCCAUUAUCAAGCCGAGGCGAUCACGAUCACGUUGCCUCGAGAGCGGGUGUCAGUGCUACAUGAAAGCAAGGAAUUUGAAGAGGGAGUCAGAUGCCUUCUUCGAGAAAACCUUCUCAAUCACCAUCUUAUUCCUAAUCGUCCAAAGAGUCCACGACAUUGCCGCAAAAUAAGCCAAAAUAGACGGUGAUGUCGUGCUGGCUGUAUAACUCGAAGCUGAAGGAACUCCGCGAGAUUUAGGGCCUCCCAGUCAGGCCCCAACACCUCGCGGACGAAAGUCCAUAAUACUCUCGUUGCCGUACAAGAGAAGAGAAUAUGGUUCCCAGUCUUCGGUACUGCAUAGAGAGGGCAUAUACCGUCCUCAGAUCCGUGCCGCUUAAGUACCUCUAUUCUCGAGAGGACACGAUUUCGUAGAAGUUGCCAAACAAAAAUCUUACUUUUUAAUGGGACGGGGGCUUUCCAUAGAGGGGGCAAGCCAGGGGCUAGUUGCCGACGGGCAAAGGACCUGGUAUGCCGUGCCCCAAAGAACUCCACUGUCAGCGUGCGACGUCAUGAAACUGUGUCCGGAUAAUCCAAGAGCACGAGCGGCAGGGCGGCCCGCAAUAUAGUCCAUACAUGGCAGAUCUGAGGAGAAAUCUAAAAAGAUAUCACACCAAGAGAAAUUGCAAGAAACAGAGAAAAUAGAAAAAUCUUACUGGUCCUUGCAUCCACCAACAAAACGAGCAUAAUCUUCAGCCACCGCCGUCGUCGUACUCGGAUCUUGACGUGAGCACGCAUGUAGUAGGUGAUUAUGUGUAUAGUGAUCAUGUGUACUUUAGUGUCCCGGUUAGCUUCUAUGGCCUUUCCUGGUGCUCCAUGGUAUACAGGUGCUAAGGGUGUCACAUAAGCAAAAAUAUGAUGUGACAAAGCAAUUAAAAAGGAGACAGAGCAUCAGGGCCGGUUCUGAGAUUUUGGGGGUCCGGGACGAAAGUAACAUUCGGGACCCUUAAUAUAAUCAUCACAACAAUAAUAAUUAAUUUAAUUCUACACGGAAUGUUUCUAAUAAAUACAACUACAUCCAAAAUCCGUGUUUAUAUAAUAACUUAUACACAUUAUUAUCUUAAAAAAAUUAUUGUAACACUCUUUGAUACAAAGUCACUUAUGGUUGUGUCGAUGUCAAUCUCAUCCUUCUUUCGCAUGCAUAAUGUUGCCUAACCAUUUAAGCUCUAUUGGGUCAUUGUUUAUGCCAAAUGGUCCUUCAAUAAUUUCAAGUUUGAAAAGCUUUUUUUAGUUGUUGCAAAAAUCACAUGCACAGUAAAUUCGAAUAAAUCUUUACACACCAUGAGUUUUUUAAGCCCUUUUUCAAUGAAGUGAUUGAUAUGAUCACCAAAAGAAACAAAUAUUUAACAUGAAAUUUUUCUCGCCUUCUAGAAUUUCUUCUUGGUCAACUACUUUUAUCAAACUGAUUCUCCUCAUAGCACGAAACUUUGCUUGAAAUUGUCGGGAAUAGUAAUAUGAUAUACCUCAGAGUGAUUGGAUCGGGGCAAUGAUGUGAUGUGGAUGUCUAGUGGUAGGUGCUCGGUGAUGUACGCAUGCGCUAACUCCAUCAGUGUCAAUUUUUAGGAGCCAGGCGAUGUUCGUGCUGCGUUUUCACCGCGUACAACGGCUUGAGACCAGCCAGCCUUCUGCGACUUGGGAUCUGAAGUUUGGAACAAGGGAACAGAGAAUAGGAAAUUUGGGAUGAACACAUGACGAACAAUCUCAUCUUUUUUAAGGAGAAAGAAUGUUUCCCGAUCGCAAGGAAUAAGGAAAGAGAACGGUACUGUGUCAAAAAAAAAGGAAAGAGGAAAGAGAACACCCGCAAAAAAAAGGAAAGAGGACACCCGCAAAAAAAAGGAAAGAGGACAGGGACGACAUGAUUUACGUGUGUACGCUGAUCUUUUUUUCCACCGUGAUCUGAUUUACGUGAUUUACGUGCGUACGCUAUUACCUGCCAUCCCAGCCAUCCCUUGGUAGGCUACUUUUUUUCAACAAGAAGCUAUGGGCUUAUGGGCUCCUACACCUGAAAGGGGCCCCUUGGAUCUUGGGGGCCCGGGGGGCCCCCCCCCCCCCCUCAGGGCCGGCCCUGCAGAGCAUUAUAGUGAUCCCAAUAAAAACCAAUGUUAAGCACGUGGACCUAGGAAAAAGACUACCAACCAAUACAUGAAGAAGUUUUAUUAUUAAACAAUUAAAUAGAGGAGGAUUAGCUACAACACCUAAGCAUCGAUGCAUUGGGGAUAUUAGUUGCUAAGCAUCUUAAUGCACUUAGCACCCCACUUUAGCACCAAUGCAUUGGGAGAGGUCUAUUAGCUGGUAGUAGCCGUCGCUGUAAGUUGUCAGUUGUGACCAAGCUAUGCUUCUGCUCUCUCUAACGUCUGUUUGUUAUGAAUCUGAAUCUCUAUCUGUGUGCAAUAUUCUUACUCCAGAUUUACUGCUCGGCAAUGUACCGGUACGUGUUAUAUCAUGCGAGUGAUAGGCUAUGUAUCACAAUGCAUGGUUGAUUUCGCUAUGUAAUGGCUGACAUUCAUUAGCUCGUCAUAAAUUCAAAGUAUAUACUCCCAUCACCAUCAUGUUUGGUAGGAGUAGAAGAAAUUGGAUCAAGAGAAACAAUCAAUAAAACAUUGUUUCAUAUCCAAGAGCCGUUCUUCAAGGAUUGCCGAGCAGUGACAUCUAUGGUUGGUGCAGGCCACCAUGAUUUACAUCCUAGGUAUAUGAGGCUAGUACUGCCCAUUUUGCCACCUGUCUAUGGUUUUUUUUAGCCACGACUUACUUUGCAUUUGAUAAUUUGCCACUCUUUACAUCGUAAUUGAUAUUUUGCCCCUCUUUACUUUGCACUUUGAUCUUUUGCCCUAUGUAGGGUGGGUCUCAUGUAAAAUGACUAGAAUAUCCCCGUCCUAUAGAUUGACUAUGCGCACCCUCUCGCCGGCAAGGACGCCAGGAGGCGGCGGCCCCGACGCCCUCCAAUCCCGGCCAAGCGCUGCUCUGGCCCUCCCUCCCUUGAUCUGCGCCAUGGCCGCCGGCCCAGAAUCACGAGUCAUGACCACACAGGCGUUGGGCGAAACCAGAACGCACACCGGCGGGAGCGCACGCUGUUGCCGCCGUGCUCGUCGCCCCAUAGACCAUGUCACUGCUCCUCUGCUUCUUCUCCAUAGGCCGUGCCGCUGCUCCCCUCUCAACUCUGGCAAGCACAAGCAGCACCAGCACGCGGCGAGAACAAGCAGCGGCAGCAGUACGCGGCGUUGGUGAGCAUAUAGACGCCUGUGGCGGAGCCAGGAAAAAUGAAUGAGCGGGGCCGAGUGUUCUUAACCCUUAUUGGGGAGGGCCAGUCCACAAAAUUACACUAUUUUAGCAGCAAAUAAUCAUAUAUUCAGAUGCAUAUUAGGCCUAACUCAGUGUUGUUAUAGGGGGCCAGGGCCCCUGCUGGUCUGCUCGUUGCAUGGAUUCUUUGGAAGACAAGCACGUACACAACUUAAUUGAUUCCGGCGAGUUACACAACACGCAAGCAACACACGAGGAAACAUACCGAUCCCAUCGAGACACACACGUGGCCGCGGACAAAAUGGAAGAGAGCGGCGCCCCAGAUCACCGGCGGCAUCUGGUUCUUUGGCAGCGUGGCCGCGGACAGACUGGAGGAGAGCGGCGCAAGGAGGAGGAAGGCGGCCAUCAGCAGAGGCGACGGCAGCAGGGCGGCGGCAUACGAGUUCAUCCCCUUUCUAUUUUGAUUUCAACCGGUGAAUCGUCUGGAUGCACCGGUGAAACUAGCAUAAAGGGUAUUUUGGUCCACUCCUUUAUGCAUAUAUUAUGUCAAUCAUUUGCAGGUAUUGUUUUUGUGUGAAAAAAUGGCUGAAGAUCAAAGUGCAAAUUAAAAAGGUGGCAAUAGAUCAACUACAAUGUAAGGAGUCACAAAUUAUCAAAGUAUAAAGUAAGUGAUGGCAAAAAAUCAAAAACCCCAGCAAUGGCCAUGGGAACAAGCAAAAGGAUGCAAAAUGAAGACCAUGUCAACGUUGACUGGUCUGCUGGGCUGCCAUGUCACACAAAACCAGUUGGCAGUUGUCAGAGGGAGUAAUUUAUCUAGUAUUGAAAGUACAAGGUUGUCUUCUAACCGGUUUUGGAGUUAGAGGUUGUAAAUUAAACUAACCCUAUGUCCAGGAUUGAAAUAUGCACUUCUAUUUUUUAUCCUCAUCAACUUGCCAUACAAGCAUUGCCCCAUAAAAGUCAGCUUUCUUUCUAACACCCACAAGAAUUGGGUAUAGAGGCAUCAUAAAACAGAGGUAUAUUAGUUUGGCGGGAUUGCGCCAAAGUCACCCUACCAAUAAUGUUUAAAAGUCUUCCCUACCAACAGACACAUAUUUUCUCAAUUUUUUCAACAACCACCUUGCAAUGUUUAUUCCUAAUUCUAAUAUCAGACAUGCAUCGCCAAAUAUUUCAAAGGAACAACACCCAGUUCACAAAUGAAAAUCUCUUGAUAUAUGGGAGCUUUAUUAACUGCCUCCCCAAAAAAUAGAAAUUUCACUCUUAUGAAAGUUAAUAGCGAGACCAAAGAUUUGCUCAAACGCACUUAGAAUAAACUUGAGAUUCCUAGCAAUAUCCUCAUCAUCUUGUAAUAGGAAAGCAGUGUCAUUUGCAUAUUGAUCACAUUGUUUAAAUUUUCACUCAAGGCCCCUUUCACAAAUCUAUUAUUUCUAGCUCUCUCCAAAAUAAUGACAAGGGCUUCAACUGCCAAGUCAAAUAGCAAUGGAGAUAAAGCAUCUCUUUGCUCAAGCCAUUUGUGAGUUUUAAAACAAGGACCAAUUACAUCAUUUAAUUUGACCCCCACAUGUCCUCUCCUCAUAGUGCGCAUAAUCCAAUCACACCAUUGAUCAGGGAAGUUUUUGAGUUUUAGCAUCUAGCGAGCAAAAGUCCAUUUAAUCUUAUCAUAGGCUUUCUCAAAAUCCUUAAAGAGUAAGGCCCUUUGUUUCCUAUGGUGCAUGGAGUUCAAAGCUUCAUGUAGCAAAACCACACUUUCCACUAUGUAUCUACCUUUAAUAAAAGUAGUUUGGUUAUGAGAAUUAAUAGGGUUAACCACCCUACUAAACUUGUUCAUUAGGACCUUAGUAAUAAUUUUGAAACUAACAUUCAAUAGACAAGGUCUAAAUUUUUGAAUUUGUAUAACAUCUUUAGUUGUAGGAACCAGGGUGAUAAUUCCAUAAUUGAUCCUAGCAAUAUCUAGAACCCCAUUAUGAAAAUUAUCCAUGAGCCCUUUCAAAUUACACUUAAAAAUUUCCCAAAUAUGUUGAUAAAAAUCAAGAGGCAAGCCAUUAGGUACAUGGCUCUUAUUUUUCUCCAUAGAGAAGACUACAUUGUAGUAAUUUUUCCUUGAAGAAAGGUUCCACCAACUUGUUAGCAUCCUCCUCAGAAUUUUUCUAUGCUUCUUGGAUGUUUAAAUAAACUAAGGAGAUCUUAGCUUGUCCAAAAAGUUUUCUUUACAGAAAUUAGUGAUGUAUUUUAAAAGAUUUUAUUCCCUUCAAUCGUCCCCUUAUCUUGCUCCAAAGAAAUAAUUGCCAUGGUAGUAUCUAGUAUUACAAUCACCUUAUCUGAUUUCUUUAUCCUUAUAUCUUUGGAGCCAUUUUAACUCUUCCUGUUUUAAAAUUCUCCCAACUAUUCACUAAGUUCCUUUUGUCCAGUUCUAUCAUGAGUAGUUAAGCCAUUAACUUCUGCAUCCUUAUCAAUGGAAUCUAACUUGGAUUUUUUAAUUUUCCUAUGCCAAGUCUCAACAUUCAAGUUUCAGCCCCUAAUCUUCUUCCUAAGAAUUCUCAACCUAUUUUGCCACCUCUCGAUAUAAGAACUUUCAUAAUUAUUAGUCCAAAAGUUUGGUGACAAAGUCCUUAAAACCAUCUCUCAGGAUCCAAUAUUUUUUGAAUCUAUAUAUUGGCUUUGAAAUAUUAUGCGACCCAAUGUCAAGAAUGAGAGGACUGUGAUAAGAAACUUCCCUCUCCAAAGCUUGUACCAUAGCUAAGCAUAAUGUUCCUCCCAUUCAUGAGAAUUCUAUCUAAUUUCUCAAUGGUUGGUUUAGCCAAAUUAUUGGCCCAAGUAAAAUUUCUUCCAUUUAGAGGUAAUUCUCUAAACUCUUCAUACUCAAUAAUAGCAAUAUAGAACUUCAGUGAUCAGUGUUAUUGGGUUAGUUUUUCUCACAAAAGUUCUAAUAAGAAUAAAAUCCCCGCCUACCACACAAUAUAAAAUGUUGUCAUGAUAGAUCUUAGACAAUUCUGCCAAAUAAGAAGCUUUGCCAUCUAAUUGAGCGUCACCAUACACAAUAAUAAUAUUCCAAUGAAAUUUAGCCAUUUUUAUCAAAAAACAACAGCCUCACAAAGUAUACCCCUACCAUACCUCUAUUUUAGUUACAUCAAACAAAUCAUUAUUUACUCCCACCAGGAUCUCUUCAGAUUUACCUCUUGGAGGGACCAAUUCCAAGUAGAAAAACUCAAAUGUAAAUAUGGAUAUUCCAUUGGAUAUUUAGUUGAUAAUGUGUUUCCUUUUCAUUCAUCCUAUCUAUGUUUUUCUUCGAAUAUGCUCACAUAAACUAAAAUGUCCCACAACAACGCAUGGGGUAUUAUCUAGUUUACAACAAAGACAAAUGUGGAAGCCUUGUUUUGACCCUAAAUGCCCUACAAUCCAGCGACUGUUGAAAUACUCUAAGUGCAUCUCCAACGCUGACCCUCAAACCGCCCGCAACCGUUCGGACCGUACGGUCCGGAUGCGUUAUGCCAUCAAACGCGGGCCUGUAUCGGUCCGCGGGGCGGUCCGGUCACACUUUCUCCCGCAAAACGGAGACAAACGUGAGUGGCUUUGCGAGCGUCCGGACAGCACCCACGCCCGCUUUUGACCACCCUGGCCCACCCAAAGCCCUCCUCCCUCGUCGUCGUGUGUUCCCGCCUGACGCCGGUUGCCCGCAUUCAUGUCAAUGUAGAGCGGCCGCUCCACAUUGAAGCCAGCUUAGAGCAGACGCAACCUUUCACUGCCUCUGCCAUUAAAGCAGUGCACCGACCGAGGGCACCGGCUGCUGCACGCUCGGCUGAACACGCCUCCUCGCCGCAUUCAAACACCUCCAGUGAACCCACAUGGAAUCCGAGAAACCUACUCCGGCCACAUGUUUGUUCACGAGCAGAUUGACAUUAAACACAACACUGACAAGCUCCUCCCAUCCGUCCUCUACUUAAACGGUGCCAGACAUCGGGUGAAAAUCACACCACACCUCCGCUCCCAUCUCCUCGCACCAUUUUCUCCACAAUAUCCAUGGCUACCGGCAUGCAGGAAGAGGAGUUCACCGGCAUAAAAGCCGUCUGGAUGGCCCGCCGAGCCCACCGGAUACGAGCCAGGCAACUCGCUACUCCACCUCCCUCGCCAAAUCUGAUGAAGCAAGUUGUCGCCCAAGCCGGCGCAUGGUUCAACAACUCAUCGCUCCAGCCAUCUCGCAGAGGUGUGGCGAGUUGCUCCAGGAUGGCACGCAGCGGAGCACGAAGGAACGGGCAUCGUGGCUGCCAUGGAUGAGGCCAGACGCUGUGCCAUCCGUCAUCUACGUUGGCAGAACCGUGCCCGGUCGAUGGAGAAAGAAGUCGGCUACGCGGAGAUCGACGAGUCGGUGGUCAGUGCGUCUGCAUCUGCCGCCAACAUCGAGGGAACGUAAAACACGGGAGGCCGUCACCGCUUGGGUUAUGGGAAGGCCACCGCCGGCACAUCGUCAGCUUGCAUAGCCGGUGACUUGCCCGGUUCAGCACAGAUCAUUGUCGACCCCUGCAUGGGCUUCACGGAAGCGGAGGAGCCCUCCUUCCCCUCCGGCCGAAGCACCCGCCUUCACCUCCAAUGGUAGCACCCCAUUUGCCACUCCGAUGAGCGGCGCAUUUGGACAUAGGAAAGAUACGGGAAAAAAUAUACCUUCGGGGCUCCUGGCAGUCCGAUGAGUGGGCUGCCGGACAAUGGGAAGACAAAGGAAUCCGCCGUGGCAUGCCGUAGACUAGGUGUAGUGUAUCCUUUUCAUGAGAAUGGAACUCCACGCGGUCGCACGUAGUUUUACCUUUUUCAGUUAAAAUAUUUUCAAAAAUGUAAAUAUUUUCGUUCGGUUUUGUAUGAAAUCCCCUCUUCUUGCAUGAAUUUAUUGAAUUUGUUGAAAAAGUAUUUGAAAUGUAUGCGAACAUCGUUAGAUGACCAGUUCCGACAUCCAUGUGUGCGGAUGGAUGUCGAAGCAAAUUUGUAGGUCACCGUUGAGGAUGCCCUAAGUCUAUGUAAACUAUAAACUUGCAUCCACAAACGUACCUAGCUGGGCGCAGCGGAGAGCGCGCCUCGCUUUGAUGGUGCGACCGGACGACAGCGUGGGACAAGGCAGGCAUCCAAGCAUUGUAGCCCAUACCGGACGUUUCCUCGGAUAACCAUGGCUUAUACUGUUGGAAAUAUGCCCUAGAGGCAAUAAUAAAAGGAUUAUUAUUAUAUUUCCUUGUUCAUGAUAAUUGUCUUUUAUUCAUGCUAUAAUUGUGUUAUCCGGAAAUCGUAAUACAUGUGUGAAUACAUAGACACCAACAUGUCCCUAGUAAGCCUCUAGUUGACUAGCUUGUUGAUCAACAGAUAGUCAUGGUUUCCUGACUAUGGACAUUGGAUGUCAUUGAUAACGAGAUCACAUCAUUAGGAGAAUGAUGUGAUGGAUAAGACCCAAUCCUAAACACAGCACAAGAUCGUAUAGUUCAUUUUCUAGAGUUUUUCCAAUGUCAAGUAUCUUUUCCUUAGACCAUGAGAUCGUGUAACUCCCAGAUACCGUAGGAGUGCUUUGGGUGUACCAAACGUCACAACGUAACUGGGUGACUAUAAAGGUAUACUGCGGGUAUCUCCGAAAGUGUCUGUUGGGUUAACACGGAUCAAGACUGGGAUUUGUCACUCCGUAUGACGGAGAGGUAUCUCUGGGCCCACUCGGUAAUGCAUCAUCAUAAUGAGCUCAAAGUGACCAAGUGUCUGGUCACGGGAUCAUGCAUUACGGUACAAGUAAAGUGACUUGCCGGUAACGAGAUUGAACGAGGUAUUGGGAUACCGACGAUCGAAUCUCGGGCAAGUAACAUACCGAUUGACAAAGGGAAUUGUAUACGGGGUUGCUUGAAUCCUCGACAUCGUGGUUCAUCCGAUGAGAUCAUCGAGGAGCAUGUGAGAGCCAACAUGGGUAUCCAGAUCCCGUUGUUGGUUAUUGACCGGAGAGCCAUCUCGGUCAUGUCUACAUGUCUCCCGAACCCGUAGGGUCUACACACUUAAGGUUCGGUGACGCUAGGGUUGUAGAGAUAUGAAUAUGCAGUAACCCGAAAGUUGUUCGGAGUCCCGGAUGAGAUUCCGGAUGUCACGAGGAGUUCCGGAAUGGUCCGGAGGUGAAGAAUUAUAUAUAGGAAGUGCAGUUUCGGCCAUCGGGAGAGUUUCGAGGGUCACCGGUAUUGUACCGGGACCACCGGAUGGGUCCCGGGGGUCCACCGGGUGGGACCACCCAUCCUGGAGGGCCCCAUGGGCUGAAGUGGAGAGGGGAACCAACCCAUAGUGGGCUGGUGCGCCCCCUUGGCCCACCCCUGCGCCUAGGGUUGGAAACCGUAGGGUGGGGGGGGGGCGCCCCACUUGCCUUGGGGGCCACUCCACCCUUGGCCGCCGCCCCCCCUAGGAGAUCCCAUCUCCUAGGGCCGGCGCCCCCCCUUGGGGAGCCUAUAUAAAGGGGGGAGGGAGGGGCAACCGCACCCUUGACUCUUGGCGCCUCCCUCUCCCCUGCUACACCUCUCCCUCUCGCAGAAAAACGGCGAAGCCCUGCUGCGGUGACUGGUGCAUCCACCACCACGUCGUCGUGCUGCUGGAUCUUCAUCAACCUCUCCUCCCCCCUUGCUGGAUCAAGAAGGAGGAGACGUCACGCUGACCGUACGUGUGUUGAACACGGAGGUGCCGUCCGUUCGGCGCUAGGAUCUCCGGUGAUUUGGAUCACGUCGAGUACGACUUCCUCAUCCCCGUUCUUUGAAUGCUUCCGUGCGUGAUCUGCAAAGGUAUAUAGAUGCAAUCCGAUCACUCGUUUCUAGAUGAACUCAUAGAUGGAUCUUGGUGAAAUCGUAGGAAAAUUUUUGUUUUCUGCAACAUUCCCCAACAGUGGCAUCAUGAGGUAGGUCUAUGCAUAGUUCCUUUUGCACGAGUAGAACACAAUUUGUUGUGGGCGUAGAUGUUGUCAACUUUCUUGCCGCUACUAGUCUUAUUUUGCUUCAGCGGUAUUGUGGGAUGAAGCGGCCCGGACCAACCUUACACGUACGCUUACGUGAGACCGGUUCCACCGACUGACAUGCACUAGUUGCAUAAGGUGGCUGGCGGGUGUCUGUCUCUCCCACUUUAGUUGGAGCGGAUUCGAUGAAAAGGGUCCUUAUGAAGGGUAAAUAGAAGUUGACAAAUCACGUUGUGGCUUUCACGUAGGUAAGAAAACGUUCUUGCUAGAACCCUAUUGCAGCCACGUAAAAACUUGCAACAACAAUUAGAGGACGUCUAACUUGUUUUUGCAGCAAGUGUUUUGUGAUGUGAUAUGGCCAAAGUUGUGAUGAAUGAUGAAUGAUAUAUAUGUGAUGUAUGAGAUGUUCAUGCUAUUGUAAUAGGAAUCACGACUUGCAUGUCGGUGAGUAUGACAACCGGCAGGAGCCAUAGGAGUUGUCUUUAUUUUUUGUAUGACAUGCGUGUCAUUGAGAAACGCCAUGUAAAUUACUUUACUUUAUUGCUAAACGUGUUAGCCAUAGUAGUAGAAGUAAUAGUUGGCGAGAAAUUUCAUGGAGACACAAUAAUGGAGAUCAUGAUGAUGGAGAUCAUGGUGUCAUGCCAGUGACAAGAUGGUCAUGGAGCCCUAAGAUGGAGAUCAAAGGAGCUAUGUGAUAUUGGCCAUAUCAUGUCACUAUUAUUAUUUGAUUGCAUGUGAUGUUUAUCAUGUUUUUGCAUCUUGUUUACUUAGAACGACGGUAGUAAAUAAGAUGAUCCCUCAUAAUAAUUUCAAGAAAGUGUUCCCCCUAACUGUGCGCCGUUGCGACAGUUUGUUGUUUCGAAGCACCACGUGAUGAUCGGGUGUGAUAGAUUCCAACGUUCACAUACAACGGGUGUAAGACAGAUUUACACAUGCAAACACUUAGGUUGACUUGACGAGCCUAGCAUGUACAGAUAUGGCCUCGGAACACAGAAGACCGAAAGGUCAAGCAUGAGUCGUAUAGAAGAUACGAUCAACAUGAAGAUGUUCACCGAUGUUGACUAGUCCGUCUCACGUGAUGAUCGGACACGGCCUAGUUAACUCGGAUCAUGUUAUACUUAGAUGACUGGAGGGAUGUCUAUCUGAGUGGGAGUUCAUUAAAUAGAUGAACUUAAUUAUCAUGAACUUAGUCUAAAAUCUUUACAAUAUGUCUUGUAGAUCAAAUGGCCCACGCUAAUGUUGCCCUCAACUUCAACGCGUUUCUAGAGAAAACCAAGCUGAAAGAUGAUGGCAGCAACUAUACGGACUGGGUCCGGAACCUGAGGAUCAUCCUCAUAGCUGCCAAGAAAGAUUAUGUCCUAGAAGCACCGCUAGGUGACGCACCCAUCCCAGAGAACCAAGACGUUAUGAACGCUUGGCAGCAGCAUGCUGAUGAUUACUUCCUCGUUUAGUGCGGCAUGCUUUACAGCUUAGAACCGGGGCUCCAAAAGCAUUUUGAGCAACACUAAGCAUAUGAGAUGUUCGAAGAGCUGAAAAUGGUUUUCCAAGCUCAUGCCCGGGUCGAGAGAUAUGAAGUCUCCGACAAGUUCUUCAGUUGUAAGAUGGAGGAAAAUAGUUCUGUCAGUGAGCACAUACUCAAAAUGUCUGGGUUGCACAACUGCUUGACUCAGCUGGGAGUUAAUCUCCCGGAUGAUGCGGUCAUUGACAGAAUCCUUCAGUCACUUCCACCGAGCUACAAGAGCUUUGUGAUGAACUUCAAUAUGCAGGGGAUGGAAAAGACCAUUCCUGAAGUAUUUGCAAUGCUGAAAUCAGCAGAGGUAGAAGUCAAAAAGGAACAUCAAGUGUUGAUGGUGAAUAAAACCACUAAGUUCAAGAAAGGCAAGGGUAAGAAGAACUUCAAGAAGGACGGCAGGGGAGUUGCCGCGCCCGGCAAGCAAGCUGCCGGGAAGAAGCCAAAGAAUGGACCCAAGCCCGAGACUGAGUGCUUUUAUUGCAAGGAGAGUGGUCACUGGAAGCGGAACUGCCCCAAAUACUUAGCGGACAAGAAGGCCGGCAAAACGAAAGGUAUAUGUGAUAUACAUGUAAUUGAUGUGUACCUUAUCAGUACUCGUAGUAGCUCCUGGGUAUUUGAUACCGGUGCAGUUGCUCACAUUUGUAACUCAAAGCAGGAGUUGCGGAAUAAGCGGAGACUGGCGAAGGACGAGGUGACGAUGCACGUCGGGAAUGGUUCCAAGGUCGAUGUGAUCGCCGUCGGCACGCUACCUCUACAUUUACCUACGGGAUUAGUUUUGAACCUCAAUAAUUGUUAUUUAGUGCCAAGUUUGAGCAUGAACAUUGUAUCAUGAUCUCGUUUAAUACGAGAUGGCUACUCAUUUAAAUCCGAUAAUAAUGGUUGUUCUAUUUAUAUGAGAGAUAUGUUUUAUGGUCAUGCUCCGAUGGUGAAUGGUUUAUUCUUAAUGAAUCUCGAGCGUAAUGCGACACAUAUUCAUAGUGUGAAUACCAAAAGAUGUAAGGUUGAUAAUGAUAGUCCGACAUACUUGUGGCACUGCCGCCUUGGUCACAUAGGUGUCAAACGCAUGAAGAAGCUCCAUGCAGAUGGACUUUUAGAGUCUCUUGAUUACGAAUCAUUUGACACGUGCGAACCAUGCCUCAUGGGUAAAAUGACCAAGACUCCGUUCUCAGGAACAAUGGAGCGAGCAACCAACUUAUUGGAAAUCAUACAUACUGAUGUGUGCGGUCCAAUGAGUGUUGAGGCUCGCGGUGGUUAUCGUUAUGUUCUCACCCUCACUGAUGACUUGAGUAGAUAUGGGUAUGUCUACUUAAUGAAACACAAGUCUGAGACCUUUGAAAGGUUCAAGGAAUUUCAGAGUGAGGUUGAGAAUCAACGUGACAGGAAAAUCAAGUUCUUGCGAUCAGAUCAUGAGGGAGAAUACUUGAGUCACGAAUUUGGCACACACUUAAGAAAAUGUGGAAUAGUUUCACAACUCACGCCGCCUAGAACACCUCAGCGUAAUGGUGUGUCCGAACGUCGUAAUCGCACUUUAUUAGAUAUAGUGCAAUCUAUGAUGUCUCUUACCGAUUUACCGCUAUCAUUUUGGGGCUAUGCUUUAGAGACUGCCGCAUUCACUUUAAAUAGGGCUCUGUCAAAAUCCGUUGAGAUGACACCGUAUAAAUUAUGGUUUGGGAAGAAGCCUAAGCUGUCGUUUCUAAAAGUUUGGGGAUGCGAUGCUUAUGUCAAGAAACUUCAACCUGAAAAGCUCGAACCCUAGUCGGAAAAAUGCGUCUUCAUAGGAUACCCUAAAGAAACUAUUGGGUAUACCUUCUACCUCAGAUCCGAAGGCAAGAUCUUUGUUGCCAAGAAUGGAUCCUUUCUAGAGAAGGAGUUUCUCUCGAAAGAAGUAAGUGGGAGGAAAGUAGAACUUGAUGAAGUAUUACCUCUUGAACCGGAAAAUGGCGCAACUCAAGAAAAUGUUCCUGAGGUGCCUGUACCGACUAGAGAGGAAGUUAAUGAUGAUGAUCAUGAAACUUCAGAUCAAGUUUCUACUGAAUUUCGUAGGUCCACAAGGACACGUUCCGCACCAGAGUGGUACGGCAACCCUGUCUUGGAAAUCAUGUUGUUAGACAACGGUGAAUGACAGUGUCCUGGACUAGGGGGUACUCACCACGUCGUCUCCCGAUCUAUUAGAUUGGGCCGAGGACCCCCGUGGCCGUAUACUCAUGGGCCAGUUCGGACGGCUGCCGCAUACAAGGAAGAUUCCACAAGACUUGGCGAUCAAGACAAGGACUUCUCCCCACCGGCGUAUUCGGCUAGGACUCUUGUUAUCCUAGGCCUCUGGUGCAUUAUAUAAACCGAGGCCAGGCUAGUCGAUAGAUAGACAAUAUAUACAACAAUCAUACCAUAGGCUAGCUUCUAGGGUUUAGCCUCCUUGAUCUCGUGGUAGAUCUACUCUUGUACUAUCCAUAUCAUCAAUAUUAAUCAAGCAGGAGUAGGGUUUUACCUUCAUCGAGAGGGCCCGAACCUGGGUAAAAACAUCGUGUCCCUUGUCUCCUGUUACCAUCCGGUCUAGACGCAUAGUUCGGGACCCCCUACCUGAGAUCCGCCGGUUUUGACACCGACAUUGGUGUUUUCAUUGAGAGUUCCGUUGUGUGAUCGACAAAAGGAUCGAUGGCUCGCCUGCAGAUCAACUACGACUUCGGCAUCUUCGUCACCAGCUCGACUGGUCACCUUGGUUCGACCAAGAAUUGUGCCCCGUGUUCGGAUCACCAUGUUCGGACGAGGGCCUUUAUCAAACAUCAACUCCGAUCUCUAUCAAGAUCACGGAGGAAUCAUCUAUGGAGCUCGGGGGCUCAACGUCAACAUUGCCCUCAAGCGACCGUGCUAUUUUUCUGGACAGCGAACUCGUAUCUGCCACCACCACCUCCUCGAGUAUCGCUUUGACGAUCGCUUUGGUGGAAUUGUGCGGAAUUGAGUCUACAACAACCCUGAGAAAUUUCGUCGAGUUCCGAUGGAGGAAUCUCUGGCAAUCCACGAUAUACCGGAGCCUUGUCAAAUCUGGACGGGAAUUUGGAUGAGUUUAGGGCGUGGUGUCCAUCUUCUAUCUCGGACGUCCUUUGGAAGAUCCAACCGUUGAUCGGCUGCGGAAUUCCUAUAUCUACCACCUCUCAAAAUUUCGGCUCGAUUCGACCGUCCAAACUUUGGGAACCUUCUGAUUAGUGCAUCACUUUUCGGAUCUGUUUUCUGCGCGAAAACGAAUCCGACCCAAGUUCAUCUUUUUUAUGAACAGGAUUUCGAACAUCCCUUUUGAAGGAAGUUUUGUAUGGGUAUUGUGUUUUGUUCCCGAACACAUCCCACUAACUAUAAGAUCUUUUAAACAUGAUCUUCAACAUCAUGCUGGUGUCAAACCAGUCCGGCAAUAUUACUCCACGGCUGCCGACCUGCGCUAGACACGGCAUCACUUUGUUGAGCCGAGCUCAACUUCUUCGGAUCAUCAUCUCGACAAGUCAAACAAGAGCCCGGCAUCGCGAAGGAUAAAUCAUCACCAACAUCGCCGCCCCAUGGAUUACACGGAGCGGGCAUAACCGGCAUCGCCGCACGGUCGCUUCAUCAAGCCGGCAUCGACCACGUCACGACCUGCAUCGACAGGGCCGCACUAUUGCUUCUUCAAGCUGGUGUCCAUCACGCCGACCUACUUCGACUCAUCGGCUGACAUCGAGGCUUCGACAUCUCGGCUGGACCGGGGGCUUCGCCGUCUCUUAAUCAACCUACUCCGGACACUUCGGCGUCACUAGCCGACCAGCUCCGUCACGUUAGCUGGGCCGAGGGCUUUGCCUCGGCGAGUCAACCUUUACCAGCAUUGCCAUGCCGUCGUUUUAUCGCCCAUCAGGCAAUGGGUGUGCGGAGCGGGUCACAAUUUUAGGAAUCACCUUCCUUCGGAUUGCUACAACAAAUAAACCAGGUGCUAUUAAUCCCAGUAUUUUUUUUGCUUGUUUGGGUUCAUUUUUUCCAAGGAAUUAUUACUCUGGGUUAUCCGUCAUAUGUACACAGGUCUAUCAAAUGGUGGCCGCAUUAACGACAAUCGCAUGGUGGUUCGGUCAGUUUCCGUACAUAGUCCGGCGAACGCCGCACUCGGAGCUCGGACCGACCUGCGAAUUCAGGCUUUGCCACGCCUUUACUACAUCACGCCGACGCCCUGCAUCGACAUUGACUUCGGCGCCAGGCCAUAUUUCUUCUAUUCCUCACUUUGCAUAAAUUAUUUAUUAUGCAACAUUUUUUUUAAUUAUCAUUAUUACUAUUAUCUCCAGUUCGCACUAUUUUAUGUGGCACAGGAAAAUGAUCUAGCCGGACUAUAUCCUUUGGCGUCACCUCGGCUGGACGGGGGGCUUCGUCAACACUUCAUUACCCCAUGCCGGGGACUUCGGCAUCACUCUGCCGGCCUGCAUUGACCGUGCUAUGUCACCACUUCGGAGUGCCGAGCUCUUUGCUCCGACACCUCGGGACCGGCUUGGGGGAUGGCACCUUGUCCCGCAUCAAGCUCGGACCGCGUCAUCAAUACCGAACACAUUAACCAGCUAAGUUGCCUUCAUGCUCAAAGUUUUAAAUUUUUAACUUGUGUUCGGCUCGACCAAGCAUUAUACUUUUUUGGAAAAAAGUUGCUUGUAAAUUUUUUUCCUUGUCCAAACUUUGUUUGUGACGCACAAAUUCAAAUACCCCGUUUACUUGGGGGCUUCCUUCAUGAAGAUUUUUCCUCUUGCAUAUGAUUAUACUUGUACGGCUUCAUUCCUUGUUCAUGUAUUACGCCAUAAUAUGCACCAUAUUGACUUAAGCGAUUUGCAAGCUGGGUUGCCUCGCUCCUGUGUUUUCCCCUACGUUCCCGAUUGUUCAGCUAGGGAGUAAAGGGAGCACCUCUGCGAUUGUCACGAUCGGGUCAACCGAGCCGGACCCCAGACUAGGUGAAGCCGAAAGCUAGCGCUCUUAUAGUUUUCAAUGAUGGUCGGCACACAAUGGAACUCAUGAGUAGAAAAAAUCUAUUACACAAGUCUCAUAAUAACAAUGAGCACCGAAGAAAGGUAUCGGUGGGGUACUAUUUUCUUCGAAGAUGCUUCUUACACUUCACGGUAAUAUAGCAUAAGUUCCCUGAGCGUGCUUUGUCUGUUACAGCCUUAUGGCCUGAUUGCCUGGUUAUUGGAAACACCGUCGAUAUUCUCGACCGAUGGAGUAGAUAACACUUCUCGGCCCUUGACCGAAGAGGGAGAAGCUGACGGUCGGUUAAGACGCGUUUAAAGUUCGGUUGAACAUAGAUAUGAUAUAAGUACUUCGGUACAUGCAAUCAUUCUUCUACCAAGUCACUUGGGGGCUCUUAAGUUUAUUUGAGACGUUUUAUAAUAAGUGUUCUUCUUCUUAGUCGUUGCAAAGUUUUAUUAUUAUUUAUCACUCCUUUUUUCGACACGAGUGUGCGGUCACUAGCCGGGGAGCCUAAUUUCUCUCUCAAAUCCGCUAGAGUUUAGUUUGCUAAACUGGCCUGAUGAGAAGUACUCCGCCCUCGGGAUAGGAGGUUGAAGCCGUAGGCUGACCCGCUCGAAGUCUUGAGAUAGGAUGUAUCAUGUUAAAACACGACAGAAGCACUUCUUUUUUCUAAGACCAACUUUCGGAUUGGCACCGAACACUUGAUAUUGUUCGGACGUCAUGUUUUUACUGACGUUUCUUGGUUUUCCAAGCUUUUUGGCACUUUUAAAACUAUUCGUGCUUUUCCAGCAUUAGUCUCGCAGUGCAACGCCGGACACCUUUAGGGAUUCGGCAAAAACAUUCUCAGAUAUUGCUAUAUAUGCAUCGGUUUCGAAUUGUGUCUUCGGUCAAUAGUUGGGUUGCCCGGCUCCUGCACUUGCUUCCUACGUUCCGUUUUGUUCGGCUAGGCGUGCAAAGGGAGAACCACUGCGAUUGUGCUUCCAGCUCACAUGGUUAAGCACCUCAGUGGAGAAAGCCGAAAACUGACUUUCACAAUAAGCGUAAACUGGUCAGCGAUCCGAUGACUAUGUUAAAUGAUGGGCCAUUCAUAACAUUGGCCCAAGUGUUUACGGCUUGACCCCAACUGUCGCCGAACACUUCCGAGGGCUAUUAACUGGCCUCCCAAACUAAAUCCUCAAUAUUUUGCUCUUACAUUAGAGCUGAGGUUUAAUGAUCAUGCUUAGCAUGACAACCCAAAGGAAGAAACCGAUAGCGGGACCAUUUUCUUUGGAGGACAUUUCUUAUGUUAAACAGUAAAUAUAACAUAUCUCUCUGCGUACCUUUGUUUAUAAAACUGUAUGACCAGAUUGCCUUGUUUGUUGUAAAUCUUUACCCUCAUAAAGGCUUUAUAAAGUAGGACAAACACUCCUCGGCUACUGGCCGAGGAGGUGGAAGCUGAUGGUCGGUCAACAAAGUUUUGUACAAUGCGGAUUCGAGCAUUAAUGAUGUAAAGUACUUGAAUACAUAGAGUCAUUACACAUAAUUUGUGAUUUUACUAUGGAUAUCGAUCCUUAAUUCGGCCACCCGUGCCCGCAUUAAGGCUCGGGGGCUACUGGGCUUCGGGCUUAUUAUUUACAAAUAUUAAAGGGGCACAUUGAUCCCCUGAUCUGGUGUUGCCACCCGACCAGUGUCUCGGGGGCUACUGCAUUGCUUGUCCAAUGCAGAAAAUUUUAUGUACAAUAUAGUUUCCGAGGAGAUUUUGAUCCUCAGGUUGGUCGGCCGCACCCAACCCGAGUCUCGAGGACUGAGCAUGCCGCUUUUAGUGUCCCGAAGUAUUCUGCCGAGCUAGGACUUGAUCCUCAGGCCGAUUUUGCAAAUUGACCUGAGUCUCAGCGGCUACUGGGAUCAGCGGUCUUAUGUCAUCCUUCAUGUGCAUCUUGGGUUUUAGACCGAUACCCACCUUGAGGGCUACUGGCUAUAUAUCUCGACAGAGAAUAAAUUGCACCAAUCAAAAAUAUUGACAAAAAUCGGCCCACAUUCAGGGUGGUGCACCACCUCGGAAGCAGUCCGGCAUAAAGCUCAGGCGCUAGUGGCUGGCUCCAUAGAGGUCAUUUCCGGCAUUAAGCUCGGCUAAACUCCUUCAACUUUUUUGAACCAAGGUGAUAUGACACCUCGGAUAUAGUCCGGCAUUGGAGCCUGGACACAGUCCGGCGUCGGAUAUCGGAUAUAUUUUCGGCGUUGGAGCUUGGAUAUACAGUCCGGCGUUGGAGCUCGGAUACAUAGUCCGGCGUUGGAGCUCGGAUACAUUCCGGCGCUAGAGCUGGGAAGCGGUCCGGCGUUGGUGCUCGGCUGCAAAAGAUACCUCGAAUGCAGUCCGGCGUUGGAGCUCGGACGCAAGAGGACCCUGCCUCCCGGGAACAACUUCAAACCCGAGGUGUGGCAUAAAAAUAAACAAAGCAUUGAUAAAGGCCGGAAACUUAAAGGGGAUCCUCGGAUACCCGACGUGUAAACUCGUCGAAUGCAUUUCGGAAAUCCUCAAGAUCGAAGAUAAAGAAGAUUUGUUGAACCAGUUUUCAAGACCGGCAACCGAAGAUGAAGAACAGUUCGGAAGAAUCGAGGAGCGUCCCUAACUUGAAGACCGGUUCAGGGGGCUACUGAUGGUGUCCUGGACUAGGGGGUACUCACCACGUCGUCUCCGAUCUAUUAGAUUGGGCCGAGGACCCCCGUGGCCGUAUACUCAUGGGCCAGUUCGGACGGCUGCCGCAUACAAGGAAGAUUCCACAAGACUUGGCGAUCAAGACAAGGACUUCUCCCCACCGGUGUAUUCGGCUAGGACUCUUGUUAUCCUAGGCCUCUGGUGCAUUAUAUAAACCGAGGCCAGGCUAGUCGAUAGAUAGACAAUAUAUACAACAAUCAUACCAUAGGCUAGCUUCUAGGGUUUAGCCUCCUUGAUCUCGUGGUAGAUCUACUCUUGUACUACCCAUAUCAUCAAUAUUAAUCAAGCAGGAGUAGGGUUUUACCUCCAUCGAGAGGGCCCGAACCUAGGUAAAAACAUCGUGUCCCUUGUCUCCUGUUACCAUCCGGCCUAGACGCACAGUUCGGGACCCCCUACCCGAGAUCCGCCGGUUUUGACACCGACAGUGAACCUUCGAACUAUGAAGAAGCGAUGGCGGGCCCAGAUUCCAACAAAUGGCUUGAAGCCAUGCAAUCCGAGAUAGGAUCCAUGUAUGAAAACAAAGUAUGGACUUUGACAAACUUGCCCGAUCAUCGGCGAGCGAUAGAAAACAAAUGGAUCUUUAAGAAGAAGACGGACGCGGAUGGUAAUGUUACCAUCUAUAAAGCUCGACUUGUCGCUAAGGGUUAUCGGCAAGUUCAAGGGGUUGACUACGAUGAGACUUUAUCUCCCGUAGCGAAGUUGAAGUCCGUCAGAAUUAUGUUAGCAAUUACCGCAUACUAUGAUUAUGAGAUAUGGCAAAUGGACGUCAAAACGGCAUUCCUUAAUGGUUUCCUUAAGGAAGAAUUGUAUAUGAUGCAGCAGGAAGGUUUUGUCGAUCCUAAGAAUGCUGACAAGGUGUGCAAGCUCCAACGCUCGAUUUAUGGGCUGGUGCAAGCAUCUCGGAGUUGGAACAUUCGCUUUGAUGAGAUGAUCAAAGCGUUUGGGUUUAUGCAGACUUAUGGAGAAGCCUGCGUUUACAAGAAAGUGAGUGGGAGCUCUGUAGCAUUUCUCAUAUUAUAUGUAGAUGACAUACUUUUGAUGGGAAAUGAUAUAGAGCUUUUGGACAGCAUUAAGGCCUACUUGAAUAAGAGUUUUUCAAUGAAAGACCUUGGAGAAGCUGCUUAUAUAUUAGGCAUCAAGAUCUAUAGAGAUAGAUCAAGACGCCUCCUAGGUCUUUCACAAAGCACAUACCUUGAUAAGAUAUUGAAGAAGUUCAAUAUGGAUCAGUCUAAGAAGGGGUUCUUGCCUGUGUUGCAAGGUGUGAAAUUGAGCUCAGCUCAAUGUCCGACCACGGCAGAAGAUAUAGAAGAGAUGAGUGUCAUCCCCUAUGCCUCAGCCAUAGGUUCUAUUAUGUAUGCCAUGCUGUGUACCAGACCUGAUGUAAACCUUGCUGUAAGUUUGGUAGGUAGGUACCAAAGUAAUCCCGGCAAGGAACACUGGACAGCGGUCAAGAAUAUCCUGAAGUACCUGAAAAGGACUAAGGAAAUGUUUCUCGUUUAUGGAGGUGACGAAGAGCUCGUCGUAAAGGGUUACGUCGACGCUAGCUUCGACACAGAUCUGGAUGGCUCUAAGUCACAAACCGGAUACGUGUAUAUUUUGAAUGGUGGGGCAGUAAGCUGGUGCAGUUGCAAGCAGAGCGUCGUGGCGGGAUCUACAUGUGAAGCGGAGUACAUGGCAGCCUCGGAGACAGCGCAUGAAGCAAUUUGGGUGAAGGAGUUCAUCACCGACCUAGGAGUCAUACCCAAUGCAUCGGGGCCGAUCAAACUCUUCUGUGACAACACUGGGGCUAUUGCACUUGCCAAGGAGCCCAGGUUUCACAAGAAGACCAGGCACAUCAAGCGUCGCUUAAACUCCAUUCGUGAAAAUGUUCAAGAUGGAGACAUAGAUAUUUGUAAAGUACAUACGGACCUGAAUGUAGCAGAUCCGUUGACUAAACCUCUCCCUAGAGCAAAACAUGAUCAACACCAGAAUUCCAUGGGUGUUCGAUUCAUCACAAUGUAACUAGAUUAUUGACCCUAGUGCAAGUGGGAGACUGUUGGAAAUAUGCCCUAGAGGCAAUAAUAAAAGGAUUAUUAUUAUAUUUCCUUGUUCAUGAUAAUUCUCUUUUAUUCAUGCUAUAAUUGUGUUAUCCGGAAAUCGUAAUACAUGUGUGAAAUAGACACCAACAUGUCCCUAGUAAGCCUCUAGUUGACUAGCUCGUUGAUCAACAGAUAGUCAUGGUUUCCUGACUAUGGACAUUGGAUGUCAUUGAUAACGAGAUCACAUCAUUAGGAGAAUGAUGUGAUGGACAAGACCCAAUCCUAAACACAGCACAAGAUCGUAUAGUUCAUUUGCUAGAGUUUUUCCAAUGUCAAGUAUCUUUUCCUUAGACCAUGAGAUCGUGUAACUCCCGGAUACCGUAGGAGUGCUUUGGGUGUACCAAACGUCACAACGUAACUGGGUGACUAUAAAUGUAUACUACGGGUAUCUCCGAAAGUGUCUGUUGGGUUGACACGGAUCAAGACUGGGAUUUGUCACUCCGUAUGACGGAGAGGUAUCUCUGGGCCCACUCGGUAAUGCAUCAUCACAAUGAGCUCAAAGUGACCAAGUGUCUGGUCACGGGAUCAUGCAUUACGGUACGAGUAAAGUGACUUGCCGGCAACGAGAUUGAACGAGGUAUUGGGAUACCGACGAUCGAAUCUCGGGCAAGUAACGUACCGAUUGACAAAGGGAAUUGUAUACGGGGUUGCUUGAAUCCUCGACAUCGUGGUUCAUCCGAUGAGGUCAUCGAGGAGCAUGUGGGAGCCAACAUGGGUAUCCAGCCCGCUGUUGGUUAUUGACCGGAGAGCCAUCUCGGUCAUGUCUACAUGUCUCCCGAACCCGUAGGGUCUACACACUUAAGGUUCGGUGACGCUAGGGUUAUAGAGAUAUGAAUAUGCAGUAACCCGAAAAUUGUUUGGAGUCCCGGAUGAGAUCCCGGACGUCACGAGGAGUUCCAGAAUGGUCCGGAGGUGAAGAAUUAUAUAUAGGAAGUGCAGUUUCGGCCAUCGGGAGAGUUUCGGGGGUCACCGGUAUUGUACCGGGACCACCGGAUGGGUCCCGGGGGUCCAUCGGGUGGGACCACCCAUCCCGGAGGGCCCCAUGGGCUGAAGUGGGAAGGGGAACCAGCCCAUAGUGGGCUGGUGCGCCCCCUUGGCCCACCCCCUGCGCCUAGGGUUGGAAACCCUAGGGUGGGGGGGCGCCCCACUUGCCUUGGGGGCCACUCCACCCUUGGCCGCCGCCCCCUAGGAGAUCCCAUCUCCUAGGGCCGGCGCCCCACUUGCCUUGGGGGCCACUCCACCCUUGGCCGCCGCCCCCUAGGAGAUCCCAUCUCCUAGGGCCGGCGCCCCCCCUUGGGAGCCUAUAUAAAGGGGGGAGGGAGGGGCAGCCGCACCCUUGACUCUUGGCGCCUCCCUCUCCCCUGCUACACCUCUCCCUCUCGCAGAAGAACGGCGAAGCCCUGCUGCGAUGACUGCUGCAUCCACCACCACGCCGUCGUGCUGCUGGAUCUUCAUCAACCUCUCCUUCCCCCCUUGCUGGAUCAAGAAGGAGGAGACGUCACGCUAACCAUACGUGUGUUGAACACGGAGGUGUCGUCCGUUCGGCGCUAGGAUCUCCAGUGAUUUGGAUCACGUCGAGUACGACUUCCUCAUCCCCGUUCUUUGAACGCUUCCGCGCGUGAUCUACAAAGGUAUGUAGAUGCAAUCCGAUCACUCGUUGCUAGAUGAACUCAUAGAUGGAUCUUGGUGAAACCGUAGGAAAAAUUUUGUUUUCUGCAACGUUCCCCAACAUAUACGGCCGUGGCUAAAUUUCGUGUUUUGACCCUUUUGACAAACAAAAUCAAAAUCUGACCCCGGUUUGAAAUAUUUUCGGGAUUUGACGCUUUUGCUACCGCCAGAGUCUCUGGCGGUAGGGUUAGACAGCCUACCGCCAACGUCACUGGCGGUAGGGUGUGACGAAGGGGACGGCGGCCGUCGCCGCGUGCUGACGUGGAUAAGUACCCUACCGCCAGGGGCCCUGGCGGUAGGCUGUCUAACCUUACCGCCAGUGCCUCUGGCGGUAAGGUGUGGCAGGGUUUUUCCAUGCAGACAUUCUGUAACAAAAGAUGCAAGGGCCCUGGCGGUAGGUUCACCCUACCGCCAGCCCCCAUGGCGGUAGGUUGUCUGAUCCUACCGCCAGGACCCCUGGCGGUAGGGUCUUGUGUUUUGCCGUAUAGAGCUUCUGUAACGAAAUAUGAAAGGGCCCUGGCGGUAGGUUCACCCUACCGCCAUGGGGGCUGGCGGUAGGUUGUCUAACCCUACCGCCAGGGUGCCUGGCGGUAGGGUCCUCUGUUUUGUUUUUCAAGUUCAUUUGGUUGCUUGUUCUCAAAUUCAUUAUGACAGCAAUAUCACAGCAAGUUUCACAAAUAUGACAGCAAUAUCAUAGAUUUUAAACAAUUAAACUUGGGCAUCACAUAGAUCCAUAUUAAGAUAAAUUGAAGUGCAUAGAACAUUUCAAACACAUAGUUCCACAAAUAGCAAACACAUAGUUCCACGUAGUUUCACAAGCACUAGACAAGUUCAACCAAACGAAGUUCAACCAAACUAAAAGAGCCAAGUAUCGAAGAGCAUAAUCAGUUGCUCCUUCACCUCUUGGAGGUACGGUCCUCGUUACUCUUUGAACGAGUCUCUUCGGUCUUCUUCUUGGGCCGGCGAGGAACCGUUCUCUGGAAAGGGUCCGGACUCAGCAAAUCCUUCUUUUUCGAAUUCCUCUUCGGCAGCUGAGAUGCUUGAGAUGUUUGAGUUGAUGGAGGUCCAUAAUAUUCAUCGUACUCCUCCUCCCCGUUGCUCUCCUCCUCCUCCCCUUCUUCAUGUGUGGCCUCCUCCUCCUUCUCCCCUUCUUCAUGUGUGGCCUCCUCCUCCUCCUCCUCCCCAACCAACCUAGACGACGGGGGAGCAUGGCUCGAUGAGCCGAUGAGACCCUGUGUGGCUACAGGCUGAUAAGCUUCAACUGACCCAGCUCCAGCACACCCAAGCAGCCCUACCAGCUUGCAACAACGCUUCACGAACUUCUGCACUCACAAUGAAACAAGGGCAUAAUAAGUAUCAGAUCGACUGAUUGCAGGUGAACAAGAUGCAUCUGUUCCGACGAGGCUGGAAUUGUACCUUCAUCGUCCCCCUCACUUUGUUCUCAGAUUCUAUGCUCCCGGGGAGAUCACCUAGUGCAUCUGAGGCUUCAAAGAUGCAUCUGUUCAGCUCACCAGACUGCAACGACAUAAGUCAGUCACGAUGACGAAUAAACUAAUUUAAAUACAACCUCGGUUCAAACUUACCACUCUGUUGAUGAGGGGUGCAAACUCCCUAAAUCUACUGUGCAUGUCUCUGAUGCUGGUCUGGUAGGCCUCUUCCUCGGGGUCAUCCCUCUCCAGCUCCGCGAUGUCUUCCGCCGUCCACCGAGGCCUGAGACGAAGACGGUGCUUCUGGCCAUCAUCGUACCACUACAUGUGUCGGCUCAGGUAAGCAUCCCAGUCAGUAACUUUCCUCUCCACGUCUUUACAGAACCUCCGUCGGUUCCACUCCGUCGCAUGAGUUUUAUGCUUCUCUCCCCAGUCUGUGAUCGACCGAUUCUUCUGCCGGCUCAUCCUGCAAGGCAUAAGCAACAAGAAUCAUCAUAAGCACAAUGAGAUCAUCAUAAGCAACAAGAAACGUGAUAAGCGUAAUGAAAUCAUGGGCACGGAGAACAAAGCGCUCACAGGUGGAGCGCGUGGCCGCCGGUAUCGAUGGGCUGGCCUGGUGGGGUAUGCUGAUAAAUCCCAAAUUGUGUGGCCACGCGGUGUGGCAAGUGCCACUCGACGGCGUACACACAUAUCAUGGGCACGAUGCACCGCCAGAGACCACAGUCCGCAUCGCACAUCACGUUCAGAUCAAAGCCCCACUGUCAGUCAUGAUAUGGCCACCAGUUUACCUGUUACAUAUACAUUGGUAAGUUCCCACUCUCGAUCAAAAGUGGAAUCAAAGAGAAAGGUGUUGAGCGAGUUCAUAUACCUGCAUAUGCGUCAAAGCGUCCAACUCGUUGGUGUAGGUCUUGUACGAAGUCUUGUUUAGGCCCGUGUAGAGUUUGACAACGUCCCACUCGUAAGCUACGGUGGGGUGUCGAGUCUCGUCGCCGUCUUCGCUAUAGGCACCCCACGGGCGUCUUGGCAACUUCUUCGGACGCCCCACCGGCAGCCGCUCCUACAUCCAAAUGGAGAAGGCCCAGACAAAGCCACCCAUAUUGGACUUGUCUCCCGUCCUCUGCGUUGCGUCGUCAAGCUGCAAAACAUCAAAUGAGGAUCAAAUAUAAGAAAAUGUCAUGGACACACUUUCGUAGGUAGGUAGGCAAUUAGAUCCUCUCUUACCGAACGGUAUAGGUAGGCGAGAGAUGCGGUCCCCCAACUGUACCCUGCCUCCCAGUCCGCUAGGAAGAAGAGAUACGACCAGUUGGCAGAGUUCCCAGAGCUGUCUGGAAACACGACCUCCAUGAGAAGAUACCACAGGUAGGCCCUCGCAUACCACUCCAUGGUCGUCUCGUCGUCGCCUUUGGGGCAUUUCUGCCGGUGCUCCGAGAGCCAGGUCAGUGGCACACCGGAUGUACAGUUACCCUUGACAGCGGGGCAGUCGCCGAUGAGGUGGAACCGGUCUCACGUAAGCAUACGUGUAAGGUUGGUCCGGGCCGCUUCAUCCCACAAUACCGUCGAAUCAAGAUAAGACUAGUAACGGCAAGCAUAUUGAACAAAAUCAAAGCCCACAACUUCUUUGUGUUCUACUCGUGCAUAGUAACUACGCAUAGACCUAGCUCAUGAUGCCACUGUUGGGGAACGUAGCAUAAAUUCAAAAUUUUCCUACGUGUCACCAAGAUCUAUGUAUGGAGUCAUCUAGCAACGAGGAAGGAGUGGAUCUACAUACCCUUGUAGAUCGCGCGCGGAAGCGUUCAAGAGAACGGGGUUGAUGGAGUCGUACUCGUCGUGAUCCAAAUCACCGAUGAUCGUAGCGCCGAACGGACGGCACCUCCGCGUUCAACACACGUACGGAGCAGCGACGUCUCCUCCUUCUUGAUCCAGCAAGGGGGGAGGAGAUGUUGAUGGAGAUCCAGCAACACGGCGGCGUGGUGGAAGUAGCGGGAUUCCAACAGGGCUUCGCCAAGCGCUGCGGGAGGAGGGAGAUGUGUCAUGGGAGGGAGAGGGAGGCGCCAGGGCUUGGGUAUGGUUUCCCUCCCUUCCCCCCACUAUAUAUAGGGCCAAGGGAGAGGGGGAGGGCGCAGCCUUGCCCCUUCCUCCAAGGAAGGGUGCGGCCAAGGGGGGGAGGAGUCCAUCCUCCCCAAGGCACCUCGGAGGUGCCUUCCCCCUUUAGGACUCUCCCCUCCUCUUGUCCCUUUGGCGCAUGGGCCUCUUGGGGCUGGUGCCCUUGGCCCAUAUAGGCCAAGGCGCACCCCCUACAGCCCAUGUGGCCCCCCGGGGCAGGUGGCCCCACCCGGUGGACCCCCGGGACCCUUCCGGUGGUCCCGGUACAAUACCGAUGACCCCGAAACUUGUCCCGAUGACCGAAAUAGCACUUCCUAUAUAUAAUUCUUUACCUCUGAACCAUUCCGAAACUCCUCAUGACGUCCGGGAUCUCAUCCGGGACUCCGAACAACUUUCGGGUUACCGGAUACUAAUAUCUCUAUAACCCUAGCGUCACUGAACCUUAAGUGUGUAGAUCCUACGGGUUCGGGAACCAUGCAGACAUGACCGAGAUGACUCUCCGGUCAAUAACCAACAACGAGAUCUAGAUACCCAUGUUGGCUCCCACAUGUUCCACGAUGAUCUCAUCAUAUGAACCACGAUGUCAAGGACUUAAUCAAUCCCGCAUACAAUUCCCUUUGUCUAUCGGUAUGUUACUUCCCCGAGAUUCGAUCGUCGGUAUCCCGAUACCUUGUUCAAUCUCGUUACCGGCAAGUCUCUUUACUCGUUUCGUAACAUAUCAUCCCGUGAUCAACUCCUUGAUCACAUUGUGCACAUUAUGAUGAUGUCCUACCGAGUGGGCCCAGAGAUACCUCUCCGUUUACACGGAGUGAUAAAUCCCAGUCUCGAUUCGUGCCAACCCAACAGACACUUUCGGAGAUACCUGUAGUGUUCCUUUAUAGCCACCCAGUUACGUUGUGACGUUUGGCACACCCAAAGUAUUCCUACGGUAUCCGGGAAUUGCACAAUCUCAUGGUCUAAGGAAAUGAUACUUGACAUUAGAAAAGCUUUAGCGAACGAACUACACGAUCCUUGUGCUAGGCUUAGGAUUGGGUCUUGUCCAUCACAUCAUUCUCCUAAUGAUGUGAUCCCGUUAUCAACGACAUCCAAUGUCCAUGGUCAGGAAACCGUAACCAUCUAUUGAUUAACGAGCUAGUCAACUAGAGGCUUACUAGGGACAUGGUGUUGUCUAUGUAUCCACACAUGUAUCUGAGUUUCCUAUCAAUACAAUUCUAGCAUGGAUAAUAAACGAUUAUCAUGAACAAGGAAAUAUAAUAAUAACUAAUUUAUUAUUGCCUCUAGGGCAUAUUUUCAACACAUGCAUCAUAUCAAAAUAAAAUUUUAAGCAUAUUCCUCCAACAGCAACUACUACACAUGAUGGAUCAAAUCAUAUCAACAUGCAUCAUAUCAAAAAAUAUCCUCCAACAUACAUCAUAUCAUCAUAUUUUUAAAUAAAUUUUUCCAAACAACAUCUUCAUAUCAUCAUAUCAACAUGCAUCAUCAAACUAGGGGUCAUCUUCACACUAGAUCAUAUCAUCAUAUCAACAUGCAUCAUCAAACUAGGGUUCAUCCUCAUAUCAACAUUACAUCAUAAUUUUUUUAACAAAAGAAAAUUAUAAACUAGGGUUCAUCUUCACACUAACAUAUGAACUAUUGAUUAGAGUUCAUAUCCAAUACCACUAGUUACUGAAGAACUAAGAACUACAACUACAAUCAAUCUUAGGUGAAAAAAAAUCCAAUCUAAGUUAAAAAAUAUGAGGGAUUUCAAGCAAAUAAUGUGUCGAAUCGGAAGCAAAUUUGCAAAAACUAAUUGGAGGGAUUGGAGGAGCUUACGUUUCUCUCUUCGGGGCCAUCUCGAUCCGCAAAAACGAUCAACAAACGAUGAAGAUCCGAGAAAGGGAGUGGAGAAGAUGAGAGAGGAAGAGAGGGGCGACUUGGGGGAGAAAAAGAAGAAAUGCCGACGGGGGGAGGGGGAGGGGNNNNNNNNNNNNNNNNNNNNNNNNNNNNNNNNNNNNNNNNNNNNNNNNNNNNNNNNNNNNNNNNNNNNNNNNNNNNNNNNNNNNNNNNNNNNNNNNNNNNNNNNNNNNNNNNNNNNNNNNNNNNNNNNNNNNNNNNNNNNNNNNNNNNNNNNNNNNNNNNNNNNNNNNNNNNNNNNNNNNNNNNNNNNNNNNNNNNNNNNNNNNNNNNNNNNNNNNNNNNNNNNNNNNNNNNNNNNNNNNNNNNNNNNNNNNNNNNNNNNNNNNNNNNNNNNNNNNNNNNNNNNNNNNNNNNNNNNNNNNNNNNNNNNNNNNNNNNNNNNNNNNNNNNNNNNNNNNNNNNNNNNNNNNNNNNNNNNNNNNNNNNNNNNNNNNNNNNNNNNNNNNNNNNNNNNNNNNNNNNNNNNNNNNNNNNNNNNNNNNNNNNNNNNNNNNNNNNNNNNNNNNNNNNNNNNNNNNNNNNNNNNNNNNNNNNNNNNNNNNNNNNNNNNNNNNNNNNNNNNNNNNNNNNNNNNNNNNNNNNNNNNNNNNNNNNNNNNNNNNNNNNNNNNNNNNNNNNNNNNNNNNNNNNNNNNNNNNNNNNNNNNNNNNNNNNNNNNNNNNNNNNNNNNNNNNNNNNNNNNNNNNNNNNNNNNNNNNNNNNNNNNNNNNNNNNNNNNNNNNNNNNNNNNNNNNNNNNNNNNNNNNNNNNNNNNNNNNNNNNNNNNNNNNNNNNNNNNNNNNNNNNNNNNNNNNNNNNNNNNNNNNNNNNNNNNNNNNNNNNNNNNNNNNNNNNNNNNNNNNNNNNNNNNNNNNNNNNNNNNNNNNNNNNNNNNNNNNNNNNNNNNNNNNNNNNNNNNNNNNNNNNNNNNNNNNNNNNNNNNNNNNNNNNNNNNNNNNNNNNNNNNNNNNNNNNNNNNNNNNNNNNNNNNNNNNNNNNNNNNNNNNNNNNNNNNNNNNNNNNNNNNNNNNNNNNNNNNNNNNNNNNNNNNNNNNNNNNNNNNNNNNNNNNNNNNNNNNNNNNNNNNNNNNNNNNNNNNNNNNNNNNNNNNNNNNNNNNNNNNNNNNNNNNNNNNNNNNNNNNNNNNNNNNNNNNNNNNNNNNNNNNNNNNNNNNNNNNNNNNNNNNNNNNNNNNNNNNNNNNNNNNNNNNNNNNNNNNNNNNNNNNNNNNNNNNNNNNNNNNNNNNNNNNNNNNNNNNNNNNNNNNNNNNNNNNNNNNNNNNNNNNNNNNNNNNNNNNNNGAUGGGGCACAAGGGCGGGGAGACUCGCAAGGAGCAGCUCGGGGAGGAGGGGUACCGCGAGAUGGGGCGCAAGGGCGGGCUGAGCACCAUGGAGGAGUCUGGUGGCGAGCGCGCCGCCAGGGAGGGCAUCGAGAUCGAUGAGUCCAAGUUCAAGACCAAGUCCUAAGUAAUGUAGGUCAAGAUGUCCCAGUGUCUAGCUGAGUAGCUAGCUAGUAGUGAGCAAGCUGUCUGCUCAUGUUUGUAGUAAUGAAUAAUGUAGGUCAAGGUCAGGUCUUGGCAUGACGAGAGCACGCAUGUAGGCGAUCGCAUGUACUGUUAUCAUGUGUGCGUUAGGUGUCUUAGCUUGUAGUAGUGACCAUGUGUUCUUCAGGUGUCCUAGCUUGUAGUAGGUGUCGUUGUGGCCCGUGAGUCAGCUUGCUAAUGUAUGUGAGUCGUUGUUAAAUCAGGUCGAUGUUGAAUCAGAACGUGGGCUCUUAAAUUGUUUUCUUGAACUGGGUAGAGAGAAACAACUCCCGGCCGUACUGGUACAUGAACAAAUGGUUGCUGGUUGGCAUCAUCGAUGGCAAGGUAUUUCCGAGGAACGACAUGGGAGGAGGGAUGCACGGCCGAGGAUGAGGGCCUCGGGUGUGGGGAAGCAGAAAGAGCAUGUGCCACAUUGGUCGGUGCAUAGUCUAUGUUGGUGUGGGUUAGGUUUAGGGCCAUGAAUGACAUCUUGGCAAGCAGAAGAGCAUGUGCCACAUUGGUCGGUGCAUAGUCGAUGUUGUUGUGGAUUAGGGUUUAGGGCCAUGAAUGACAUCUGGGCAAGCAGAAGAGCAUGUGCCACAUUGGACGGUGCAUGACUAGUUGAUGUUGGUGUGGGUCAGGCCGUUAGGGUUUACGGCCAUGAAUGACAUCUAGUUAAGCAUUGCAAGAAAAUAUAGCACGGCCAAUGCCAUCUGCUUAAGCAUUGCAAGAAAAUAUAGCACGGCCAUGUGACUAUUUACAAAUUUUCUAAGUAUAAUGAUAUCCAUUAUCUCAGGAUUUUUUUCCCUUUUGUAAAUUUGCCAUGUGAUGACUGCAACAUUUUCAAAAUUUGCCAUGCUCUAGAGAAACAUUUCCCCCCUUAAUUUGCCAUGUGACUAUUAAAAAAACCUAAAUCGUUGCCAUGAUUUUAGGAAACACAAUUUGUGCCAUGUGAUCAGUAUAAACAUUUCAAACUUUACCAUGUUCUAGAGAACAAAUUUUCUUAAAUUUUGCCAUGUGAAUAUCUUACAUUUUUUCCUAAAUCUUGCUAUGAUUUAGGAAUUAAAAUUAUCUCAAUUUUUAAGCUAACACUGCAAACCUUUCCAAGUUUACCAUUUUUUAGAAAACAAAAUUUCUUAAAUUUCACGUCUGACUAAUCUUUUCAACAAAAUUUGUAAAUCUUACCAUGGUUUAGUAGUCGAAAAUAUCUCAAUUUCCAUGUGACCAUGGCAACUCAUUUGAUUGUUUCUAUUUUUUUUCCUAUUUAUUCCCCUACAUUGUGGGAACUUCCGAANNNNNNNNNNNNNNNNNNNNNNNNNNNNNNNNNNNNNNNNNNNNNNNNNNNNNNNNNNNNNNNNNNNNNNNNNNNNNNNNNNNNNNNNNNNNNNNNNNNNNNNNNNNNNNNNNNNNNNNNNNNNNNNNNNNNNNNNNNNNNNNNNNNNNNNNNNNNNNNNNNNNNNNNNNNNNNNNNNNNNNNNNNNNNNNNNNNNNNNNNNNNNNNNNNNNNNNNNNNNNNNNNNNNNNNNNNNNNNNNNNNNNNNNNNNNNNNNNNNNNNNNNNNNNNNNNNNNNNNNNNNNNNNNNNNNNNNNNNNNNNNNNNNNNNNNNNNNNNNNNNNNNNNNNNNNNNNNNNNNNNNNNNNNNNNNNNNNNNNNNNNNNNNNNNNNNNNNNNNNNNNNNNNNNNNNNNNNNNNNNNNNNNNNNNNNNNNNNNNNNNNNNNNNNNNNNNNNNNNNNNNNNNNNNNNNNNNNNNNNNNNNNNNNNNNNNNNNNNNNNNNNNNNNNNNNNNNNNNNNNNNNNNNNNNNNNNNNNNNNNNNNNNNNNNNNNNNNNNNNNNNNNNNNNNNNNNNNNNNNNNNNNNNNNNNNNNNNNNNNNNNNNNNNNNNNNNNNNNNNNNNNNNNNNNNNNNNNNNNNNNNNNNNNNNNNNNNNNNNNNNNNNNNNNNNNNNNNNNNNNNNNNNNNNNNNNNNNNNNNNNNNNNNNNNNNNNNNNNNNNNNNNNNNNNNNNNNNNNNNNNNNNNNNNNNNNNNNNNNNNNNNNNNNNNNNNNNNNNNNNNNNNNNNNNNNNNNNNNNNNNNNNNNNNNNNNNNNNNNNNNNNNNNNNNNNNNNNNNNNNNNNNNNNNNNNNNNNNNNNNNNNNNNNNNNNNNNNNNNNNNNNNNNNNNNNNNNNNNNNNNNNNNNNNNNNNNNNNNNNNNNNNNNNNNNNNNNNNNNNNNNNNNNNNNNNNNNNNNNNNNNNNNNNNNNNNNNNNNNNNNNNNNNNNNNNNNNNNNNNNNNNNNNNNNNNNNNNNNNNNNNNNNNNNNNNNNNNNNNNNNNNNNNNNNNNNNNNNNNNNNNNNNNNNNNNNNNNNNNNNNNNNNNNNNNNNNNNNNNNNNNNNNNNNNNNNNNNNNNNNNNNNNNNNNNNNNNNNNNNNNNNNNNNNNNNNNNNNNNNNNNNNNNNNNNNNNNNNNNNNNNNNNNNNNNNNNNNNNNNNNNNNNNNNNNNNNNNNNNNNNNNNNNNNNNNNNNNNNNNNNNNNNNNNNNNNNNNNNNNNNNNNNNNNNNNNNNNNNNNNNNNNNNNNNNNNNNNNNNNNNNNNNNNNNNNNNNNNNNNNNNNNNNNNNNNNAUAAAAGGGCCACGCCGGUGCCUCAUGCCCUCAUCCUUCAUCAGCAUCAGGCAAUCACCAACACCUUACAAGCAGUCACACAACGUUUCCCAGCUGAGGUUGUGGUAGCAAGGCAGAGAGAGCAAUGGCUUCCGGCCAGCAGGAGAGGUCGCAGCUGGACCGCAAGGCCCGCGAGGGCGAGACCGUCGUCCCCGGCGGCACCGGCGGGAAGUCCCUCGAGGCGCAGCAGAACCUCGCCGAAGGUACGUGCAUGCGUGAGAAAUGUCGUUGUACUAUACUCGAGCGAUCUGUGGCUUCCAAUACUGAUUGCUAGUAUUGCUGUAUUUGUGCAGGGCGCAGCCGUGGCGGGCAGACUCGCAGGGAGCAGAUGGGGGAGGAGGGGUACAGCGAGAUGGGUCGCAAGGGCGGGCUGAGCACCAACGACGAGUCCGGCGGCGAGCGCGCGGCCAGGGAGGGCAUCGACAUCGACGAGUCCAAGUUCAAGACCAAGUCCUAGAUGAUCCGUUAGCCUAGCAAGCAAGAUGACUCUGCUUAGGUCGGCUGUUGGUUUGCCCUAGCGUCCACGUACCGAAUAAUGUAGUUCAGGCGCACGUAGGCGAUCGUACGUAGUAUCAUCAUGUGUGCUUCGUAACCGGUAGUCCGUAGCUACUCUACGGUGAGUAGCGUCAGGUCAAGUCGGAAGCUGUGGCUUGGUCAGGUGGCUGGUCUGCCUCUGGGCCCAGGAGUGUCUACAGUGUCCACUGUAUCCUUGCUUCUUCAGUAAUGUAUGUCGUCUUGCUCAAAUAUGUCUUGUCUCGUCUGAUCUGUGUUGAUUCCUGGUGCUACUGGGUGUAGACCUUGUUGCUCGUAGAGCUAUCACCGGCUCAGAACACCAUGAGCAGUCGCUGACUGCCAAACCAUGCAUGAACGUGUACCUUCAUGGCUUUGCUCCGCACCUGCGUCUAUACAUUUGACACGAAAGAUGAAAUACCAGAGCAGAACGAUCGAUCUCUCAGACAUGACCCAGAUGCGGGGAGCACUUGAUCAAGUCCGAGCGUUUCCGAUCCCUGCCUGUCAUGUCGCGGUUAUCGCUUGCUGUUGGUAGUGGGGGUGAUCAAGGGGGAGCCGUUGAGGAUCCUGCCCACCCGAAGCUUUCCAACGGCGGCGCGAUCGUGGACUUCAGGCCAUCUGGGAAUUUUGCAGGUUUUCAGAGGGCGGUUCCAAGCAAUGGCAAUGGACUGUCGGAGGAAGAUGGUCUACCAGUUGGAGAGGAUGCGCACAUCGGGGAUGAAGCGAACAUGGACGACGUUGCCUUUGUUGCAGUGGACUUUGAGGAGGAGGAUGAAAACAUCGAGCCGGGUUGGAAGCUGAUGAGCCUAUACAGAUCACAGAAACGGCCAAGCGCGAAGACGCUGUCGGAUCACUUUGAGAAAAUUUGGCAGCUACGUACAGGAGUUGAGUUUAAGCCCGUACAGAAAAAUUACUUUGUGGUCUUUUUUCUCUGAAGGAGACUACAGAUUCGUUGCUAGGGGAGGGCCAUGGAUAUAUGAUGGAGAUGCUUUGUUGUCAGGAUGUAAAUGGUCAGUCCGCUGAGGUUGUGGGACUGCCCGCACUGGCCACAACUUUUUAUGUGGGAUUACGUGGGAGCCCAGUUAAUUUUCAUGCGGGGCAUGUGGCGUCCACAUACUGCCGCAAUAUACAAAAGAUCACUGGAACUUCCACACUGACAUACAAAGCAUGUGGCGUCUGGAAGUAUAUACAUAUGUACAAAAAGUAUGACAAAAACAAAUGGCAGUAGAUACAAAGUGAGAAUGGAUAAUAUUAGCCCACAUUGACAUACAUAUGUAAAAAAGUAUGACAAAAACAAAUGGCAGUAGAUACAAAGUGAAAAUGGAUAAUAUUAGCCCACAUUGACAUAAUGAUCGCUACUAAUUAUCACUAGUGAGUUCGAGCUUCAUUUAGUAGUCGCCUCUAGAAUAACAAAAUCCACAAAGCAACGGCAACUUAACUAAAAACACCUAUCAAAGCAGCAGAAAUAUUUUCUGUAUGUGAACAAAAAGGAAUAUGUAAUACACUUCCCAUCCUUCAUAUCCCAAAAUUAACAGAAAGCACCUAGAGUCCUAGACUCAAAACGGCACCAAAUGAUAAAACUAUCAGCUAAGAGCAUCUUCCAUUUUUCUGUCAGCUUUCACAAAGCUAUGCUCACUGGUCUUUCACGUGAUUAAUCGGAAUCAGAAUGGUCCCAGGAUUGGCCUCAUCUUCGGUCCACUCAACUGAUUUUUUCUCCAGAAACAUCUCAACCUGCGGUCAUUCAAGUUUAUUAAUAAGUUAUAUAAGAUAUACAGUACUAUCUACAUGAAAAAGAAACAAGGAUAAGAAGUAAGCAGGGUUCCUUAAAUCAUAAGCAUACACCAGUGUGUAUUUCCCUUCCCUAAAAUGAUUGUUAAUCAACAUUGUCGAGGAGGGAAGCAAAACCAUCAAGAAUAAAAAGUGCAUAUAGCUAGCACCACAAUCUUUAAAAAAUGCAGAUAGCUAGCAACAAAUUCACAAUAGGCAAUGAUCUUAAAUUAAUAUUCUAACCAAUAAGAGUCCUUAAUGAGUAUUAUUGCGACCAGAUCUUGAUAGCAUAAUUGCAAGGAUGAUAAAUACAUACAAGUUAGCAGCAUACACAAUUUAUACUCAGAGCGCAACUCGAAACUAUGGACGUAAAAGAAACCAGAUUUAACUCAAAUGCUCCCCAAAUUUACCCAAAGCUUGCUACAAUUGAACAAUUGAUUAGCAAUAUUAUGUAGUGCACACAUACCUCAGUUAAUAGUAGUGACCUUGAUCAGGAGUAUUGGCAUGCUUACCAUUACAUCUAAACCAAUCUUGAAGGCAGAUUAAGGCUUCCACUGUCUCGCUGCACAAUCUACUUCUGUAAUCGCUGAUCAAACGCUUUCCGGUAUUGAAAGCCGACUCUGACGAUACGACGGAAGCUUGUACAACAAGAACAUCACAAGCUAUACAAGAAAGGAUGGGAUACUUAGACGAGUGAAGAUGCCACCAUUGAAGAAUGUUGAAUCCUCCGUGCGAGUGAAUGUGUCUUCUUCUAAGUAUCUGGCAAGCUCACUAGUAGAUUGGCGUUGCUUCUUAUUCAAGUGUUGGUCCCAAUCCGCCAACGGAUCAUUCUCUUCAUUCACAACCUCAUCAAAUUUUGUCGGGGUGCUGACUCAUCCAAUGCAUCCGUCAUUUGUGAAGAAUAUUCUUCGAAAAGGUUGUCAAGAACUUCUUUCACUGUAAGCAAGAGUCUUUCUACAUCUGGACCAAAAGCUUGUUUUAGUCGAAACUCGAUGAAGCAAAGUUUAAAUCGUGGACCAAGGAUCACAGGAAUACAGUUUGGCAAAUAUGAUUCCAUCCAAUACUUAUCAAACUUUUUUUGCAUCUCUCCAACCAUUGCUCGAACGACUUCAUCCUUUGUUGAAGCUUCCUUCCGCAGCAAUAACCUCACAUUCCAGAUUUGAUGAAAGUACAAAUUUGAGGUAGAAUAACUUGAACCAGAAAGUACAUUGGUUUGAAAUCCCUCCAAACAGCAGAAGUUAGCCUUCUUGUCUUGCAGACUGUUAAUUGGCAAGCAAAUAAAAUGUCAACUCACAAGAACAUUUUAAACUUGUAACUACAUACAAGUGUAAUUACAAAAGAGAAAAAACAAAGCCAACUCACCAUGUGGAUGAUUAAUUUUUGAGCCUCCAAAUGGAGUAGUCACUGGAGAAGGGGAUCCUAAGAUAGAUGGUGAUCUCGCGGACGAAUUUGCCCUCUCCUCCAAUGGGGAACUUGCAAUCCUCGUUGAGGGAGACCUGCCCCUUUUUGAGGAUGCAACUCUUGCUAGAAGACCAAGGGAAGAUCUCCACGUGCUCGCCACCGGUGACCUUACCAAUGGUGAUCUUGUCGCUCUUUGACUAUGUGUCAUAGGUGGAGAAUCUCGUCUCUAGAUAACAAAACACAGAAAGUUCAGAACAUGCUAUCAAUUUCAAGAAGGUAUAAAAGCAGAUUUGUGGUUUAGAGUGAGGUUUAAUAGAGAAAUCUGGCAAGAAAAAUGACCUGUAGCUCCUCUGUUGUAGCUCCUUGAACAAAUUCAGAACAGUUCAUUGAACGAGCAUGUUUCCUCUUCCCCUGCAACUCCUCCUCCUCCUGCAACUCCUCCUCCUGGUUUUUCCUCUUCUUCUCUUGCUUCUUCCUCUUCUCUUUCCUCUUCUCUUUCCUCUUCUCUUCCAGGCUUUUCUUUCUCGUCUUAUGCCUUCGUUUUUCCUUCCGCCUUUCUAAUCAGUAACGCAAACACAGGAGGUCAAAAAAAAUAUCAAAGAAUACAAGUAAUGUCACGGGGAAACACAUGAGGGCCGGAUACUUACUUCCGUUCCUCAUCGAUAGCAUUCCACACAUGUUGUUCCUGCUCCAUGGCUUCCCACUUUUCAGCUUGCUUGUCGAUCGUCAACACCAUUUGGUCAUCGACAUCACCCAUGGUAACUUCCAUCAAAUCUGCAUUGAAUGUCCAAUGAAUGCUAAAUUUAACUAGCAAUCAGAACAAAUGGACGCAACCGUAGAAUUGUUCUAUUUGCUUUCUUCAGACACAAUACAAGAUUUCACCAUUAACACACAAAUUUAGCAUACACCGAACUCCUAUAGCGAGUAGUUACAGAGACAUUCUAAUUCUGACCGCCAGAGCAAGAUAUACUUUGAUAUUUUUACAAUUAAUAUCUGGAAAUACAAGAAUGAUUACAAUUAAUAUUCACAUGCCAGUGUGAUAUGUAUUGUACAACUUGUUUAGAAUUUAGAGGGAUGUUUUUACAGGUGCAAUGCUCUUGCAACUAGUUUCGUACGAAUCACAACGACGUUUUGCUAGCUGCUCCUCUGACUAAUUCCUUUUUAUAGACCAUUCUACCUACUCCAAAUAAUUUCUCGGUUCAUGCAUUGAUUGUUCUGCAAAAACAUGCAUCGGGAUACCUGUGGCAGCGUGAGGAAGCUUUCAUUCAAAUCAUCAAAUGAUCGCCAGAAUCCGCAUGCUAUAUGGAAAUACCCUGUAAUGUACUUGCCUGUACACUCUUGAUAAAGUCAAUGACCACCACACCCCCCUGCCUUGGUCCCCAUAAUCGAGAAAUAUAUGGACAGCAGUAAGUAACGAAUGCUAAUCUACUAGAAGAUUGUACAGUAGUAUCGGGCAAAGAUAACCAAGAACCAUCUAAUUCGCCACUUGGAGUAGUACGUGUAUAGUCGUGUUUGCAUUGCCCACUCAUCACUACACAGCCAAAUUAGAGUAGUGCAUAGCUUGGCACUGUCCGCAUCUGUACUAGGAUCUUUUGGUCCUUCGAUCUUAACUAAGUACCACUAAAUAGUCUUUAAUUGUGCUGUUCCUCUGAUAUACAGAGAGAUUCUAAUUCUGACCACGAGAGCAAGAGAUUCGUACGAAACUAGUUGCAAGAGCAUUGCACCUGUAAAAACAUCCCUCUGAAUUCUAAACAAGUUAUACAAUACGUAUCACAUUGGCAUGUGGAUAUUAAUUUACAGUUCAUAACAAUAUAUCAAUUAACAAAGUUGCGGCCACAAGGGAGUGGACCAAGUACUAUCUCAAGUACCUAACAAAUGCCGGACGGCGGAUUCACAAUAAAUUGUAGAGAAGCUCAUCGUCUAUAGAUUCAGCAAGCUACUCACAUCCACACAUAAUAGUAAUAUCUAACAGGCUACUCACAUUCAGUAUAGCUGAUGCACAACAAAACAUGGAUCACAACUGGUGUAGCUGAUUCACAUCAAGCAAUUGAAGAAGACAUGCCUGGCCCCUUGGGGUAGAAUAGGAGGAGGGGGGAUUUUGCAUACCUUGGGGUAGAAUAGGAGGAGGCGGGGGAGCAGGGGCCGAAGAGGCCAUCACCGGGAUUGGGGAGGGAGCAGCCACGCAGGGCUCGGCUUGGUCCCCGGCUAUCCCCUUUGAUGGCGGCGGAGGAGCAGGAGCUGAAGAGGGCGUCGGCAGGAUAGGGGAGAGAGCAGAGGAGUCAUCCUCGCAAGGCUUGGCUCGGUCGCCGGCGAUGUCCUUGGACGACGGCCUCUUCGAGAAACACGACAGCGACGGUGGCUCCAUGGGAUUGGAAGCGGGAGGUGGUGCCGCACCACUGGUGCGGUGGAGAUGGCGGCGAGGGCGCCCUAGCCUAGGGCAUGGGGUGACUGGGGAAGGACGCGAAGGGGGGAUUGUGGACUACCGCUGGCUCGAUAGGCUUUUCUGGGCUAUCCACUUGCGCCGUUUAAUUUUUCUGGGUGUCCACAAAUGCCACAUAACCUUUUUUUGUGGAUGGCAUAUGUGGGACUAAUGGGACCCAGCGCCACUUACAUCCUGACUUUGUUGGUGGCUCCGUUUGUAGAAGAUGCUCAUCCGUCUGAAACUAUAAGAGCAUCUCCAACAGGCGCCGUGCCGCAAAAUCCCCCCGCGCAACCCGGCGGAUGGCUCCAGCGGGCGCGCAAUAACCGCGCGCGCGGUAUAAGCAGUUGGGCGCGCGUGGAUGCGGUUCAUCACGUGGUGUAUUUGCGGCCCCGCUUCCGCGCGCGGCACACUCGACGCUCGCGCUGCGCGCUCUUCUUCUCCCCCUCCAAAGCCCCGCGCGCGCCGGCGCCGGCGACCCGCACCCAUGGACGCACGCGCCGGCACCUCGCUCACCCCGUCCUUAGCCGCGACCCCCUCGCCCCCGCCGCCGCCACCGCCACAAACCCUAGCCCGGGUGGCGUUGGCCUCGCCGCCGCCGGGGCUCCUCUUCAUGCCGCCGCGGAUGACCUCGGCGGCGGGUGGCGUCGCGCCGGCACCGGCCCGAGCCGCCGCCCCCUCCUCCUCAAAGCUCCCCAAUGCGGCGCAGCCAAAGAUUUUAAACUUGGUUGGAUGAACUUGUGGGCAUGAUUUUAAACUUGUGGGCAUGAACUUCAUCAAUUUGUUUGUGUGAAAUUUCUAUUGUGUUGAAAAUGUUCAUCAUUUUGUGUUGAAAAAUGCCAUAUGCAAUGCACCGGCGGGUCGCGCGCGCUACAUUUUGGCGCGCUGCUGGAGCGACGCGCGCGCGCUGCAUUUUAGCGCGGCCGCUGGAGCCAGCGUUGCGCACCGCGCCAAACCAGCCGAUGCGCGCGCCGCAUAUGUGUUUUUUGCGCGCGGCGUGACCGGCGCCAGUUGGAGAUGCUCUAAUGGAUUCAGUCUAUGUGUGGGUGCGUGUCUUUGAUGUGCCUUGGAAUAAACAAACCAGGCCAUAUGGGAACGCCUUGGGUGGCACCCUGGGAGAGGUGUUGGAGGUUGAUGCUCCGGAAGUUGGACAUGGCACUAGCGAAUUUUUGAGGAUCAGAGUUAAGCUGCCAUAUAACAGGAGGUUGCAGAAGGAGGUUACUAGAAUAUACUGUCAGAGGAGUAACAAAACGAUCUACUUUUAAACUGAAGUAAGAGCGUGUACCACACUUCUGUUUCUUCUGUGGUUUUCUAGGCCAUGAUGAAGAUGUGAGUGAGAAGAAGAGGCUUGGGCUGCCAUCUAAAGCCUAUGAUUCCACGCUCCGUUGUUCCCCGUUUAAGAAGUAUGAGCAAAGACCAGCAUAUACAGCGUCGCCGGGCCAGCCAAGGGCGCGCCGUGUGUUGGACUUUUCCUUGGGCCGUGCUGGUUCUACUACACGGCAAUCCGCUUCUUCUUCAGCGAGAAGUGAGUCUAGACAUAAUCCAUUUAUACCAGAUAGGGUUGAUGCCCAUGAUGGGUUUGAGAACAGAGAAGGAUCAGGUGAGACGGCGGCUGUUAUUCAGCUUGCAGAUGAGGUGGAGGCGCUCCGUCUGAGGCUGGCCAAAGAGAAACCAGAGUGCAGUCAAUCUCACCGGAUAAAGAUUCAUUUUGAAGCAAAAGCUAUGUACAAACAGACUGAACUACAACCCAAAUCUCACAAGAAGAGAAGUACUGGUAAGAAAGUUGUGGCAGCAAGGACGCCAGGCACUCUAGUUAUCAAGGAAAAAGAACCUACUUCGGAUGUCAUGAAUCCAACAUUACGGGGUGUUGAUUUUUUGGAUAAAUCUUUUGGUACAGCGGUGGACUUGAUGGUAUACAAUGAUUCCAUCUUGGGAAAACGUCAUGUUGCAGGAUUGUUUGGUUAUGGGCAGGAUGCGCAACUUGACAAAGCUAUGGUGCCGUUCGUUGAUGUUCCAACAGGAGGUAGUCUGAAGAAAGGGAAAAUUGAAGGUCAACAGCAAGAGGAGGAAGUAACCAGCAAAGGGAGUGAGGUGGACAUGGAGGCAGCUGGCCUAGCUAGGGGCCGCCAGUGAUCUGACGGGGCCUUUAGCGCCCCGUCAGACGCAAUGAAUUGCUUAAGUUGGAACUGUUGAGGGGCGGGGAACCUUCGCACAGUUCGUGAUCUUGUAGCACUUGUGGGUGCUCAUUCCCCAAAAGUGGUCUUUCUGUGUGAAACUAGACAACCAAAAGAAAAGAUGUAUCGUCUUCGUAAUCGUUUAGGCUUAGUUGGUUUUGAAGGAGUUAGUAGUGAUGGUCGUAGUGGUGGUCUAGCUUUAUUUUGGCACGAGUUUGUAUCCCUGGUUGUUCAAGAGGCUAAAAAUAGAUGGAUUGAUGCUUAUGUCCGCUUGUCACCUGAUGAUCCUUUGUGGUGUGUCACCUUUGUGUCUGGCGAGCCACGAGUGGAAAAUAGACAUUUUAUGUGGGACUCUUUGAGGAGGUUGUCAAGACACAGUACACUUUCAUGGAUGUUAGUUGGCGACUUUAAUGAAGCUAUGUGGGAUUAUGAACACAUGUCAGAAACACCAAGGGCACCGGGUCAGAUGUUGAGUUUCAGAGAUGCUUUGGAAACAUGUGCGCUGAUUGAUAUGGGCUUCAUGGGUUAUCCCUUUACCUAUGAUAAUAGGCGGGGUGGUAGAGCCAAUGUUCAGGUGAGAUUGGACAGAGCAGUGGCCACUAAUACUUGGAGGGAUAUGUUUGCUGAUGCUGUUGUACGUCACCUGGUCUCACUGGCGUCAGACCAUUGUCCAGUGUUGGUCUCAUGUAUUUUGGAUACGGCCCCUCGGCCGGGCCGAUGUCGCCGUUAUGAAUUGAUGUGGGAAAGAGAUCAUGCUCUUAAUGAGGUAGUGGCGGAAGCAUGGGGUGCAGCAGGAACUAAAAGAAACUUAAGUGAUGUUCAAAAGGCUCUCGGCCAGGUGAUGGGUAAGUUGCAUACUUGGAGUACUAAAAAAUUUGGGAAUGUUACAAGACAACUUGAGAAAUCUAGAUCAAGAUUGGAGGAACUGAUGCUUAUGAAUGCGGACAGGGCAGAUAUUAGGAAGCACAUGGACGAAAUGAAUGAACUUUUAUUUAGGGAGGAGAUGUUGUCGUUACAGCGCUCGCGCAUUGCUUGGCUCAAGGAGGGGGGCAGGAACACUAAGUUUUUUCACAGAAAAGCGGUGUGGCGAGCCAGAAAGAAUGCAGUAUGAGGACUAUUGGAUGCUAAUGAUGUUUGGCAAACUAAUAAAAACGUGAUGUUGGAUAUGGCCCGUACCCAUUUUAUGCAAGUAUUUACAGUUGAUCCGAACGUCAACCCAGAAGAAGUAGUGAAUCUAUUCCAAGCUAAAAUAACGGAUGAUAUGAAUACUGCUCUUUGUGCUCCAUUCACAGAUAAGGAAAUAGGCGAUGCGUUGUUCCAGAUUGGGCCACUAAAAACCCCAGGUCCAGACGGAUUUCCAGCUUGAUUUUUUCAGCGGAAUUGGGCUUUAAUGAAAGAGGAUGUAAUGGUGGCUGUCAGGUUGUUCUUUGAGACUGGACACAUGCCGGAUGAGGUAAACUCAACUACUAUUGUGCUUAUUCCUAAGGUUGCGAAUCCAAAGAAGCUAAAUGAGUUCAGACCAAUCAGUCUAUGUAGCGUAGUUUACAAGGUCAUCUCCAAGUGUCUGGUAAAUCGUUUGAGACCUCUCCUUGAUGUUAUUGUUGCUCCUGAGCAGAGCGCCUUCAUCCCUGGUAGACUUAUUACAGAUAAUGCUUUCAUAGCUUUUGAGUGUAUGCAUACAAUCAAACAGGAAAGGAAUCAGGAGAAUAGUUUUUGUGCUUACAAGCUGGACCUAUCAAAGGCAUAUGACAGGGUAGACUGGAAUUUCCUGGAGCGAAUGAUGCAAUAGUUGGGUUUUCAUCACCGGUGGAUACAGUGGAUUAUGGCGUGUGUAACCUCGGUGAGAUAUAGCGUUAAACUAAAUGGAGCUAUCUCAGAUUCGUUCGCACCGUCGCGUGGACUUAGGCAGGGUGACCCUCUAUCCCCGUUUUUGUUUUUGUUCAUAGCUGAUGGACUUGAUGCUAUUUUGAAACAGAAGGUCAGACAAGGAAGGAUUUCUCCUAUUCAUGUGUGUCCAAGGGCGCCAGGUAUCUCACACCUCCUAUUCGCAGACGACACAUUAAUGUUUUUCCGUGCUACUCAGGAAGAAGCUACCCAGGUGGGAGAUGCACUGGCUAUUUAUGAGCGCAUCACGGGACAAUUCAUUAACCCGGCAAAAUGUUCUAUUUUAUUUGGCCCAUGUUGUGGUGACAACGACAAGCAUGAGGUUGUGCAUACCUUGCAGGUUCAGACGGUGGGAUUUGACGAUAAGUAUCUCAGUCUCCCCACACCAUCUGGUAGAAUGUCGAAGAGCAAGUUUCAAAAUCUACAAGAGCAACUUACUAAGCGUAUCUUACAGUGGGGAGAAGCGCCGUCAUAAGGGGGCAAAGAAAUUUUCAUUAAGGCGGUUGCACAGUCCCUACCUACAUAUAUCAUGGGGAUUUUUCGUUUGCCCCAGAGUGUUUGUGAUGAUCUUACUCGCAUGGUACGCAAUUUUUGGUGGGGGGCCAAGGAGGGGAAGAGGAAGACACAUUGGCAUGCAUGGGAUACAUUGAUUAAACCGAAAGUGCAAGGCGGCAUGGGGUUCCGUGAUUUCAGACUCUUCAAUCAGGCACUUUUGGCUAGACAAGCUUGGCGUCUUAUUGCUUACCCUGACAGUUUAUAUGCUCAGGUGCUCAAAGCAAGAUAUUACCCGGCGGGACGUCUGGAAGAUACGGUCUUUUCGGACAACUCAUCCCAGACGUGGCAGUCUAUUGUCCACGGUCUUGAGCUUCUCAAGAAAGGUCUAAUUUGGCGCAUUGGUGAUGGAGCUUCUGUACGUAUUUGGCGUGACCAGUGGAUACCACAUCCACUUGCGAGGUUGCCAAUAUCACCCAAGGGGCGCUGCCGCCUUCGGCGUGUUAGCGAGCUCCUGGACGACCGAGGAAAUUGGAACGUGCAACUACUUAAUCAACAUUUCAUGUCAGUAGAUGUCAUGGAAAUUAUGAAGAUCAAGGUGGUGCCACGGUUGGACAGAGAUAUUAUCGCUUGGGCGCCCGAGCGUUCUGGAUCGUUCACAGUCCGGAGUGCUUAUCGUCUAUCAUAUGAUGAGAUUCACCGUCAGACUACAGUCGCAUCGAGUAGGGCACCGGACGGGCGACGUGCCGUUUGGGCACUUAUAUGGAGGUGCCCUGCUCCACCAAAGGUGCGUAUCUUUGCAUGGCGUUUGGUCACAAAUUCACUGGCUACUUGGGUGAAUAAAAAAUCACGGAAACUUGAGGUGUCUAACCUUUGUCCGUUGUGUGCGAUGGAACCGGAGGAUACGUUCCAUACAUUCUAUAGAUGCACAUUGGCUGUUGCUUCGUGGAACGCACUUAGCUUCAAUGAGGAAUACAGGCCCUGAGUGGCUUUUUGAUCUUCUGUAUAAGCUAAAUGAAGACGAUCGCAUGCAUGUGUUGAUGGUGCUGUGGAGGAGUUGGUAUGUACGUAAUGAAAUAGUACACCAGAAGCUUCCUGUAGAUUUCUAUUUAGCUAUGCUGAAUCUCUUCGAUGCAUCAAUCAUUUUCCAACCACUAACAUCAUCAAAGGGAAGAUGGUGCCGCCGGCGAUUGGGUAUAGUUCUACAAUGAUAAAUACAGCAACGCAACAUGCAGCCACAGUCCAGUGGUCUGCCCCGCCGGCCGGUCGCGUGAAGCUGAAUGUUGACGGGUCGUUCGUUGAUACCGAUGGUGGAUUAGCAGGAGCCGGUAUGAUCCUACGUGAUAAUGAUGGCAACAUUAUCUUCUCCGCUUGUCGUUCUAUCUUGCAUUGUUCCGGACCGCUCCAGGCUGAGUUGUUGGCAUGUCGGGAGGGAUUAAGCCUUGCUCUACAAUGGUCUACUCGCCUGGUAGACAUCGAGAUGGACUGCAUGGAUGCAGUUGAUCAAGUCGCCUACCCUUGACAGAUCGCCACAUAGAAUGAUAGUUCAGGAUAUUAAAAGGCUCUUUGGUGAAAGGGAUAUCUCUAUUGCUCAUGUAAGUAGGAAUCAGAACGUUGUUAGCCACACACUUGCUGCUUUCGGACGAUCGGAGGGCCGAACUGCAGUUUGGUUGCGUUUUGGACCUGCAGACGUUCCUCUGCUAUGUAGAAACGAAUAUUCCAACAGUUGAGCAAUGAAAUCAUUUUAACCCCACAAAAAAAAAGUCCGGGAGUUCGCUAAUGCACGAACCGGGGGAGCUGCAGCCACCACGUUCACUCGCCGUCCUCGAGGUACCGGACUCCGAAUACUCGUCUCAGCAGGUUUUUCCGAAGGUUUUUGCUUCAGACAUCUAACCUGAAGAAAAUACACACUGAACGCGUGGACGAGACGGUUUUUUCUUGGGACAUCUAACCUGAAGAAAAUGCAGAUUGAACGCGUGGACGAGACUGAAAGUGCCUUCCGUAAGAGAUGGUACCUCUGCACUAGAUAUUAUUGAAGCAUCUCAUUGAGUACUCGAAAUUGAGGCAGACACAUCAUGAAAUACACCGUACGUGCUUGUAAGUUGUAACAAAGCAGGACACGAAUUUUUGGAAUUUUUGGAACUAGAGUCCACACGUAUCCCUUAUGAAUAGUAACAAAAACCAAGACGUAAUAAAAAAAUAUUAACAAAUGGUCUGUGAAGUUCCUUAAUCUAGAUGAUAUUUGCUGUGGGAAUUGGUUAUAAUAUAUUUUAUAUGAGAUUUGGUUGUACAAAGCAUGAGUAGUUUGAGUUAUAAAUGGCUAAAACCAAAAGUAUAUAUUAUAUAUUGUAUUUGAUUAUUAUAUAAUUAUAUAAAUUGUGUAUUGGAUGUAAGUAGCAUAAUAUAGUGGGCUUUUUUUGCCAUGCAUGUUAUGACGUACCUUUGAUGAAAUGGCAUGUGUAUAUGUUGAGGUAAAUAGAAACAAUGUGGAUCAACUAAUAAUGAAAAAUGUGGCGUGUGUACAUGUUGAGGUAAAUGAAAACAAUGUGGAUCAAUUAAUAAUGAAAAAUGUUUUUCCAUGCAUGUAGAGGUGUUCUUUGAUGAGAUGGCAUGUGUGCAUAUUGAGAUAAAUAAAGUAGUGUGGAUCACCCACUUAACUAGGAUAAAUAAGGUAUUGCUACAAAGGAAAAAAGUGCCCCUGAUAUUCCUCAAAAACAGCACAUACGAGUAGAACAGUUGACCAGUUUUAUUAACCUUAGAAUUUAAAUUCUCUUAUUAUUAUUAUUUCAAAAAAAUUAUAUGUAUUGUCAUCAUAAGAGGGGUGCUUAGACCCAUGCUCACUACUAUUGUACUUUAACAUAAUAACUCAUAUCUUCCUUUAUACUAAUAAGAGAGAGAAUGAUAAAAUUGUGCAUAAAAAAAUAAUUCUGUUCUGUGUCCAAAAUUACGAUGACAAUUAUCUGGCACUAUGUCCCUGCGAUCGGGUCUACAUCAUGUACGCCCUAAUAAGUACAACUGUCAUCUUCUGCAUUUCCUCUCAAUAGUUGUAGACCAUCUGCCUAUUCGACCAAAACAUCCUGUUUAUUAGACAAGGGUUUUAGGGUUUUUGGCACACCUCCAAACGUGGGGUGACCUUUUCAUUAUAUAGUGAUGUACAACAUAAUUACAAGUGGGGCCCAGUAUAUACAGAGUCUAACACCCUCCCUCAAUCUUAACCGUGCUCAAAAGAAUUUACUAGGUUGAGAUUGCGCCUACACCCUUCAAACUGAGGAAGAGGCAGUGGCUUCGUGAAGAUGUCAGCAAGUUGAUCUUUCGAGGAGAUGAACUUGAUAAGAAGCAGUUUCUGGGCAACACGUUCCCUGACAAAGUGGUAAUCAACUUCAAUGUGUUUGGUGCGAGCAUGAAAAACUGGAUUUGAAGACAAAUACGUCGCCCCAAUAUUAUCACACCAAAGCACCGGCGGCUGCUUCUGAGGAACCUUCGACUCUUUGAGCAAAAACUGUAUCCAAAUAAGCUCUGCUGUGGCAUUUGCAACUGCUUUGUACUCAGCUUCAGUGCUACUGCGAGACACCGUUGCUUGUUUACGAGCACUCCAGGCGAUCAAGUUCGAACCAAGGAAGACUGCAUAUCCCCCCGUGGAUCGUCUGUCAUCCGGACUCCCAGCCCAGUCCGCAUCAGAGAACGCAGAGAGAACGCCAGAGGGGGCCGGUUGCAGAUGCAAGCCAUAAGAAGAAGUGGACCGGAUGUAACGCAAAAUGCGCUUAACUGCAGCCCAGUGAGAGUCUCGAGGAGCAUGAAGAAACUGGCAGACCCGGUUGACCGCAUAGGAGAUAUCAGGACGAGUGAUAGUCAAGUACUGCAAGCCACCAACAAUACUGCAAUACUCAGUAGCCUCAUCAGCAGGGAGGAGAGAACCAUCGAGAGCAGAUAGGCGGUCAGUGGAGGACAUAGGUGUAGUAGCUGGCUUGCACUGGAGCAUACCAGACUUCCGAAGAAUAUCAAGAGAAUACUUCUGCUGAGUGAGAGUCAAGCCAGAACCAGAAGACAAUACUUCAAGGCCAAGGAAAUAGUGAAGCUGCCCAAGAUCCUUAACCGCAAAGUCAGCACUCAAAGCAGAAACCAAGCGAUCCCAGCAUAGUCUGAGGAACUGACCACGAUGAUAUCGUCAACAUAGACCAGUAGAUACAUAGUAACUGUAGGUCGCUGAAGAAGAAAUAACGAGGUAUCGGCCAGAGAGGGAACAAAUCCAUGAGCCCGAAGAGUGGUGCCAAGACGCGCAUGCCAAGCGCGCGGAGCCUGCUUCAGACCAUAGAGUGCCUUAACAAGACAACAGAGAUGCUGCGGACGAGCUGGAUCGACAAAACCGGGAGGCUGACACAUAUAAACCUCCUCCUCAAGAACACCAUGAAGGAAAGCAUUCUGAACAUCAAGCUGACGAAGAGACCAUCCACGGGUAAUUGCCAGUGAGAGCAGAAGCCGAAUCGUGGUCGGUUUGACCACUGAACUGAAGGUGUCCUCAUAAUCAAGGCCAAGGCAUUGUUUGAAUCCUCGAGCAACCAGUCGAGCCUUGUAUCUCUCGAUAGAACCAUCAGCAUGUUUCUUUACCUUGAAGACCCACUUUGAGUCAAUGAUGUUGACACCAGCCUUUGAAGGAAUCAGUCGCCACAUUUCAUUCUUAAGAAGAGCGUGGUAUUCUUGUUCCAUCGCAGUACGCCAGUGAGGGAUACUCAGGGCAGCCUGAAAAUGUCGAGGCUCAGCAGUAGGGUCGGACUGCACCUGCGCCAUGCAAGUCGCAAGCCAGGCCACCGUGCCAUCCUUGCGUUCCUUAGGACGAAACACCCCACUUUUGCUGCGUGUAUGAGGACGCAACACCGGGGGCGGAGCAGGUGGCGAAACCGAUGGUGAGGAUGAUGAAGGGGACACAUCAUCCGUCAUGGCAGAGGCUGAUGCAGUCGGUGGCGGUGACGAAGAAGACACAGCAGGAGACGCCGACCCACUCGAGGGCGAUGCCGAUCCAGACGAGCAGGACAAGUGCCGCACAGGCAACGAGGAUGACGCGGAACUCCCAGGCGACGACGGCCCAGGCGUUGAUGGCGGGGGACUCCCAGGCGGGGACGGCCCAUGCGUCCGUGCAGGUGACGGCCCAGGCGUCGAUGGCGAGGACGCCGGUGCAGACGUGACGGCUCACUGGGCCGAUGCGCCAGUCAGCAGAAGCGGCGGCUGGGCCAGAGUGGUGACGCGCGGUGCAGCAGCCGCGAUCACGGGCACAGGCGGGCUCGUUGCAUGGGACAUGCACGAAGCCAGCCGAUCGACCUGAGCAGGUGGUGAUGACGGAGCCGUCGGGGACGAGGGAGCCGGAGUGUCAACCUCAUCCAGGAGCUCAAGCUGCACACAUCUCCCAAUACCUGCACCAUGGUUAAACAACAAAGAGGGCGAAUGUGCAGCAUCUACAAAUUGAUCAGGCAAUAUAGUGGAUGGGUGCACUGGCGGUGUCGAGCUUGUGUCAGGUGAGGGAAGAGCAGCAAAGAGAAAAGCAUGCUCAUCAAAAACAACAUCGCGGGAGAUAUACACACGAUUAGACAGGACAUGAAGGCACUUAUACCCUUUGUGAACAGAACUAUACCCCAGAAAGACACACUUCUUUGAUCGGAACUCAAGCUUGCGAUUAUUAUACGGACGGAGAUGCGGCCAACACGCACAACUGAACACUUUAAGAAACUUGUAAUCAGGAGUCUGACCAAGCAAGAGUUCAAGUGGAGUUUUCAUAUGAAGGAGCCGCGAAGGAAGCCUAUUUAUAAGAAAACAGGCUGUAGUAAAAGCAUCGCUCCAAAAACGAAACGGGACAGAGGCAUGAGCAAGCAAGGUUAACCCAGUUUCAACAAUAUGACGGUGCUUACGUUCAGCUAAACCAUUCUGCUGAUGUGUAUGUGGGAAAGAAACACGAUGAGCAAUUCCAAGUUUUUCAAAGAAAGUACUGAGGUUGCGGUAUUCACCCCCCCCCCCCUAGUCUGACUGGACGUGAAUGAUUUUAUGAUCUAGGAGUCUCUCAACAUGUGCUUGAAAUUGUAAAAACACAUUAAACACAUCAGACUUAUGCUUAAGAAGAUAAAUCCAGGUAAAGCGACUAUAAGCAUCAAUGAAACUGACAUAAUAUUCGUGCCCACUAACGGACCACUGGGCAGGACCCCAUACAUCUGAAAACACAAGCUCAAGAGGAGUUUUGACUAUAUGUAUAGAAACAGAAAAAGGUAACUGAUGACUCUUGCCUUGCUGGCAGGCAUCACAGACAGCGGCAUCUUUAUUACUAGACUCGGACGGUAGCUCAUGACGAUGGAGGACAUGGCAAACAAUGGGAGAUGCUGGGUGACCAAGACGAGAGUGCCAUAGUGAUGGAGACACACGAACGCCACUGAAGACUUGGAAGGCAGCAGCAGGAGCGGGAACGUUGGUGGGGGCAUCAAGAGCAUAGAGACCAUGGCGGUAGCGACCUCUAAGAAGUAUGUUCCUCGUAGCACGAUCCUUAACAAAGAGAUGAAACGGAUAAAACUCACAGAAAACAUUAUUAUCAUGUGUAAGUUUAGGAACAGAGAGUAAAUUACGUGCAACUGUGGGAACACGAAGAACAUUUCUAAGAUGCAAUGUCCUAGAGGAGUUUGUGAGAAGUGAUGCCUGACCAACAUGCGAAAUGUGCAUACCUGCCCCGUUAGCCGUGUGAACCUUGUCAUGCCCACGGUAAGGCUGCUGGACAGUUAGCUUGCCCAGCUCGUUCGUUACGUGCGUGGUUGCUCCAGUAUCCAUGUACCAAGAAGGAUCAAUAGGAUAAGAAGGGGUGUGACCCUGUUGCGCCAUGUUAACUUGACGCUCGUUGCCCUUGCCAUUAUUGCCGAGGCCAAGGAAGUCCGUCUUGAACCGGCGAUGACAGCGAGAGGCGACAUGGCGAGGCAGGCCACAGAGCUGACAUGGCUGAGCCGCACCACAGGCGGUACAGCAGGCGCAGGCGCGGCCGUCAACGACGACUACCGGGGCACCAGGACGCGGGGCCUGCUGCUGUUGUGCCGAGGACGCACCUCCACCGGACUUGCCCCCUCCUCCCGAGGAAGCUGCAGAGGGGCACGGCCACCGCCUUUGCCGUGGUACACGGCGUUGACGGAGGAGUCGAUGGAGACAUCGGGGCGGCGUGCGUUGAGCCGUUGCUCCGUUGACAAGAGACGGCUGUAGAGUUCCUGAGGACGAAGAGGCUCCUUGCGUUCAUUAAUCACCUCGGCAAGCGAGUCGUAGUCGCUGUCGAGGCCGGCUAGGAUGAAGGAUGUGAACUCGCUGUCACGAAGGGGCUCUCCAAUGGAAGCAAGAGUGUCAGCCAACUUCUUGAUCUUGUUGUAGAAGGUGAUCACCGUACCAUUGUCCUUGCGAGUUUCACCAAGCUUGGCACGGAUGGCCAUGGAUUGAGCAGUAGACUGAGACGAGAAACUCGACUCCAGUAUGUCCCACACCUCAUGAGAGGACGAAGCAAAGAGGACGAGCCCGGCCACACCCUCACCCAGAGAAGACUGGAUGGCUGAGAGGAUGGCUUGGUCCUGAGCGAUCCACGCACGGAACAUCGGAUGAUAUGGCAGUGGACAUGGCAGUGUACCGUUGAGGAACCCCUCCAAGUAAUGGCUGCGAAGGAGAGGAAGCACCUGAGCACGCCAAUAUAGAUAAUUGUCCGGUUUAAGCUUCACCAGGAGGAGGUGGGAGAAUAAAAACGGCGGCGAGGAGAUCGCGGCCAGAGCAGCUUCAGCACCCACGUAUGGCGUCGGAGAGGGCAUUGGUGCAGAUUGCGCCGCAACCGUUGCGUACAGGUGCGAGGGGCCGUACGGGUAGGGCGCCCCAUAGGGCGGCGGAGCCGGGUACGCGCCCUGGCCAGGGUACACACCAUAGGAGGGAUGCGCAGGUGGCGACGGGCCGUACGGCGCCGCGUACAGUGGGUAGCCGCCGUGAUUGGCAUGGGCGGCAUCGGCAAUAGUAGGGCCGACUGCGGUGUAGAUGGAGGCAACCGGAGCAGGUGCGAUCGCACGCAUCGGGUGUGACGCGGUAGGUGGUGGCGGCGCAGGCACAAGGGAGUGCACGGCAGCCGGCGGCGGCGACAGUUGCUGGGACCGGGCCGAAGCAGCAGGCGAUGAAGAGGAGACGACGGCGUACAGCGAAGACACCGGGUCGGCGAAGAGAGACCCCGCCGAUUAGGUCUGCAGGUGGCCGAGCGAUCCGUCCGCCGUGUAGGGCGCAGUCCCGACGUUGAGGAGACGCGCGAGGAACGGCGGGAGGAACAAGUGAUCCAUGUGAACGGGGGCCGGCGGCAGAAGGGCGGGGAAGGAAACCGCGGUGCCGGCGGCGCUUGAGGCAGCGGCGGCGGCGGCUGGUGGCGGAGGCGGAGCGGAAGACAUUAGAUCGUUAGGUCGGAUACCAUAUUAGACAAGGUUUUAGGGUUUUUGGCACACCUCCAAACGUGGAGUGACCUUUUCAUUAUAUAGUGAUGUACAAUAUAAUUACAAAUGGGGCCUGUAUAUACAGAGUCUAACACUGUUUGACUUCAAGUAUGUUCGCUAUGGUUGCAAUGGCUAGUCGCUAGGGAAAUAAUCUUUUUUGCAUGGGGGAAGGAUUUUGUAUUAAUUAACUUAGCUCAAGAUUACCCAGUGCACAUAGUUUUACGACUCCCUCAGGACCGGACCGUAACCGGACGGACGCCUUAAUCUUAACUCUCCCGAUCUGAGCUAAUUCAUGACUAACACGAUUAUUGCCCCUUUUAGUAGGCUGGAUCUUAAUUUCUCUCUCCCCUCUCAUCAUAGUUGUGAUCUAUCAACCGAGGGGUUGGAUAUCAUUGCAGCAACUUUAGCACUAUCCGUUUCAACGAUGAACAGAAGUGAGCUCCAUUCCAAAGCAAGAGCAAUUCCCUCCUUGCACGCCGCGAGUUAUGUAGUUAGAGCAUUACCGCGUGUGAAGAGAUGUCGACACGAGCUGGAAAUAAUGCUACCAGAGCUGUCUCGUGUCUCGGAGCACCAUUCACGUGCCUACAUUGCCUGCAUGUGCUAUUCACCAUCCACGUUUAGUGUGAGCCACCCCAGCUUAGACGCUCUCCAGCUCUUAGGCUAGUCAUAGUGGAGAGUAUAUGUUACUAGUCUAUGUUAUUAUCUUUAUAUUGGGUAGUGUCAUAUAUGCGGUAACAUAGAUACCUUCAUUUAUUACUUUGUAGACUUAUUUUGCAUUAGAAAGCGUUAUGUGAUGGUAACAUAUUAUGUUACUCUAUUUGACCAUUUUACCUUUUUCUCGGUCUGCCGUGGUCAUCAAGAGUGCCAUGCGAGAUGUGCCUGAGAGCAGCUCAACCACGGCAAAGAGCCAUCCGGGCAUGUGUGCCGCACCGGCUUAAUGUCCCGGAGCAUCCAAUCUUUAGUCAUCGCCCUCCAAAGCUCGACUGCAUGAGGGCACUUACACAUUGCGUGGAAUUCAUCCUCGCUUUCCAGACCACACAGGGAGCAUAUGUCAGUGGUUUUCAAAUGAUAGGAGAGUUUAUUCACCCACGCUUGCAAGAGAAUUUGUGACAAGCCGCCAAGCAAACACACGUACCUUUGGGGGACCUGAUGGCGCGUCAACCAUCCGGUGCCAUGGCAAUAACCAACAGGCCAAAGAUGACAACAAACAAUGGCGUGGAGCACAGAUAAACUGGCGUGGCUACUAGAUGGUCCGUCAUCAAAAUAAUGAUUGGAACACCACUUCAUAUCCAAGGUGAAAACUACUAUUCUGGCCUUCAUUCAUUGGUUAGGCUCAGCAACGUUGAACUUGCGCUGUUACCUUAUCAAAGGUGUUACCUUGUUGCUAUUGUGCUAGUCUUCAAUGGUUAGUUUUGGCAACAAGAAUGAAAAUCCUCGUCUUGUUUGUCUUCCACCGGACGUGACCACAGCGAUGUGAGAGCGCUUAUUUCUUGAAAGAAGUCAGAUUAGUCAUAGAUGUUUGUUCUAUACAUUUCAUAAUGACUAAGCCGUGUUUGUCUUUUUCUAACUCUGCUUAAUAAUUAAUAAGAAUAAUUAUGUACAUUAUGAUGAUGCAGAGGCAAGAGUUUAACCUUUUUUGUUUGAAAAAAAUAGCAGUAGACGCUCGAUCCAUGUCUGGUUUGUACGACCGGCCGACGACGAACACACGUACGGUAGUGACAAGUACGGUAGUGGGACGAUCCUACGCGCCGACAGGACGACAGUGCCAAGACAACGCUAGGCUCCUCAGCUCUCUAGCUCAUUCCGGUGGCUGCGUCAGAUAAGCACGCCCGGACGUGGCAUCCGUCCGGUGCCUCGCCCAACGCGUGUCAAUGCGUCAGGGACAGCAAGAGGAGAGGCUUGCGUCCGCGUCGUCGCACACGCGCCGUCUCCUGCGCCCGCGACGCGCCUCCUCGCCGGCUAUAAAAUGGCGACGUCGCUACCUCCUCCAUCACCAGCAUCAAACAAGCAACCACAAGCACCGCACAAGCUGAAGCGGUAGAGCACACACGCUCCCUUCCAGUUGAGGUCGAAGUAGCUAGCGAGGAGUGAGCGAUGGCCUCCGGUCAGCAGGAGAGGUCGCAGCUGGACCGCAAGGCCCGCGAGGGCGAGACCGUCGUCCCCGGCGGUACCGGCGGCACCAACCUCCAGGCGCAGGAGAACCUCGCCGAAGGUACGUAGCAAUGCACGUCGACCUUAUGUGUUGGUGGCUUCGGCUACUCAUGUCGUGUCUACGGUGUUGGCAGGGCGCAGCCGCGGCGGGCAGACGCGCAAGGAGCAGAUGGGGGAGGAGGGGUACCGCGAGAUGGGGCGCAAGGGCGGGCUGAGCACCAACGACGAGUCCGGCGGCGAGCGCGCCGCCAGGGAGGGCAUCGACAUCGACGAGUCCAAGUUCAAGACCAAGUCCUAGAUGAUCCGUUAGCCUAGCAAGCAAGACGACUGCUUAGUUGGUUGGUUUACCUUGCAGGAUGAAUAAUGUAGGUCAGGGAUCCUGACGUGUGCACGCAUGUAGGAGAUCAUAUGUACUAGAUCAUGUGUGCUUGGUGGUUAAUAGUAGCCGGUAGUCCGUACUAGGUACUGAUGGUCAGUCAGAGUCGUGUGUCCGUGUCAGUCGGAAGUGUGGUUGUGGCUCCGGCGGCUGGUCCGGCCUCUCUUCCCACCAGCUUUCCGCUGUAUCCUUGUGUUUCCAGUAAUGUAAGUCGUCGUUGCUGAAAUCUGAAGCUUUGUAGUGUGCUACUUCUGCUUUGCUAAUUGUUGGUGUUCCCGGUUUUUUAUUGUUUACCGUAAAACCUCUCCUGAACGAGAACUCUACGUGCCGCAUCA